ACAUAUUAUUGAGACCAACUAGCAACAUAGAAAGCACAAUAGUGUACCAACAAUGGCAGCCAAAAUAUUUUGCUUCCUUAUGCUCCUUGGUCUUUCUGCAAGUGCUGCUACCGCAACCAUUUUCCCACAAUGCUCACAAGCUCCUAUAGCUUCCUUUCUUCCCCCAUACCUCUCACCAGCGGUGUCUUCAGUAUGUGAAAACCCAAUUCUUCAACCCUACAGGAUCCAACAGGCAAUCGCAGCAGGCAUCUUACCUUUAUCACCCUUGUUCCUCCAACAACCGUCAGCCCUAUUACAGCAGUUACCUUUGGUGCAUUUGUUGGCACAAAACAUCAAGGCACAACAACUACAACAACUUGUGCUAGGAAACCUUGCUGCCUACUCUCAGCAACAGCAGUUUCUUCCAUUCAACCAACUGGCUGCAUUGAACUCUGCUGCUUAUUUGCAACAACAACUACCAUUCAGUCAGCUAGCUGCUGCCUACCCCCAGCAAUUUCUUCCAUUCAACCAACUGGCAGCAUUGAACUCUGCUGCUUAUUUACAACAGCAACAGCUACCACCAUUCAGCCAGCUAGCUGAUGUGAGCCCUGUUGCCUUCUUGACACAACAACAGUUGUUGCCGUUCUACCUGCACGCUGCGCCUAACGCUGGCACCCUCUUACAACUGCAACAAUUGCUGCCAUUCAACCAACUUGCUUUGACAAACCCAACAACGUUCUACCAACAACCCAUCAUUGGCGGUGCCCUCUUUUAGAUUGCUUAUGAGUUAUAGUUCAAUAAUGAAGUUUUUUGGAUGAUGUUUGUGGCUUCCCAGAAAUAAGAAAGUACAUUUCUAGAUUCUUAUGUGCUUCUAGCCUCCAAAUGUGGUUGAUAGUUAUUUUGCUCUAAGAUCGGGAGUAAUGAGGUAUAAAUCAUCGUUGUGGUGUGCUACUCGGUUAAUUAAGCAUUAACACACACAAACAUGACGAGGAUGGUAUGACCUCCAGGGCCAGUAACACGCCGGCACCAGCAAGAUAUCGUGUGAUGGUUAUUGGCGCGUGUUGUUUGUUCGACCCAUUGCUGCAACGCAGACCGCCGCUAACUACCAUCUCCAAGAGACUCCUUCAAUUAAGUCCUAAAAAUCAAAAUAGGACAUGGUUUAAAUUAUUUAAAACCCACCAAUUCGUUUUACUCCAACCGUGAGUCUGAGAGCACCUAGAGGGGGGGGGUCGAAUAGGUGAUCCUGUAAAACUUGAAAUUUAACUCACAAAACUUGAUUAGGAGUUAGCACAAAUAAUGCCAAGUGGCUAGAGAGGAGUCUCAACAAAACACAAUAACCACAAGAGAUCAAUCACAGAGAUGGCACAGUGGUUUAUCCCGUGGUUCGGCCAAGACCAACGCUUGCCUACUCCACGUUGUGGCGUCCCAACGGACGAGGGUUGCAAUCAACCCCUCUCAAGCGGUCCAAAGACCCACUUGAAUACCACGGUGUUUUGCUUGCUUUACUAUAUCCCGUUUGCGAGGAAUCUCCACACUUUGGAGCCUCUCGCCCUUACACUUAGAUGAUCACAAAGAAGCACAGAGUAAGGGAGGGAUAAGCAACUCACUCAAGACAAGAAAUCACAGCAACACCACGCACACAAGUCGCAACAAGAGCUCACAACACAACUCAAUGAGUUCACAACUCAACUAGAGCUCUAACUGCUAUCGCAAGGAAUCAAAAGCGCGGAAUCGAUGUCUUAGUGCUUAGGAAUGCUUAGAGAAUGCUUGGUGUAGUCCUCCAUGCGCCUAGGGGUCCCUUUUAUAGCCCCAAGGCAGCUAGGAGCCGUUGAGAGCAAUCCGGGAAGGCAAUUCUUGCCUUCUGUCGCCUGGCGCACCGGACAGUCCGGUGCACCACCGGACACUGUCCGGUGCGGAUUUCCUUCCUUAUUUGGCGAAGCCGACCGUUGGCAGCCUUGGAGCCGUUGGCGCACCGGACACUGUCCGGUGCACACCGGACAGUCUGGUGCCCCCUCCCGACCGUUGGCUCGGCCACGUGUCUCGCGCAGCCGACCGUUGGCCCGGCCGACCGUUGGCUCACCGGACAGUCCGGUGCACACCGGACAGUCCGAUGAAUUAUAGUCGUACGUCGUUAAUUUAUUCCCGAGAGUGACAAGUUCGCCUGUGCCAGCCUGGCACACCGGACACUGUCCGGUGCACCACCGGACAGUCUGGUGCACCCAGACAGAGCUGGCUUUGGCUGAACAAGGCUAUCUCUUUUCCAAUUCGAUUUCUCCUGUUUCCAGCACUUAGACACAAUAAAUUAGUCACUAAAACAAUGUACUAAGUCUAAGAAACAUACCUUUAUACUUGAUUUGUACUUUGUCCACCAUUUGACACUUAGGCACUUGUGUUGGACACUAGAUCACCAAAACACUUAGAAAUGGCCCAAGGGCACAUUUCCCUUUCAAUCUCCCCCUUUUUGGUGAUUAAUGCCAACACAACAUAAGGCAAGUAGAACAAGUACGAAAUCAAUUCAAAUAAGAACUCAAAUUUGUUUUGAAUCAAAUUUGGCAUAUAUGGAUCAUUCUUUGCCACCACUUGGUUUGUUUUUGCAAAUCAACCUCAAAUUCCUAUCUCUAAGUCAAAAACACUUGUUGAGACAUAACAAGAGUUGUUCCAAGAGAAAUUGAUCAGAGAUUUCAAAAACUCCCCCUUUUUCCCAUAAUUAAGCCUUCUCCCCACAAGAGACCAACUUUUGACAAUAAGAGGCAAACAAGAGUAUUUUGACAAACAAAAACUCUAACUCUAUUUUUUUAAAAUUCUCAAGUGGUAGCUGAUCUAUUUAUUGCUUUGGCCUUAUUUUCUCCCCCUUUGGCAUCAAGCACCAAAACGAGAUCAAUCUUGGCCCUCGAACCCCAUUGCCUCACCAAAAUCUUCAACUAAGAGUUAAAAAAAGGCAAUAAGAGUACAAAGAUGAACUUGGAAUAAGUUACUCGUUCAUCGGAGUGCAGUGGAAGUCUUGCAUAGUCCAAGUCCACCUUUUCCCUUUCAAUCCUCCUUUGAGACUAAAAUAAGCAAACUCACGCACAUGGUUAGUCUCAAAGGGUCAAGUUGUAGCACAUCUCCCCCUAAAUUUGUGCAUCACUUGCAAAUGAACUUGUAAGGUCCGGGGAGUGCUUGUACAACUUGAGCACCAUAAGUAAACAACAAAAUGCAUAAGGAACAUGAUCAAAGGCAUAAACACAUGUAUGCUAUAAAUCAAUCCAAGUUCCGCGAAUCUAAGACAUUUAGCUCACUACGCAACUUGCAAAAUGUCUGCUCAUCUAAAGGCUUGGUAAAGAUAUCGGCUAGCUGGUUCUCAGAGCUAACAUGAAACACUUCGAUAUCUCCCUUUUGCUGGUGGUCUCUCAAAAAGUGAUGCCAGAUGUCUAUGUGCUUUGUGCGGCUGUGUUCAACAGGAUUAUCCGCCAUGCGGAUAGCACUCUCAUUAUCACAUAGGAGUGGGACUUUGCUCAGAUUGUAGCCAAAGUCCCUGAGGGUUUGCCUCAUCCAAAGUAGUUGUGCGCAGCACUGUCCUGCAGCAACGUACUCGGCCUCAGCGGUGGAUAGGGCAACAGAGGUUUGUUUCUUAGAACUCCAUGACACCAGGGACCUUCCUAAGAAUUGGCACAUCCCCGAUGUACUCUUCCUAUCGACCUUACAUCCAGCAUAGUCGGAGUCUGAAUAUCCAAUCAAGUCAAAGGUAGACCCCUUUGGAUACCAAAUCCUGAAACAAGGUGUAGCGACUAAAUAUCUAAGAAUUCGCUUCACAGCCACUAAGUGACACUCCUUAGGAUCGGAUUGAAAUCUAGCACACAUGCAUACACUAAGCAUAAUAUUCGGUCUACUAGCACAUAAAUAAAGUAAAGACCCUAUCAUAGACCGGUAUGCCUUUUGAUCAACGAACUCACCUCCUUUGUUGAGGUCGGUGUGUCCGUCGGUUCCCAUUGGAGUCUUUGCGGGCUUGGCGUCCUUCAUCCCAAACCGCUUGAUCAAGUCUUGCUUGUACUUGGUUUGAGAGAUGAAGGUUCCAUCCUUGAGUUGCCUCACUUGGAAGCCAAGGAAGUAGAUUAACUCGCCCAUCAUCGACAUCUCGAAUUUCUGAGUCAUCACCCUGCUAAACUCUUCACAAGACUUUUGGUUAGUAGAACCAAAUAAUAUGUCAUCGACAUAAAUUUGGCACACAAAGAGAUCACCAUCACAAGUCUUAGUAAAAAGAGUUGGAUCGGCUUUCCCAACCUUGAAAGCAUUAGCAAUUAAAAAGUCUCUAAGGCAUUCAUACCAUGCUCUUGGGGCUUGCUUAAGUCCAUAGAGCGCCUUAGAGAGCUUACACACGUGGUCGGGGUACCGUUCAUCCUCGAAGCCAGGGGGUUGCUCCACGUACACCUCCUCCUUGAUUGGCCCGUUGAGGAAAGCACUCUUCACAUCCAUUUGGAACAACCUGAAAGAAUGGUGAGCGGCAUAUACUAGCAAAAUGCGAAUGGACUCUAGCCUAGCCACAGGAGCAAAAGUCUCCUCAAAGUCCAAACCUGCGACUUGGGCAUAACCUUUUGCCACAAGUCGUGCCUUGUUCCUUGUCACCACCCCGUGCUCGUCUUGUUUGUUGCGGAACACCCACUUGGUUCCCACAACAUUUUUCUUGGGACGAGGCACCAGUGUCCAAACUUCAUUUCUUUUGAAGUUGUUGAGCUCCUCCUACAUGGCCAACACCCAGUCCGGAUCUAGCAAGGCCUCUUCUACCCUGAAAGGCUCAAUAGAAGAGACAAAGGAGUAAUGCUCACAAAAAAUUAACUAAUCGAGAUCGAGUAGUUACUCCCUUGCUAAUAUCACCCAAAAUUUGGUCGACGGGAUGAUCCCUUUGAAUCAUCGCUCGAACUUGGGUUGGAGGUGCCGGUUGCGCUUCUUCCUCCAUUGCAAGAUCAUCUUGUGCUCCCCCUUGAUCACACGCCUCCUGCUCAUCAUCUUGAGUUGGGGGAUGCACCAUUGUUGAGGAAGAAGGUUGAUCUCGUUCAUCUUGUUCCUGUGGCCGCACAUCUCCAAUCGCCAUGGUGCGUAUUGCGGCCGUUGGAACUUCUUCUUCAUCUACAUCAUCAAAAUCAACAACUUGCUCUCUUGGAGAGCCAUUAGUCUCAUCAAAUACAACGUCGCUAGAGACUUCAACCAAACCCGAUGAUUUGUUGAAGACUCUAUACGCCUUUGUAUUUGAGUCAUAACCUAACAAAAAUCCUUCUACAGCUUUGGGAGCAAAUUUGGAAUUCCUACCCUUCUUCACUAGAAUGUAGCAUUUACUCCCAAAAACUCGAAAAUACGAAACAUUGGGUUUGUUACCGGUUAGUAGCUCAUAUGACGUCUUCUUGAGGAGGCGAUGAAGGUAGACCCUGUUGAUGGCGUGGCAAGCCGUGUUCACAGCUUUCGACCAAAAGCGCUCGGGGGUCUUAAACUCUCCAAGCAUCGUCCUCACCAUGUCUAUAAGCGUCUUGUUCUUCCUCUCUACCACACCAUUUUGCUGUGGUGUGUAGGGAGCGGAGAACCCAUGCUUGAUCCCUUCCUCCUCAAGGUACUCCUCCACUUGAAGGUUCUUGAACUCGGACCCAUUGUCGCUCCUUAUCUUUUUCACCUUGAGCUUAAACUCGUUUUGAGCUCUCCUUAGGAAGCGCUUGAGGGUCCCUUGGGUUUCAGAUUUAUCCUGCAAAAAGAAUACCCAAGUGAAGCGGGAAAAGUCAUCAACUAUAACAAGACCAUACUUACUUCCUCCUAUACUUAGAUAAGCGACGGGUCCAAAGAGGUCCAUGUGAAGCAUCUCCAAAGGUCUUGAUGUGGUCAUCACAUUUUUGGUGUGAUGAGAGCUUCCCACCUGUUUGCCUGCUUGACAAGCUGCACAAGGUCUAUCUUUUUCGAAUUGUACAUUAGUUAAACCUAUCACGUGUUCUCCCUUUAGAAGCUUGUGAAGGUUCUUCAUCCCCACAUGUGCUAAGCGGCGAUGCCACAGCCAGCCCAUGCUAGUCUUAGCAAUUAAGCAUGCAUCUAGACCGGCCUCCUCUUUUGCAAAAUCAACUAAGUAAAGUUUGUCGUCUAAUACACCCUUAAAAGCUAGUGAACCAUCACUUCUUCUAAAGACAGACACAUCUACAUUUGUGAAUAGACAAUUAUAUCCCAUAUUGCAUAAUUGACUAACAGAUAACAAAUUAUAUCCAAGAGACUCAACUAAAAACACAUUAGAUAUAGAGUGCUCGGAUGAAAUAGCAAUUUUACCUAACCCUUUUACCUUGCCUUGAUUCCCAUCACCGAAUAUUAUUGAAUCUUGGGAAUCCUUGUUUUUGACGUAGGAGGUGAACAUCUUUUUCUCCCCCGUCAUAUGGUUUGUGCAUCCGUUGUCGAUAAUCCAGCUUGAACCCCCGGAUGCAUAAACCUGCAUGGCAAAUUUAGGCUUGGGUCUUAGGUACCCAACUCAUGUUGGGUCCUACAAGGUUAGCACAAAUAUCCUUAGGGACCCAAAUGCAAGUUUUGUCUCCCUUGCAUUUUGCCCCUAAUUUUCUAGCAACUAUCUUCCUAUCCUUUCUACAAAUAGCAAAGGAAGCAUUUAAAGCAUGAUAUAUUGUAGAGGGUUCAUUAACUUUCCUAGGAACAUUAACAACAUUUCUCCUAGACAUAUGAACAAAAUAUCUCCUAGACAUAUCUCUACCAUGCAUAUAGGAAGAACUAGAAGCAAACAUGGCAUGAGAGUUAAAAGCAUCAUAAGCAUUACAACUCCUAUAAGACUGUCUUCUAUCAUGGUACAUAAAAGCAUGGUUCGUUUUAGCACUAUUUGCCAUAGGGGCCUUCCCUUUCUCCAUGAUGGAGAUGGGUGCCUUAUGGCUCGUUAAGUCCUUGGCUUCCCUCUUGAAGCCAAGUCCAUCCUUAAUUGAGGGGUGUCUACCAAUCAUGUAGGCAUCCCUUGCAAAUUUUAGUUUAUCAAAAUCACUCUUGCUAGUCUUAAGUUGGGCAUUAAGACUAGCCAAUUCAUCAUUCAGUUUGGAAAUUGAAACUAGGUGUUCACUACAAGCAUCAAUGUCAAAAUCUUUACACCUAUUGCAAAUCAUAACAUGUUCUACACAAGAGUUAGAUUUACUAGCUAUUUCUAACUUAGCAUUCAAACCAUCAUUUAUGCUCCUUAAGCUAGAAAUUGUCUCAUGGCAAGAAGAUAGUUCACAAGAAAGCAUUUCAUUUCUUUUAACUUCUAAAGCAUGAGAUUUUUGUGCCUCUACAAAUUUGUCAUGCUCUUCAUAUAAAAGGUCCUCUUGUUUUUCUAAAAGUCUAUCCUUUUCAUUCAAGGCAUCAAUCAAUUCAUUAAUCUUAUCUACUUUAGUUCUAUCCAAUCCCUUGAACAAACUAGAGUAAUCUAUUUCUUCAUCACUAGACUCAUCAUCACUAGAAGAAUCAUAAGUGGCAUUGUUUCGAUUACAUACCUUCUUCUCCUUCGCCAUGAGGCAUGUAUGACGCUCGUUGGGGAAGAGGGAUGACUUGUUGAAGGCGGUGGCGGCGAGUCCUUCAUUGUCGGAGUCGAAUGACGAACAAUCCGAGUCCCACUCCUUGCCAAGGUGUGCCUCGCCCUUAGCCUUUUUAUAUGCCUUCUUCUUCUCCCUCUUAUUCCCCUGUUCCUGGUCAGUAUCAUUAUUGGGGCAGUUAGCGAUAAAAUGACCAAUCUUACCACACUUGAAGCAUGAGCGCUUCCCCUUUGUCUUGGUCUUGCUUGGCUGCCCCUUGUGACCCUUUAGCGCUGUCUUGAAGCGCUUGAUGAUGAGAGCCAUCUCUUCAUCAUUUAGCCCUGCCGCCUCAACUUGUGCCACCUUGAUAGGUAGCGCCUCUUUGCUUCUUGUUGCCUUGAGAGCAAAGGGUUGAUGCUCAUUGAUUGGACCAUUCAAUGCGUCGUCCACGUAUCUCGCCUCCUUGAUCAUCAUUCGCCCGCUCACGAAUUUCCCAAGAACUUCCUCGGGCGACAUCUUGGUGUACCUAGGAUUUUCACGAAUAUUGUUCACCAGAUGUGGAUCAAGUACAGUAAAGGACCUUAGCAUUAGGCGAACGACGUCGUGGUCCGUCCAUCGCGUGCUUCCGUAGCUCCUUAUUUUGUUGAUGAGGGUCUUGAGCCGGUUGUAUGUUUGGGUUGGCUCCUCGCCCCUUAUCAUUGCAAAUCUCCCGAGCUCGCCCUCUACCAACUCCAUCUUGGUGAGCAAGGUGACGUCAUUCCCCUCAUGAGAGAUCUUGAGGGUGUCCCAGAUCUGCUUGGCAUUGUCCAAGCCGCUCACCUUAUGGUACUCGUCCCUGCACAAAGAGGCUAACAACACAGUAGUAGCUUGUGCAUUCUUAUGAAUCUGUUCAUUAAUGAAUAUAGGACUAUCCGAGCUAUCAAAUUUCAUUCCAUUCUCAACAAUCUCCCAUAUACUUGGAUGGAGAGAGAACAGAUGACUACGCAUUUUGUGACUCCAAAAUCCGUAGUCCUCCACAUCAAAGUGUGGAGGUUUGCCAAGAGGGAUGGAAAGCAAAUGUGCAUUUGAGCUAUGCGGAAUACGGGAGUAAUCGAAAGAAAAGUUCGAAUUAACCGUCUUUCGUUUGUCGUAGUCGUUGUCGUCGUUGUCCUUUUGGGAAGAAGUGGACUCAUCGCUGUCGUCGUAGUAGACAAUCUCCUUGAUGCGUCUUGUCUUCUUCUUCUUCCCAUCUUUGCAUUUGUGGCCCGAGCCCGAGUCGGUAGGCUUGUCAUCCUUGGGCUCAUUGACGAAGGACUCCUUCUCCUUAUCAUUGAUCACAAUCCCCUUGCCCUUAGGAUCCAUCUCUUCGGGCGGUUAGUCCUUUUCUUGAAGAGAACGGCUCCGAUACCAAUUGAGAGCACCUAGAGGGGGGUGAAUAGGUGAUCCUAUAAAACUUGAAAUUUAACUCACAAAACUUGAUUAGGAGUUAGCACAAAUAAUGCCAAGUGGCUAGAGAGGAGUCUCAACAAAACAUAAUAACCACAAGAGAUCAAUCACAGAGAUGGCACAGUGGUUUAUCCCGUGGUUCGGCCAAGACCAACGCUUGCCUACUCCACAUUGUGGCGUCCCAACGGACGAGGGUUGCAAUCAACCCCUCUCAAGCGGUCCAAAGACCCACUUGAAUACCACGGUGUUUUGCUUGCUUUACUAUAUCCCGUUUGCGAGGAAUCUCCACACUUUGGAGCCUCUCGCCCUUACACUUAGAUGAUCACAAAGAAGCACGAAGUAAGGGAAGGAUAAGCAACACACUCAAGACAAGAAAUCACAGCAACACCACGCACACAAGUCGCAACAAGAGCUCACAACACAACUCAAUGAGUUCACAACUCAACUAGAGCUCUAACUGCUAUCGCAAGGAAUCAAAAGCGCGGAAUCGAUGUCUUAGUGCUUAGGAAUGCUUAGAGAAUGCUUGGUGUAGUCCUCCAUGUGCCUAGGGGUCCCUUUUAUAGCCCCAAGGCAGCUAGGAGCCAUUGAGAGCAAUCCGGGAAGGCAAUUCUUGCCUUCUGUCGCCUGGCGCACCGGACAGUCCGGUGCACCACCGGACACUGUCCGGUGCGGAUUUCCUUCCUUAUUUGGCGAAGCCGACCGUUGGCAGCCUUGGAGCCGUUGGCGCACCGGACACUGUCCGGUGCACACCGGACAGUCCGGUGCCCCCUCCCGACCGUUGGCUCAGCCACGUGUCUCGCGCAGAUCGCGCAGCCGACCGUUGGCCCGGUUGACCGUUGGCUCACCGAACAGUCCGAUGAAUUAUAGUCGUACGCCGUUAAUUUAUUCCCAAGAGCGGCAAGUUCGCCUGUGCCAGCCUGGCACACCGGACACAGUCGGGUGCACCCAGACAGAGCUGACUUUGGCUGAACAAGGCCAUCUCUUUUCCAAUUCGAUUUCUCCUGUUUCCAGCACUAAGACACAAUACAUUAGUCACUAAAACAAUGUACUAAGUCUGAGAAACAUACCUUUAUACUUGAUUUGUACUUUGUCCACCAUUUGACACUUAGGCACUUGUGUUGGACACUAGAUCACCAAAACACUUAGAAAUGGCCCAACAACACAUUUCCCUUUCAGAGUCAUAUAAUCAUGUUACUUAGUUAAUUCUUCGCUUCACCGCAACAAUGUCGUCGUCGCUCUAUCAUCGUCCAUGUUCGGUCAGGUGAGGUGAGGUGAGGUGUAGUCUCUAAUAUACUUAAAGCACCAGUUUCAACGGUCGUCCUACGCCAUCUUUUUACAAAAAGUCCCUACAUUUCUUUUAAAUCAAUUCAGCGUAAAAUGUUAAAAAGCGGCGCCAGAGACAAUCUUUCACAUGAUCAUGUUGUCCUGCAGAUGGAGUAGUAGGCCUUCACGUGAUCAUGUUGUCCGAUAGAUAGGGUAGCGGGCCAGCGGUUGUUGGUUACUCUCCACCAACAAGAGAGAUAGGAAUCUAUUAGAAGCCAGAGCUCCAGCUUGCUAGUUCGAUUUGAUGGCAGCAACUAACAAGACAAUGACGCUCAGCAUGAUAUGAAGAUUGCCAUCGAUAGGAAGGAUCAUCACCUGCUGUUCGCGGAGGCGAGAAAGGAUGUGGUCGACUUCUUCUCCCUACUCGUCCUACUCGUCGGCGCGACCGUCAAACUGCUGGGGAAUAAGGGCAUGGCCGACAACACCUGACCAUUGAUCUCACAUGCCAUUUUAGCUCUCUCAUUCUCUAGUCUCACCCUGACUAUUUAGGUCUCCUGACUCGCUAAUAUAAACACCAUCCUAUCAUUUGAUCUCGAAUACUUCUUUGUCACAACUCAACUGUCAGAUGAGUACUCCAUUACAACACUUACGUACAAGAGUUCUAUGAGAGCAGGCCUCCGAAAUGAAUGUCGACUAAGUGUUUAUCUACUCAGAUGAAGGACGACAAUCGUGUUCUUCGAAAAUAUCAGCGACAUAACUCCUUACUUCCUCCGCUUCUUUCUAGUGUUUUUUGUUGUGAUUGAGUCGACACAACAACAACAUUGCACUAUUACAACCAGUACGACUAUAUCAACUAACAAUGUCUUCCUUAUAUGUUACUAUUUAUUUUGCUCAUAUUCAUUAUGUUUAAAUCACAUGUGCACCUUUCUAUUGACAUCAAAAAAAUAGUAUCAACUUUCUAGAUUAAAAUGCAACUAAAAGUACCUAAAUUUCUAUCGGUGGGGAUUGAGUGAUUCUUUAAACCGAUUAUUACAUAAGUUAACCACACUAAAAUUAACAUUGGUGAAUUGUGCCAUGAUUUUUUUCUAGUGCAAAAUAGCCAAACCAAGCAACACAUAUGUGGCUAUCGUUACACAUGUGUAAAGGUAUUGCAUCACACCAUUGUCACCCAUGUAUUUGGACAAUACCGAGAGGAAAACCCACUUAUUUAUUGUAUUUUAUCAAGUUUGUCUUGCUUACGUAUAAAUUAUAACCCAACAAAGUAGUCACUAAAUGUCAAAACCAACUAGAUACCAUGUCAUCUCUACCUUAUCUUACUAAUGUUCUUUUUGCAAAAUCCAAAAUUAAUCUUGCACAAGCACAAGGACUGAUAUGUGUAUAAAUAUCUCUUAGAUUAGUAGUUAAUACAUCGCACAUAUUAUUGAGACCAACUAGCAACAUAGAAAGCACAAUAGUGUACCAACAAUGGCAGCCAAAAUAUUUUGCUUCCUUAUGCUCCUUGGUCUUUCUGCAAGUGUUGCUACCGCAACCAUUUUCCCACAAUGCUCACAAGCUCCUAUAGCUUCCCUUCUUCCCCCAUACCUCUCACCAGCGGUGUCUUCAAUGUGUGAAAACCCAAUUGUUCAACCCUACAGGAUCCAACAGGCAAUCGCAACAGGCAUCUUACCAUUAUCACCCUUGUUCCUCCAACAACCGUCAGCCCUAUUACAGCAGUUACCUUUGGUCCAUUUGGUGGCACAAAACAUCAGGGCACAACAACUACAACAACUUGUGCUAGCAAACCUUGCUGCAUACUCUCAGCAACAUCAGUUUCUUCCAUUCAACCAACUGGCUGCAUUGAACUCUGCUGCUUAUUUGCAACAACAAUUACCAUUCAGCCAGCUAGUUGCUGCCUACCCCCAGCAAUUUCUUCCAUUCAACCAACUAGCAGCAUUGAACUCUGCUGCUUAUUUACAGCAGCAACAACUACUACCAUUCAGCCAGCUAGCUGAUGUGAGCCCUGCUGCCUUCUUGACACAACAACAGUUGUUGCCGUUCUACCUGCACGCUAUGCCUAACGCUGGCACCCUCUUACAACUGCAACAAUUGCUGCCAUUCAACCAACUUGCUUUGACAAACUCAACAGUGUUCUACCAACAACCCAUCAUUGGUGGUGCCCUCUUUUAGAUUGCUUAUGAGUUAUAGUUCAAUAAUGAAGUUUUUUGGAUGAUGUUUGUGGCGUCCCAGAAAUAAGAAAGUACAUUUCUAGAUUCUUAUGUGCUUCUAGUCUCCAAAUGUGGUCGAUAGUUAUUUUGCUCUAAGAUCGGGAGUAAUGAGGUAUAAAUCAUCGUUGUGGUGUGCUACUCGGUUAAUUAAGCAUUAACACACACAAACAUGACGAGGAUGGUAUAAUCUCCAAAAAUAUGUACUUUGUUAGGUGGGACCCUAUAGCCAUGCAGAAUGUGCUAUGUUAGGCUUGCCGAUGGAAACGUGUGACGCAUACGUUUUGUGAACCUGUUGAUAUUAUAUGUGCUUUUAUAUUAUCAUAUUUUAUUAAAAUAUUAAUAUUUAUUACUAGUAAGAUAUAACAUUCUAUCUAACUUAAAACUUACCAUAAAUAUUCCAUCAUAACUAGAUUUACCAAACUAAUAAACUAAAUAUACAUAAUAAAUACAAAAUUAACAAGACAUUAAUCAAUAUUUACGAGCUUAAUAAAUUUAAACAUUAUGGUUUGUCGACGAUAAUCAUACUAACUUUCUGUAAUUGCUUGAUUGUAAAUAUGCUUAGACUAAUGCCUCUUUGUUCUACAUGGCAAAUAGGGACCGCUCUAGAAGACUAGGAUGUCCCUUGAGACGAAAAUGUUAUCAUUGGUGUAGACUAAUUUCUAUCGGUCGCUGACUUCACUAUUGUAACCAUUAUCUCUUGGGUAAAUCAUAUACGAUUAUCCAGCCAAAGGGCCCAGAUGAUAAAAAACAAUUUUAAUUGCUAUUUCAGGACAAAUGAAUUAGCAUGGUUCGAAGGAUUAUGACCUUCCCCCAUGACCUUUGUCAUACUGCUUUAGUCUAAUCGACAAAACCAAGAUUAGAUUUCAUCGAAGAAGUUGAUAAGCGAAGCUGUGACGAUGAAAGGAACAUGGUGGCAAUAGGACGAACGACAAUUCCUUUGUCUAAGAAUGACAUCUAGAAGAAAUCUCAGACAAAAUAGAACAUGAAUGGCUUGUCAGUACAACGAAAAUACUGAAACAUGCACCCUUGAAUAUGAAACAUUUAUAUGUAAGAGGAAGGGCUAAAAAACUAAUUUCUCGUGCCUAAUGAUUUUAUUGAGAAUUUUAAGGCGAGACUUAUGGAAAAGGGUUAUACCCAAAAAAAGGAGAGAUUAUUUCGAUACUUAUUAACUUGUUGCCCUUCUAAUGACCAUACAUGUGUUACUUUUUUGGUUGCCUCGCAUGGUCUUAUCGUUCAUCUGAUGAAUGUUAAGACUUCUUUCCUAAAUGGAGAGCUUAAGGAACAGAUCUACAUUGACUAGCUUGGUGGUUUUAUAUCAAAUGAUAAAGAGAAAAAGGUGUUUAAAAUAUUACAAUUGUUUGGUUUAAAACAAGCACUAAAGCACAUAAGAAAUUUGGUAAAGUUCUGACUUUGGCUAAAUUUGUUGUAAAUGAAACUGAUAAAUGUGUCCAUUACCGAUUUGACAGGGGCGAAGGUAUGACCCUUUUUAUAUGUGGACAAAAUAUUAACCUUUUGUAACGAUGUUAAUAUGAUCGAGGAAGUAAAGUACUUUUUGUCUAGUAACUUUGAAAUAAACAAUCUGGGAGAGGCUAAUGUUGUUCUUAACAAAGAGAUAUUGAGAGAAGAAGGAAAUACGGAGUUACUCUUGUGCAAUCCUAUUAGGUUGAAAAGUCGCCGAGUCACUUUGGAUAUAGUGAUUACACGUCUCGUCCAACAACUUAUGAUCCAAGCGUGCUAUUAUGGAAAAAUCAUAUUAUCGCAUAUGAUCAAUUGAGAUACUGUCAAAUCAUGGUCUUCUCAUAUAUUUGGCUAGCCCAGCGAUGUCUGAUAUCUCAUUUGUUAUGAGCAAACUCAGUCAGUUUGUAUCCAAUCUAGGGGAGGAUCAUGGUAUGCCCUAGAGAGGGUAUUGCACUUUCUCAAAGGGACUAUGAGUAAUGGCAUUUAUUACACUAGGCACCUAAGAGUACUAGAGUGUUAUAGUGAUGCAAAUAGGAUAUCUGAUGUUGAUUAGGUUUAAGCCACAAGUAGACUUGUGUGCUUUCUUGGAGGUGUGAUUGUUUCAUGGAAGUCUUGUAAGUAGACCAUCUUAACAAGGUCAACAAUAGAAGUAGAACUCACAAUAUUAGAUACUACCAAAGUUGAAGUUGAGUGGCUCCAUGAACUCCUUAUGGAUUUAGCAGUAGUUGAAAAAUCAAUACUGGUUAUCUCUAUGAGAUACAAUAAUCAAACAUUUGUAAUCAAAGUAAAUAGUCCUAAAGUUAACAUGAUGUCUACAAAGCACGUAAAAUGGUUGAAACUGUUAAAACACUAAGAAACUCUAGAUUAAUUAUGUUGGACUAUAUCCAUACAUCUAAGAAUUUGGUAUGCCACUUUAUAGAAGAUUUGUCACAUAAUAUGAUUCAAGGUGCAUCGAGGAAUAUAGGCUUGAGACCCACUUAAUGUCAAUCCAUAGUGGUAGCAUUUUCUAUGUGAUUGGAGAUCUCAUGAAGUAGAAUGGUGAAACAAGGUAGAGAAUGACUGAUGGAGAGACUCCUUAAAUAAAAUCUUGGUAAUUUGAGAUGCACAUUUCUCAUUUGAUGUAUUGUAGGCGAACUAAAAUCUUAAUAUAAUUUGAGUGACUUAUCUAAGUAGGGAUGUUAUCUUACAGAACAUCCUAGAAAGAACACACCUAUAUGAGUUUGAAUGUUAGUCAUAGUCUAUCAUGUGUGGGUAAUCUUUAUAUACUCAUGAAAGGCCUCGAAGUUUGACUUAUACAGUUCAAACCAAGGGGGUGCUUGUAACAGUCUAGUACCAGAUAAGAACUUUGGUGAUACUCACUUAACACAAAAAUGUCAAUUCAAGGCAUAGUUCAUUGUUUAGAUGUGAAUGUGUAAUCCCUAUUUUAGAUGGAUGGUCAACUUAACAGCCUCCACCAAAACCCUGAUAUCUCAAAGAGUAGUGGAUUUGAGUUUGUCUAAUAUGUGGCUUAGAAUUUGGUGGGGAUUGUUAAUAUUUUAUGGGCUUGGCCCAUUUAAAGUAUUUAAUACUUUUGAAAGCCAAGAUUAAACAAACUAUGUAUGAUCCUUUAUCACUGUAUAGAUGGUUGAUGGGAUGGUUACAUUGUUUAUAUAGAUGGACCUAUCUGUAUUCAUUGAGUGGUUGAGAAAAAGGUAAAGGCGCGUCACACCCACGUGUGUGCCACCUCCACCGAGACGAUGUGUGGCGUGGCAAGGUGAGGCAUGGCAUGGUGCAGCACGGUUGCAGUCAUGGUCGUGGCGCGGUGUAGCGUUGUUGUGGAUAGAUAGAUAAACUAUUGUUGUAGUUAGAGCACAUGAGUUUUUGAAUGUAACACUAGAAUCUUCGCAUGUUAACUUAAUUAAGAACUUAUAUCUUGAUGACAUAGAGUUACCUGACCAUUGAUCUCACAUGCCCGUUUAGCUCUCUCGUUCUCUGGUAUCACCCUGUCUAUUUAGGUCUCCUUACUCGCCAAUAUAAACAUCAUCCUAUCAUUUGCUCUCGAUUCACUUCUGUCACUACUCAACUGUCAGAUGUGUGGCAGAACCUCCCAAGUUAUUGGGCCCACAUGCACCUGCCCUUGUCUCAAAGACCUCAGACGACUAUGCAUGUGCACCAGAUAACUUAACAGGAUCCGUCUGAGUGUCCCAAGGACCCCGGAUAAACCACUUACAACCAGGACCACAAGAUUAAGUAAACACAAAUCACACACUAACGUUUAGCAGCGGAAUUUCUUUAUUACAAAAAACUUACAAGUUACACCAAAUUUACAUUAUGUUUAUCGGAGUGGUUACAAAAGUGUUUCAAAGGAAUAAACUUUGAAGUGUUAUAAAUUAUUUAUAAGUUUGAAAUAUAUGCUAGCUUAGUGACAAUCCUCAACAAGAAGUAUAAUAGAGGUACUUAGACUUAUAAGAAGGUCGUGCCCACCGGCGGUUAACACCAUCCAUAGCAGCACAAACCUAGUACCUGCAACAACAUGGGUUCGAAAACCCUUAGUACGAAGUGUACGUUCGCAAGUCUUACCCGUCUAAGGAAAAAGACUCUCAAGGAUAUGCUGGCUAUUGGGAAUCAAGGUAAAGCUUAUCAAGAAUCAAAGAUUGUUUGCAGAAAAGCUUACUAUAAGUGAAUCCUUAAAAAAUCAUUUUACUUGUCAGGUUAAGUAAAGUUACCUGCAUCUAGAGUUCUUUCUAUCCUAGUUCAAUCACUUGGCCUAUACUAGCUGUCUUUUUAUCAUCCCAUCAGUUCACUGGAUUGCUACGUGUAAGUCAGUGACCAAGUCUUCAUGUCCGAGAAGUAACGGCGAUCCGAAUCGAUUAAUACUCAGCUAAGGAUCUCUAAUCACACGACAUAUGUAGCACUUAACCCUUGCAUAUGUCAACUCGCCACUGGGUUUCUCAAGACCAGACCGGGUUCACGCUAACCGAGAGCACAGAUACACCACCGUCCAGCCUCUUGCCACGGAGGAUACACACUACUCUCGCCAUCUCUCCACUCCCAUUGCGUGUUGGCCUUUCUGGUAUUGGUCUGCCCGAGGCAAAGCUUACCCAUGACGAGGCAUGUGACUAGUUAAAGGGUCCUCGGUCAGCAGACCCACAUCGGUACGGUCCUUAAUCGACUCAGAUGGAGACACUACACCGAGACUCCCUUCUUGUGCAAGUCAACUGCCCGGUCUCAGCUUUAUUAUUUAAAACCCAAAGUUUGGUACUUGGCAGAAGUACAUCUUUUCAGAUGUUGAACCCAUCAAGGCCCUGAUGGAUCCACCAUCAUAAGUUUUUCUUUGUAAAAAUUCCCAUCCAAUCUGAAGCAUCACCUUUUUUUGUAAAACAAAACAUUUUGUUUCUCUAAAGCAAUGCUAAGCAUCAUAAAAUCCUUUUCAUAAAAGGGAUAUCAAGGGUAAUCAAUUUUUCAAGGAAGAAAAUGCAUCAAUUGUUUAGCACACAACUUCUAUCACCUAAUGCAUCAAACAAGGCGAUAAAGAUUUUAAAACAGCAAGGAGGUGGCAAAUGCACUGGGACUUGCCUAGAUAACACUAGGUUAGUGUUGUUAGGUGGCAACCAGCCUUUUGUGUUGGCACUUAUUCAGUCUGCCAUCUUCAGGUUGAUCCCCCAGCAUCACCUUGGGGAGAAGCCCACGCUUAACAUCAUCUUGUGGUCGACUCAGCUCUGGUCCUCCAUAUCACGUGAUCAACUAGCGUACCUCAUAAGAUGCACGAUGCACAUGUAUGAGUAUCAAGACGAAUAUCGCAAGAUAAUAUUACGAUUUUACAGAAUGAAGAAUUAAACACUUAAUGGUAAAGCAUCACGACAUUUCAUAGGCAACCCGCAUGGAUCUAACGAUAUCACACAACGUAAUAUAACUAAACAAUUCAAAUCCGCGAGGACGACGACGAAUCCAGUCCGAGCAAUCCACCGAAUACUCGAUGAACGUCGCAUGGAUCUUACUUCAUCAAAGCAAAGGUCACCACAAAAACAUAACCUUAACAGUCUAACGUAUUUAUACAAUCUUAGUACAUAGUUUCUUAGAUUUCGAUUAAAAUCGGCUCACCGACACUACUCGUUUCCAAAUAAUUUUAAGCUACGACCCACAUUUAUCCCCCGAAUAUCGACUUAAGUGAUCAGCAUUCGUCUAUGACACCUAGCCGAUUAACAACAUAAUACGGCACUAUUAAAGCAAAUCACUACUUCACCACUACUAUUCAAGUAGAAACUAUUGGCUGGCUGAUUAAAAUCCCAAACCUAUUUUACAUGUUAUGAACUAGCCAAAAUAUAACAUAUAUAUCUAUCAAUAUCUUCAACAUAAUUAACACCCCAAGCCUAUGCUUCAUCACACAAAGACGAAGUGUCAACUCUACAUUUAUGAGCAUCGCCACAUACUACAUGUGAUACAUUUUAACAAUCAUUUAAUAUAACCACACGCACCUGUGCAACUAACAAAAGAAUUCGUCGUGACCAACAAACUAACUCAAUCUACUCCAUGAGUCGGCUAGCGGGAGUAGUGAAAUAGCUCACCACACCAUAAACGACUCGGAUCUGCGAAAUCGACGAUGAAUCCUAGCUCAAGCAUUUCAUUAGACAUUUGGCAAGUGUUGCGUUGAACUACGGUUUCUUUUCCGCACAAAACCCUGGGAUUGCUUUCCUUAAAUCAGGCGCCCAAACUCACGACAUCGACCAAUUCACGGGUACGCAUGGAACAGUGGCGACAACGAGUCAAUGAUAGUUGACCAAACUUUACAUUACCUCGAGCAGUUGGCGAAUGCUGCGGCACGGAAGCAGUAGCGUGCGCAUAAAGGCAGUGAAUGUGGCGAGGGCCCGGUUUGGACAUUUCGUUGAGCGCCUAGCUUGUACCGACGGCGCAGGUGCUGGGCCGAGAGACAACGACAAAAUCCGAUUAUCUAUACUACCUAUUAAGGCUCUAAGGGGUAGGCUGCCUCUGCUUGUUCUGCCUUCCGACGAUCUCAACCGUCCAAUACGCUCUAGAGUCUCUCAGCCGUCCGAUGCGCGCACUCUCACCCCCCACGCAUCGCCCCGCCCCCACCCGAUCGUCCAACCGUGCGCUACCCUAGCUUUGCCUCUACACUCCUCCCGCCGCCUCCUACCCUCCUCCGCGCGACGGCGCGAGCCGCAGCCGGCCCCCGCUCGAGUUGUCCACGAAUCCCACCGCUUGACGCCGUCCAUGCCGCGCCGCACGCCCGCAACCGCCCGCGAAUCCCGCCGCGACCCGCACGCCGUCCCUACGCCCGCCGCUAAACCCCCGUCGUGAAAUGCCCGCACGCACACCUGCUAGCCGCUGCGCACGCCCGCCGCGCGAUGCCGUCCAUGCCGCACCGCACGCCCGCAACGGCCGCCUCCCUACGCGCUUGGGAACCGCCCGCACAGCCCGCCGCGACCCGCACGCCCACGCGCCCAAAUCCCGUCAUGGUCUAGGGCUUCCCCACAACGCCCUCCUUCCCUGCGGCCGUAGAGGCUCCCGCGGCCCCCGUGGCGUGCGCCAGGUGCGGCGCGGACGGGUGCACGGCGGCCGGCUGCUGCGAGCUCGUCGCCGGGUCCAGCAGCGACAGCGACGACGCAGGGUGCUUCGGGACCCGCACCAACGGCGGCGGCCUAGGCCUAGGCCUAGGCGCGGGCAAGCGGAGAGGGAGGGGAGGGGGAGGAAGGUGAGCCAGUACAGGGGCGUGCGGUCCAAUUUUUGGGUAAAUUUCUGGGUCUUCAUCGUGUAUUUUAUGGUUCGUUGAUGGGUUUCCUGAUGGUUGAUGCACGCCUGCUUGGUGGAGGCGGGAAUGGUGAUCGAUGAUUCGUUGGGUGGGUGGGGGGACUGGCUGACAGCUGACAGCUGACUGUGUAUUGUGGUUUGGAUGGCAGGUUUAGCGUCAGUAAUAGCUAGGAUUAGGGUUCAGGCGAUGCUAAGAUUUUGGGGCGCCAAUUGCAGAAUCACUGGAUUGAUUCAUCUUUUAGGGGUUUCCUCGUACUCGGAGUACGAGGGCACCGUUUUAGUUGAAUGUUGCUCUGGUGUCUAAGCGCCAGGUAGUCAAUUUUGCAGUUUCAGUUGGGGAUUGUACGCUGGCAUCAGUUUUUACCUUCUACUCGUUUCAUCUCUUAACAACUUUGUGGUUUGCAGUGGGCACAACAAUUUGUUGCUGCAAACUCUUGUGCUCCGUGGGGCGUGGGCUGUGCAGCAGUUGUGCAGUUUAAUUGUUCUGUUUAUCAUAAUACACAAGGAGUUAGUGUUUGAGCAGAUGUCAAGAUGUUAAUUGUUUAGCAGAUCUCUAGAGGUAAGGGGUUUAUUUAUUUGUUUUUGUUGAACAUAGGGUUUAAGCAGGUCUAAGACUUCAGAUUUUGUGUGGUGACAGUCUUAGGGAUUGCUAAUUUGCUACUAAGAUCGGGAUGCCCACAAUUGUAAUUGUUUUUCGAUCAGAUACUGUUGGUUUUGCAUGGUCCUUGUAUGAGGAUUACUUCUCUAUGACAUUUUUUCUUCUGCAGAAUAAUCUGUCCUUGAAAUAGUGGUGAUAUGUAUUUCUUUUCAGUGCUGUUUUUGUAACUGUGUGAUGGUUAAUCCAUUGGAUUCAUAUGUUCUUGUGUGUCAUAUUUAGGUUGUGUUGGAGGAAUUUAAAACCCUAGCCUAUUGAGUGAGCUGAGUCCUGAGUGUUACAUGUAUUAGAAUUAGGCUCAUAACACUUGUCAUGGCUAGAAAAUUUAGAUCCAGUCUAAAGUUUUUAUUACGGAUCUCACUACUCUAGCAUGGGAAUCGUUCUUCAUUACAUGCUUAGGCUCGAGCCAUUUACAUCUCUGUAUCUAAAUUUUCAGGUUGUCAUUUUGCUCAUAGCUAUCACUGUUUCCUUAAAAUUCGAGCACAUAGCUAUUAUUUUCAAAACAUUAUUCAUGAAUUUGUCAAAACAUAAUUUCUCUUGUUGUAUUUCACCACAGUUCAAAAUAAGGGAUCUUAUCAUAUUAUUUACAUUUAUGUCUGUCUGACACUUGUGCAGGGUGGCAAGUUUGACCAUGCAGAUCAUUUGUUCCAAAGCAUUGAGAGCGCUUACAUAAAUAGCUUAUCAAAUACAAGUGACGUCAAAGAGCUUAUUCCAGAAUUCUUUUACAUGCCCGAGUUUCUUGAAAAUUCAAAUUCAUAUCAUCUUGGUGUCAAGCAGGAUGGGGAACCUAUAGGCGAUGUUGCUCUCCCUCCAUGGGCAAAGGUAACAGUUCCUCUUGAUGUUAGUUAUAUUUGUAAUAAUAGUUUUCUUGAGGAUGGAUUGUUUGUCUACCAGGAUAGUUCUGUUGCUUUUCUAAUGACAGUUAAUUUAGCUUUACAACUGUGUUAGUAAAAACCUUACUAUUCUCAGAUACACAGGGUAUAUCUAGCUUUCACAUACAUGUUACAUUUCCUAUCCCAUCUAUCAACUACAGACGGCAAGAAGUUUGUUGACUGCUUGAAGGAUCAGAAUAUCAUGCCUGGCAUCAAGGUUGACAAGGUAUGCAUGCCAUGAUCUUAUAACAUCAUGUUAGCCCACAAUUUGCUUCUAUCAUUAUGAUUCUCACUGCCUGAUUGCUUUGGUUUCAUGAAUCAGGGUUUGGUUCCAUUGCCUGGAUCCAACAAUGAAUCAUGGUGCCAAGGUCUUGAUGGUUUGGCUUCAAGGUGUGCUGAGUACUAUAAGCAGGGGGCGCGCUUCGCAAAGUGGUCUGUUCAUACUUCCCUUAUUCAUGUGUCAACUAAUCUUAUUUGUGCUUCCUUUCUAAAGUUGCUAUGAUUAUCGAUCUUCUCUAGGAGGACUGUUGCUAGCAUCCCUUGUGGUCCAUCUUCAUUAGCAGUCAAGGAAGCAGCAUGGGGACUUGCUCGAUAUGCUGCUAUUGCUCAGGUAACAAAAUAAACUGCAACUGUGGAAACAUCUUGCAAUAAUUUUUUGAUGACUCAUGGAGCUUUGGUGAAGAACCUAUCUGCAUUCGUAUGGGCACGCAUUAGUCGUGCUGCAGUUACUGUGGAUAGAAAGACGUAUUUUAAUGGGGCUCAGGAUUUGUUUGUUGUUCAACCUGAGGUGUUUAUAAACAUCUAAUACCCCCUGUUCCAAACUAUACUAUGUUUUGACUUUUAUAGAUUCAUAGCUUUGUUGUGUUCUUAGAUAUACACUAUGUCUAUAAUAGUAUAAUCUAUAUAUAUAUCUAUACUACCUAUUAAGGCUCUAAGGGGUAGGCUGCCUCUGUUUGGUUCUGCCUUCCGACGAUCUCAACCGUCCAAUACACUUUAGAGUCUCUCAGCCGUCCGAUGCGCACGCUCUCACCCCCACGCAUCGCCCCGCCCCCAGAUCCCGCAUCCCCCACGGAUCCCGCAGCCGCGCCGCUGUCGCUCCCUCCCGUGCUCCCUUCGCGCCCGCCCAUGGAUCUCCGACAUCGAGCGCUGCCGCCGCUGCCUCGCCUCGGCAAACCCGGCUCCAGGGCGACAGCUCCCGCCGGUGGGACCUCGUGUUCAGCGUCGUGAAGCCGUCCGUGAUCCAGCUGCGGGGGCCCACCAAGGUCAGUGUCUUCAUCGCCAGCAACGACGGCAGCGCUCGCUCCCUCCGUACCAUCCAAUGGCCCGCGUUCGUCCCCUGCCCCGGCAACCCAGCUUAACCCUAGCUCGCUCCCUCCGUAGCCGCCUCUUCCUGCUUCGCUCCUCUCGCGUAGCAACCGCUCCCUCCACUCCCGAGAUCGUGGCCCGACGCCAUGCCGCUCCCGAGACCGCGCCACAAAGCCGCGGAACGUCCUCACCGAUGCACCGACGCGCCCCCGAGCCUGCUUCCCGACGCCACCCUCACACAACCUGCCCCCUGUCACCCUCUGGACGGGACGACACAGGUCUGGAGAAGGGUCCAGAAACCGGCGCGAGUCCACCGCGAAUCCACACGAUCGAUGUCGUCCUCCCGCUCGUUUCGCCGUCGACCUUUCUCCAGUGGUUGAGUGCGACAGGGUUGGUGGCUAGGUCGUGCGAUGGCGAAAUCGAGUCCAGAGUAGCAGAGCAAGGCUGGUCCCAGCGGGCUGCCGGUGUUGUGACCUGCGUGCGUGGUCGUACGCCUGGCCGUUGUGCCGCUAGCUGCGGCGGGCGGGUGGCUGGCGGCGUCGCAUGGCGGACCCAACGCCCAUACAACCUCCAGGGAUUGCUUCCUCCCCAUGGCGUGGAUCUAGAUGGUCUUCACGGCAGAGGAGGAAGAGGUGUCACAGCAGCUUCCGAAGACAUCGUCGACGUCCCUUACCACCUCGAUUGGCGAUGGCAUCGACAGCCCCCAGCCACUGCCCGCGCUAACGGUGGCGUGGACCUCACUGUCUUCAAGCAGUUCGAGCGGAUGGUGUGUUGGCUUCUGCAUGCUUCGUGUUUUCGAAUACGUUGCUAAGCUCAGCAUUGGUUGGUGAUGGUUUUGGUUUGCCAUCUUAAAGAAUCCUGAGCCUGCCAAUGGCGACGACGAUGGAGCUUUGUCACUGCCAGAGACAGGAUUGGGGCUUAGCUUGAAUACUGACGGGGUGCUCAAGGCGUGGUGUGCAGAGGCUCUGCGUUUGCUGAUGGCAAUGGGCCUGACUUGCCAUUGUCCCCUGCUCAUGUGGUAGUAAGUAUUUCCAGCUUAUCUAAAAAUUAUAAAAGAUCUUACAUUUCCAGUUAACAAUUAAAGAUGGCUAGAGCUCUUGGAACCCUGAGUUAUACCUGCUAUUAGUUCAUAUCGUCUGGUAAGUAGAAUCUAUUUCACUUCAGUAGAAGUACAGAUCGUCUGUUGUUUUCUAUCAGCAGUGAUCAGAAAAACUUGGCAUGCAUUACUUUGUUUCGGUCCCUUCGCAUUUCUUGUCAAUGGCAGAUUUCUCCCAGAAGAAAAUCUGUGUCUGAAAUUUGCUAAUAUGAAAUAGUACAGUAUGCCCACCAGUACUUGACUUUACUGACUCAAUGGGCCAGGCAGAAGGAAAUUCCAAUUGGUUGUUUUCUUUGAGUUGAAUCAUUAUAACAAACUUAGCCCUCAUUAUGAUGUAUCUGCAGUUUUUGAAUUCAAUUGAAGUAAAAGGAAAUAUCAUAGUUUGGUCCUUUCGUGAAAUUUUUUUGUCCAAUUUUUUGUCCUUGUAGGUUUUUACGUUGCAUUAGAAAACAUUGUAGGCAACUGAUUUUCUAACAUGUCCCUAUCAGAACUUCCUCCGAGACCAUUUCUUGAGAUCUUGGCACGAGAACUACGACGACGACGACUGGUAAUGUGAUUCUUGCGCCUUCGUUUUUCCCCUGUUUAGACUUUAGAGUGAAUUAGUAUCAUUUUGCUUUUUCCUUUCACCUGAUUGGCAGGGUCUUAGAUUAUUCAACAUUGAUAUGAUUAGGGAGCACCCCCCUUGUCAAGCAACUCACACCAUUACAAGAUCUACACGACAUGGCAUCUGCAUCGCCAAGGCCUCGCUCAACUCAGCGCGGUGAGUAGCACAUGAACAAAAGUGCCCUUUUACCAGUUUUUUAUCAGGGUGCAAUUCUGGAAGCUCAUUGUUUCUAUAAAGAAUUCAAGCUCACUGCAGUUUACUUUGUGUAACAGGAAAGGUGCAUCGAUGACAACCCGGUUCUAUUGUAACAAGAUCAGUGUGGUCCUGGUUGCUUGAUGCUUGUUUGGUUUAAUUGUAUAGCAAAAUUAGGUGUUGACUGCCGAUACCUGGAGAUGUGACACCGCCAGAUGUGUCGCUCAGGCCAGUCACACUGCUCUGCUGUUUUUCAAAGAACAACCUCUUGCUGCGUCAUCAAGGGGUAGACCAGUCUCUGAUGAUUCGUGUAAGAAUCCUUGGGAGAAAGCAAGUGGUCCUGGAAAUGUUACCAGGACAUCUCUGGCCCCACAAGGGCUGCAAGCACAAGUAGGUAUUUAUGUGUUUCACUGAGGAGUGCUACUCAUACCCACGAUGGGAUUUUUUAACCUUAGUCUAAAAUUCGCUCCCAUGGGCAGUCGAACUCAGGACACUGAGGAGUGCUACUCAUACCACAACCAAAACCAAGUCAGCCCUUUCGCUAUACUCUUAAAGGGUUUCUUCAUUUUUUGUUUUCAAUGUUGAUUAUCAUACCUAAAAUGAAAAGAAUGUAGAUUAUGGUCGUAUGGCUGAAAUACUCGUUCGGAGGGCAGGCUCUACUGAUGAAUUCACUCGGUUGACAUCUAUCACAUGGGUAAUUUGUCUUUCAUGUUUUCCUGUGAUCUUAAAACCUAGAAUCUAGACUGCAGAAGCUGGUUUAGUAUUUGUAAGAAUGCUUGACUUAUGACUUAUCCUUUGAAGUGUAGAUCAACGAGUUUGUGAAGCUUGGUGGGGAACAACUUGUUCCCUACUAUGCAGAUAUAUUGGGCGCUGUCUUACCAUGCAUAUCUGACGAGGAGGAGAAAAUCCGAGUGGUACUUUCCCAUCAUGAUUCAUACACUUACUGCAAUGUGAACUGCGUGGUGUGUGCAUGUUCAGGAAUAGCAUUUACUUUAGUUACUGAUUUGUUUGCAAGGUUGCACGCGAAACAAAUGAGGAACUCCGUGCUAUAAAAGCUGAUCCAGCUGAGGGAUUUGAUAUCGGAGCAAUUCUUUCAAUCGCAAAAAGGUUCUCUAUAAAGUCCCUUGGAAAUGAAACUAUGUAGAACUGUUAGGCAUCUAUCUGUAUGCUCUGCCUAUGCUGGUAUUUGAUAAUUAUAUCAACAUGAAAUUUGUGACAAGGCAUUGACCUUUUGUCCUUCAUUUCCAGAGAAUUGAACAGUGAACAUGAGGCCACUCGAAUCGAAGCAUUGCAUUGGUUCUUCACUUUGCUGGAUCGAUAUUGUGCUGAGGUACUAAAAGAGCGAUGGUUUUUGGGCUGCAUUUUGAUAAAUUUCAACAUGUAUCUAAAUGUUUUUAAGCUUUUACAUUGCUGUGAUUUUAUUUUGUCAACUUAGAGUUGGACAUAUGAGAGUUGCAAUUCAUUUAGAUUAACACAAGUCUAUUUGGACCUAUGGUUUAUUUACAUAUUUUCUGGAACAGUUCUUGGCUUACCUGAACGAUAUUUUUGAUCCACUCCUAAAUGCACUUUCUGAUCCUUCGGACGCGGUGAGUUUUCUUUGAAAAGCCUUCCAAACUGCUCUGCUUGUUUCUAGAAUUUGAAACUACAUCCUGUUGUGGGCUGUGAUUAGCUGAUAUUAUAUUGUGCUAUUUGUAUGCGAUGACUUAUAAAGUUAUAGUUUAGUACCAUUUCACAACUCAAUCAAGGUUUGGAUCUAUUUGGAGGGCACAAGCUGCAACUGUUGGGCCUGGUACUGUAGAACCACACCCCAGCACCAUUGGAGUAAUAAUCUUAGAUGAUAAGUUAGAUUCACAUAAUCUCUACUAUAUUUAAAUGGGAAUAAUCUCUCUUCGUGCGUCGCCACGCGUCUCCGCUCCUCCCGCCUGCCUAGCUGAAUUAAUCAAAAAAGGAGAAAAGGAAGAUGGCUCCAGGAUUCAAACCUGGACUGCAAGGACCAAAGCCACGCCCCUUAACCACUGCAUAUAAUGUUCCUUUGUGUUACAGAAGGAUAGAUAUUAUAAUUAAAAGGUAGAUAUUAUCACUACACCUUUAAAGCUUGUGCAAAAAAGAUGCGGGAUGAAAGAUUCGAACCCUGGUCUCUCAAGAAGGGUACAAAGACUUCGCCUGCUAACCAAUACACCUCAUGUUCUGUUAUGUUUUACAAAGGAUCAAUAAUUUUAAUAUAAUAAUACGUAUAAACAGCGCCUGCCCAGGGUGGGUGGUUGCCAUGCUCGUAGCGAUCGGCAGACUGGAUGUUCGCUGUACGUGCAAGGAACAACCUCCAACCUGACCAGUCACAGCAUUGAAGAGAACUGUGACUAUUUCUGCUGGCCCUUGAUGACAGUUCCCCCCCCAGUUAUUUGCUACAAGAAAACCUUUUUUCAGCAGAGUAGCUUUUGGACACCUUGUAUAUGCCUUCAAUUAAAGCGUUUGAAACUCUUUGCAGCCUGCUCACGAGAAAAUCGGUGUCGUUGAUUCCCAAUGGAUUGUACACCAAGUGAUUCCUUCUCUCGGGAACCAGGUAAGGAAGAAAAAAAAGAAACAAAUGUGUACAAUCAGAUUCUACUGUAGCGCCUGAAUAGCAUCUUCCAAAUGCACAGGGGCAGUCGGAGAAUGGGAGGGCGCCAUGGGAAGGGGUAUGAAUCUGACGACUUUGAUAGAUAAUCUCAUGAUGUUUUGUGAGUGUGUGAGGUGCUGUGAAUGAUCUUUAUCUUGGUUGCUGUGUAUGCAGUUAAGAGAGCGUUGCCGGAAAGAGUGGGGGCUUUUCCAGACAAGAAUGGCAGAAGCUGAGAAAGCAUAUUACGAGAUGAUGGGGAUUACACCUCCGAAUGUAAUAUUUGUCUCCUAGGAUAAAAGUUUCAACCCACAUUUUUUUCCUUUGUGUCCAGCAGUGGCUCUUCGAAUAGAGUUAGAUAUUGAUGAAUGGUACAAGUAGAUCAUACGUGACGAUAUAUAUAUAUAUAUAUAUAUAUAGAUCCUUUGAUCCUUCUUCCUGUGUAUUUAUCGUGGGCUGUUCUCACUAGGGUUCUGGUGAAAUGAGAAUGAUAUGUCUGUUCAGUUUAGAGCUUAUAUUCUCUGAACAUGAACAUUCAGAAUCGACAGCAUUGUGCGCACACGAAAAUUCUGCAGAAAACAUUUCAGACGGACAAGGAUGGCCAAAGUAUGACACUUCAUUGUAUACUAGGUGAAUGCCCGUGCGUUGCUACAGAGCGAACAUGUUACAAUAAGAUACAUUAAAAUUCAAAAUACUAAUUACUAUUUUAUGUUCUUAUUAACAUAUUUUAAAAGUUAAGAUAUUUUACAUACCUUAAAAUUCCUACACAUCAAACAAAUCCAUCAUGUGCAGUAAAAUGCAAUAGAGAAGCAUGCAGAUACUGAUGAGGGACGCAGAUUUUUUGGGGACAAAAUGAGGGAGCUGUUGGAGCAUAGAUAAUCACUAGGUAGGGGCUCGUGCGAUGCCACGGAACAUAAAUCUCGAUUUGUAUAUCAGCUAUGCUUCCUGUGAAGCAAGGAAGCGAACGCAAGCCAGCCUUUUGUAUUAGUGCAUUAUGUUCAGUUCUUACUUGAUCAUCCCGUGUUCUCGUGUGUGCCAUUGCCGAGUGGCAAGCUCAACACUGGUAUUGUUGUCUUGUCUCAAAUGAAGUCCGCUUCCACAAGUUAAUCGGAAAUCUUCAUGGGUGAUAGCUGUGUCAGAUUCUUCCGCGCAUAGGGCAAGUAAUGCAAGUGAUAGCUGUGUCAGUUUACCCCCAUUUUUUGGGCAUCUCAAAUGAAGUCCAUUGGAGGUUCGCAAUUUAUGUUCCGUGGCAUCGCACGGGCACCUACCUAGUUAUUGUAGACGAGGAGGACAUGGAAAAUCCUGAGCGAGCACCAGCGUGGAGCUGGGGACCGAGCAGAGGAGGUCUAGGCUAGAGUGGCGCCCAAACACACGACCAUGCAAUCGGUAAGGACUGGGAGCUCAUUUUCGGAUCUGGGCGACAGCGCAGUCCAAGACGGCUAUGACCAGGAACCGAGCUGCAGGACGAGGUCAAACGGAGACCAGAGCUGGCUCACAACGAAGUUGGAGUCGACGACCGGCGACAAAGGAAAUAGGGGGGCGCUCCUCCGACAACUAAAGCCCACGCCGGACCGAGCAGAGAGCGCAGGACCACGGCAAAGUGAGCGCUCCCACGAAAGAACACAACCACACAGACGCGGCCACCGGUGAGGAACCUCGACGUUGAAGCUGGAGUAAGCGAGGGCGUCCGAUCUGCAGAAACUGAGAAGGGGAAAAAUGGAGAAGGGUCGACGGCGUCCUGCGCAGGGAGAAAGCGCGCGCGACCAGGGACUCGGGCAACGCAGUGACUGCGAUCUGUAGACCGGCCCAACAGCGAGGACAAGCAGAGAGGGGCGAGCUGGAGCAGAGGGCAGGGCCGAGCUCGGCGUUGGGGGCGAGUGCCGGCCAUGGAAGAUGAGCAGUCGGCGCUGGGGAGCAGGGAGAUGGGAACUCGAGCUGGGGAAAGGGACUCGGCGACCUCAAUCACCAGGAGGCGCGGCCAAGUGAAAUACGAGCAGGGGCCAGGAGCGCGCGGAGGGAGAGGAAGAAAGCUGAGCGCCAUGGAGACGGGCACGGCAGGGAGGAGCGCCGGCAGAGGAGGAGCUCGGCGCGCAGAGGGGCGAGCCAGGGAGCUCCGGCCGGGCGCAGUCCGAGCAGGGUCUAGGGGCGUGUGGAGGAGAAGCCGGGGAGGAGCGCCGGCGAGCUCGCGGCACCAGGGAGCAGGGCGCGCGGCGAGCAGCAGAUGAUGGAAGUUGCCGCAGGGAGAAGCCAAGGUGAGGGCGCGUGAGGAAGAAGGAAAUUGUGGCUGGGCGUCGAUGGUGAGAAGGGAGGAUAAGGACGGCUGAAGCCCAAGCGGUGGAGAGAUAUUUUUCCUUUUCUCCCUUUUCUUUCUUUUAAUUAGGGAAUACACUGCUAACCGAAUUUAAGAAUUAAACGAGACUAAAAUGGAUCAAUUUAUGAUUUUAGGAUUAAGAUUUUAGGGGGUCUAAAAGAUGUAUAAAAGGAUCAGCCAAAAACGAGAUCGACAACAAUAUUUAGACAGGUUUUGAUGUGGUGAAUACUCCCGGUGUCAAUGAAUUCUUACCCUUUAUUUAUAUUUGAAGAUUUAUAUCGAGACAAGAAACAAAUGGACCAAUCCAAAAUGAUAUGGACGACGAUAUUUGAGACUAUUUGAGACUGCAUUAAUUUAGUUGAAAUCGGAUAAAAAUUUAUCCGAUAUCUAAACAUGGUUGAUUUUAUUAUCUUACAGAGUGUGCUGAAUAAUAAAUUAGAUCAUAACCUCGCGCACGAUUUUUCUCGGACAAUGUGUGAUUCAGAUUAUUUUGCCCCGAACAUUUUUUUGUCGUCGAGUUCUACUUAAUCUGUUUGAGAGGAAAUCGGAGGACUGAACUAAAUUUCCAAAUUCGUAUUCGCUUACUGAUGAAUUUUAAAUAGGCACAUGACUCGCAAACUUUCAGAACAAUUACGUUCCGAAAUUCGCGAAAACUUUAGGAAGAGUCUAAAUAGACAGAAACAUAUACGAUAUUAAAGUCGCGAUAGACAAAAAUGAUUAAAAUUUAGCAUCUAUUUUAUCCAACGCUAUCACGUGUUAAAGUCCGCACUCGUGGUCGAGCAGACAAUAAACACCUGGGGUGUUACAAGAUGAGUACUCCUUUACAACACUUACGUACAUGAGUUCUAUGACAGCAGACCUCUGAAAUGAAUGCCAGCUACAUGUUUAUCUACUUAGAUGAAGGAAGACAAUCACUUUUUGUGAUGUCUCGGCGACAUUACUCCUUACUUCCUCCACUUCUUCCUAGUGUUUCUUUAUUGUGAUUGAGUCGACACAGCGACUACACUGCACUACAACAACCAGUACGACUAUAUCAAUUGGCAAUGUCUCCAUUAGGUUUGAGUCUUAUGAGGGGCUUAAAACUAUGUCACAAUUUAUUUUGUUCAUUUUUAUUAUGUUUAAAUUACAUGUGCACCUUUCUACUGACAUAAAAAAAUUAUCAACUUUCUAGAUUAAAAUGCAACUAAAAGUACCUAAAUUUCUGUCGAUGGGGAUCGAGUGACUCUUUAAACCGAUUAUUACACAAGUUAACCAAACUAAAAUUAACAUUGGUGAAUAGUGCCAUGAUUUUUUUUAGUGCAAAAUAGCACAACAAAGCAACACAUAUGUGGCUAUCGUUACACAUGUGUAAAGGUAAUGCAUCACACCAUUGUCACCCAUGUAUUUGGAAAAUACCAAGAAGAAAAAACAACUUGUUUAUUGUAUUUUAUGGAGAUUGUCUUACUUACAUACAAUUAUUACCCAACAAAGUGGUCACUAAAUGUCAAAACCAACUAGAUACCAGGUGACUUUAUACCUGAUCAAGGUCGGAGGUGACCAAGCGACGGGGAGAGACACCGAAACCGUGGAGACUUCGACUCGAUCUCCGAACGACCGCAGAAUCACAACCGGAGCUAAUUCACACAAUGCGAGGCAGCCGUACUGCAACUCACAAGGCACGAACUAGUGGAUCCCAGAGGAAUCUCUUCACAAGUCCAGGAGAACAAGGAAGAACAGGGGUAGAGUAAACACUCAGCAACUUGGCUGCGGUACUCACUUGGAUUAUCAAAUCAUCAAAUGUUAUCAAAAGUUGUUUUACAUCAUAGACAUAGGGGGUAUUUAUACUAGUGAAAGGGAAAUGUGCCCUUGGGCCAUUUCUAAGUAUUUUGGUGAUUGAGUGCCAACACAAGUGCUUAAAUGUGAAUCUAUGCUCUUGGAUGGACAAAGUGCAAAUCAAGAGUAAAGGUAUGUUUCUAAGCUUUAGUACAUUGGUUUUGUGUACUAAUAUACUUGUCUAAGUGUUAGAAACAGAAAGAAGAAGAAAAGAAAAGAGGUGAAAAAGGCUUGGCUGUGUACAGCCAAGACUGAGCUCAGUCUGGCACACCGGACUGUCCGGUGGUGCACCGGACAGUGUCCGGUGCGCCAGGCUGACUCGGCGUGAAGUGGCCGCUCUCGGGAAUUCGCCGACGGCGUACGGCUAAAAUUCACCGGACUGUCCGGUGUGCACCGGACUGUCCGGUGAACCAACGGUCGGCCGGGCCAACGGUCGGCAGCAGAAUCUGCGCGCGACACGUGGCCAGGCCAACGAUCGGAAGGGGGCACCGGACUGUCCGGUGUGCACCGGACAUGUCCGGUGCACCAACGGCUCCCAGAUCUGCAACGGUCGGCCGCGCCAUUUUAGGAAGGAAAUCGGGCACCGGACAGUGUCCGGUGUGCACCGGACUGUCCGGUGCACCCGACGACAGAAGGCAAGAUUGGCCUUGCAGAUUUUCUCUCAACGGCUCCUAGCUGCCUUGGGGCUAUAAAAGGGACCCCUAGGCGCAUGGAGGAGAGAACCAAGCAACCUUAGAGCAUUCUUGAUCAUCCACACUCAGUCUUUGCGCAUUCGUUUGUCAUUCUCAGUGAUUCGAGCUCCGUUCUAGUGAGAACUUUGAGAUAGUCUUUUGAGCUCGACUCUUGGCCGUGUGUGUGCGCAUUUUGCUGUGGAUUUGUGUGUGUUGCUUCCCCCCUUACUCCGUAUUUCUUUGUGAAUCUCAAGUGUAAGGGCGAGAGGCUCCAAGUUGUGGAGAUUCCUCGCAAACGGGAUAUUGAAAGGCAAAGCAAAACACCGUGGUAUUCAUGUUGGUCUUUGGACCACUUGAGAGGGGUUGAUUGCAACCCUCGUCCGUUGGGACGCCACAACGUGGAGUAGGCAAGCGUUGGUCUUGGCCGAACCACGGGAUAAACCACUGUGUCAUCUCUGUGUUUGAUCUCUUGUGGUAUUGUGUUUUGUUGAGACUCCACUCUAGCCACUUGGCGAUUAUUGUGCUAACACUUAACAAGUUUUUGUGGCUAUAAGUUUAAGUUUCACAGAAUCACCUAUUCACCCCCCCUCUAGGUGCUCUCAAUUGGUAUCGGAGUCGUUCUCUUCACAAAGGGACUAACCGCCCGAAGAGAUGGAUCCUAAAGGGAAGGGAAUCGUGAUCAACGACAAGGAGAAGGAGUCCUUCGUCAACGAGCCAAGGGAUGACAAGUCCAACGACUCGGGCUCGGGCCACAGACGCAAAGAUGGGAAGAAGAAGAAGACAAGACGCAUCAAGGAGAUCGUCUACUACGACAGCGAUGAGUCUACUUCCUCCCAUAAGGACGACGACCACAACGAAUACGAGAGAAAGAAACCGGUCAAUUCGAACUUUUCUUUUGAUUACUCUCGUAUUCCUCAAAGUACUAAUGCUCAUUUAUUAUCUAUUCCACUUGGUAAACCUCCCCAUUUUGAUGGAGAGGACUACGGAUUUUGGAGUCAUAAAAUGCGUAGUCACUUGUUCUCUCUCCAUCCUAGCAUAUGGGAGAUUGUAGAAAGUGGAAUGCACUUUGAUAGUACGGAUAGUCCCAUGUUUAUUAAUGAACAGAUUCAUAAAAAUGCACAAGCUACUACUGUGUUGCUAGCCUCUUUGUGCAGGGACGAGUACCAUAAGGUGAGCGGCUUGGACAAUGCCAAGCAGAUCUGGGACACCCUCAAGAUCUCUCAUGAGGGGAAUGAUGUCACCUUGCUCACCAAGAUGGAGUUGGUGGAGGGCGAGCUUGGACGGUUCGCAAUGAUAAGGGGCGAGGAGCCAACUCAAACAUACAACCGGCUCAAGACCCUUAUCAACAAAAUAAGGAGCUACGGAAGCACGCGAUGGACGGAUCACGACGUCGUCCGCCUAAUGCUAAGGUCCUUUACCGUUCUUGAUCCUCAUUUGGUGAACAAUAUUCGUGAAAAUCCUAGGUACACCAAGAUGUCGCCCGAAGAAGUUCUGGGGAAUUUCGUAAGCGGGCGAAUGAUGAUCAAGGAGGCAAGAUAUGUGGACGAUGCGUUGAACGGUCCUAUUCAUGAGCCUCAACCCAUUGCUCUCAAGGCAACGAGGAACAAGGAGGCGCUACCGAGCAAGGUUGCGCAAGUUGAGGCGACCGGGCUAAAUAAUGAGGAGAUGGCCCUCAUCAUUAAGCGCUUCAAGACGGCGCUUAAAGGUCGCAAGGGACAGCCAAGCAAGACCAAGACAAAGGAGAAGCGCUCGUGCUUCAAAUGUGGUAAGAUCGGUCAUUUCAUUGCUAACUGUCCCGAUAAUGAAAGUGACCAGGAAAAGGGGAACAAAAGGGAGAAGAAGCAUUACAAGAAGGCCAAGGGCGAGGCACAUAUCGGAAAGGAGUGGGAUUCGGAUUGCUCCUCAUCCGACUCCGACAAUGAAGGACUAGCCGCCACUGCCUUCAACAAGUCAUCCCUCUUCCCCAACGAGCGUCACACUUGCCUCAUGGCAAGGGAGAAGAAAGUAAGCACUCAUGAUACUAGUACUUAUGCUUCUUCAAGUGAGGAUGAGUCUAGUGAUGAUGAUGAGACAGAUUACUCAUGCUUAUUCAAGGGAUUAGAUAGAUCUAAAUUAAUAAGAUUAAUGAGUUGAUUGAUGCUUUGAAUGACAAGAAUAGAUUACUAGAAAAACAAGAAGAUCUUUUAUAUGAGGAGCAUGAUAAAUUUGUCAGUGCACAAAAUUCUCUUGCUCUAGAAAUUAAAAGGAAUGAAAUGCUCUCUGGUGAAUUAUCUACUUGUCAUGAAACCAUUUCUACUUUACAAGGUGUUAACAAUGAUUUAAAUGCUAAAUUAGAAGUAGCAAAUAAAUCUAAUUCUUGUGUAGAACAUGUUAUAAUUUGUACUAGGUGUAAAGAUUUUGACAUUGAUGCUUGUAGUGAACACCUAGUUUCAAUUUCCAAAAUUAAUGAUGAAUUAGCUAGUCUUAAUGCUCAACUUAAGACUAGCAAGAAUGAUUUCGAUAAGCUAAAAUUUGCAAGGGAUGCCUACACGAUUGGUAGACACCCCUCAAUUAAGGAUGGACUUGGCUUCAAGAGGGAAGCCAAGAACUUAACAAGCCAUAAGGCUCCCAUCUCCGCCAAGGAGAAAGGGAAGGCCCCUAUGGCAAGUAGUGCUAAAAAGAACCAUGCUUUUAUGUACCAUGAUAAGAGACAAACUAGAAAUGCUUACAGGAGUUACAAUGCUUAUGAUGAUUUUGAUUCUCAUGACAUGUUUGCUUCUAGUUCUUUCUAUGUGCAUGAUAGAAAUGUUGGUAGAAGAAAUGUUGUUCACAAUAUGCCUAGGAGAAAUCUUGUUAAUGUUCCUAGGAGAGUUAAUGAACCUUCUACAAUAUAUCAUGCUUUGAGUGCCUCCUUUGCAAUUUGUAGAAAGGAUAGAAAGGUGAUUGCUAGGAAAUUAGGGGCAAAAUGCAAGGGAGAUAAAACUUGCAUUUGGGUCCCUAAGACAAUUGUGACUAACCUUGUAGGACCCAACAAGAGUUGGGUACCUAAGUCCCAAGCCUAAAUUUGCCUUGCAGGUUUAUGCAUCCGGGGGUUCAAGCUGGAUUAUCGACAGCGGAUGCACAAACCAUAUGACGGGGGAGAAGAAGAUGUUCACCUCCUACGUCAAGAAUAAGGAUUCCCAAGAUUCAAUUAUAUUCGGUGAUGGGAAUCAAGGCAAGGUAAAAGGGUUAGGUAAAAUUGCAAUUUCUAAUGAGCACUCUAUCUCUAAUGUGUUUUUAGUAGAGUCUCUUGGAUAUAAUUUGCUAUCGGUUAGUCAAUUAUGCAAUAUGGGAUAUAACUGUCUAUUUACAAAUGUAGAUGUGUCUGUCUUUAGAAGAAGUGAUGGUUCACUAGCUUUUAAGGGUGUAUUAGACGACAAACUUUAUUUAGUUGAUUUUGCAAAAGAAGAGGCCGGUCUAGAUGCAUGCUUAAUAGCUAAGACUAGCAUGGGCUGGCUGUGGCAUCGCCACUUAGCACAUGUGGAGAUGAAGAACCUUCACAAGCUUCUAAAGGGAGAACACGUGAUAGGUUUGACUAACGUGCAAUUCGAAAAAAGAUAGACCUUGUGCAGCUUGUCAAGCAGGUAAACAAGUGGGAGGAGCACAUCACAGCAAGAAUGUGAUGACCACCUCAAGACCUCUGGAGCUGCUGCAUAUGGACCUGUUCGGACCCGUCGCCUAUCUGAGCAUAGGAGGAAGUAAGUAUGGUCUAGUUAUUGUUGAUGACUUUUCCCGCUUCACUUGGGUGUUCUUUUUGCAGGAUAAGUCUAAAACCCAAGGGACCCUCAAGCGCUUCCUAAAGAGAGCUCAAAAUGAGUUUGAGCUCAAAGUGAAGAAGAUAAGGAGCGACAACGGGUCCGAGUUCAAGAACCUUCAAGUGGAGGAGUUCCUUGAGGAGGAAGGGAUCAAGCACGAGUUCUCCGCUCCCUAUACACCACAACAAAAUGGUGUGGUAGAGAGGAAGAACAAGACGCUAAUCGAUAUGGCGAGGACGAUGCUUGGAGAAUUCAAGACCCCCGAGCGUUUUUGGUCGGAAGCCGUGAACACGGCUUGUCACGCCAUCAACAGGGUCUAUCUUCACCGCCUCCUCAAGAAGACUUCGUAUGAGCUACUAACCGGUAACAAACCCAAUGUAUCUUACUUUCGUGUAUUUGGGAGCAAGUGCUACAUUCUAGUGAAGAAGGGUAGAAAUUCUAAGUUUGCUCCCAAAGCUGUAGAAGGGUUUUUGUUAGGUUAUGACUCAAAUACAAAGGCGUAUAGAGUCUUCAACAAAUCAUCGGGUUUGGUUGAUGUCUCUAGCGACGUUGUAUUUGAUGAGACUAAUGGCUCUCCAAGAGAGCAAGUUGUUGAUCUUGAUGAUGUAGAUGAAGAAGAUGUUCCUACGGCCGCGAUACGCACCAUGACGAUUGGAGAUGUACGGCCUCGGGAACAAUUGGAGCAAGAUCAACCUUCUUCCUCAACAACGGUGCAUCCCCUAACUCAAGACGAUGAACAGGUUCAUCAACAGGAGGCAUGUGAUCAAGGGGGAGCACAAGAUGAUCAUGUGAUGGAGGAAGAAGCGGAACCGGCACCUCCAACCCAAGUUCGAGCAGUAAUUCAAAGGGAUCAUCCCGUCGACCAAAUUUUGGGUGACAUUAGCAAGGGAGUAACUACUCGAUCUCGAUUAGUUAAUUUUUGUGAGCAUUACUCCUUUGUCUCUUCUAUUGAGCCUUUCAGGGUAGAGGAGGCCUUGCUAGAUCCGGACUGGGUGUUGGCCAUGCAAGAGGAGCUCAACAACUUCAAGCGCAAUGAAGUUUGGACACUGGUGCCUCGUCCCAAGCAAAAUGUUGUGGGAACCAAGUGGGUGUUCCGCAACAAACAGGACGAGCACGGGGUGGUGACGAGGAACAAGGCUCGACUUGUGGCAAAAGGUUAUGCCCAAGUCGCAGGUUUGGACUUUGAGGAGACGUUCGCUCCUGUGGCUAGGCUAGAAUCAAUUCGUAUCUUGCUAGCAUAUGCCGCUCACCAUUCUUUCAGGUUGUACCAAAUGGAUGUGAAGAGCGCUUUCCUCAAUGGUCCAAUCAAGGAGGAGGUGUACGUGGAGCAACCCCCUGGCUUCGAGGAUGAACAGUACCCCGACCACGUGUGUAAGCUCUCUAAGGCACUCUAUGGACUUAAGCAAGCCCCAAGAGCAUGGUAUGAAUGCCUUAGAGACUUCUUAAUUGCUAAUGCUUUCAAGGUUGGGAAAGCCGAUCCAACUCUUUUUACUAAGACUUGCGACAGUGAUCUUUUUGUAUGCCAAAUUUAUGUCGAUGACAUAAUAUUUGGUUCUACUAAUAAAAAGUCUUGUGAAGAGUUUAGCAGGGUGAUGACGCAGAAAUUCGAGAUGUCAAUGAUGGGCGAGUUGAACUACUUCCUUGGGUUCCAAGUGAAGCAACUCAAGGACGGCACCUUCAUCUCCCAAACGAAGUACACGCAAGACUUGCUAAAGCGGUUUGGGAUGAAGGACGCCAAGCCCGCAAAGACUCCGAUGGGAACCGACGGACACACCGACCUCAACAAAGGAGGUAAGUCCGUUGAUCAAAAGGCAUACCGGUCAAUGAUAGGGUCAUUACUUUACUUAUGUGCUAGUAGACCGGAUAUUAUGCUUAGCGUAUGUAUGUGUGCUAGAUUUCAAUCCGAUCCUAAGGAGUGUCACUUAGUGGCAGUGAAGCGAAUUCUUAGAUAUUUAGUUGCUACGCCUUGCUUCGGGCUCUGGUAUCCAAAGGGGUCUACCUUUGACUUAAUUGGAUAUUCAGACUCCGACUAUGCUGGAUGUAAGGUCGAUAGGAAGAGUACAUCAGGGACGUGCCAAUUCUUAGGAAGGUCCCUGGUGUCAUGGAACUCUAAGAAACAAACCUCCGUUGCCCUAUCCACCGCUGAGGCAGAGUAUGUUGCCGCAGGACAGUGUUGCGCGCAACUACUUUGGAUGAGGCAAACCCUCCGGGACUUUGGCUACAAUCUGAGCAAAGUCCCACUCCUAUGUGACAAUGAGAGUGCUAUCCGCAUGGCAGAAAAUCCUGUUGAGCACAGCCGCACAAAGCACAUAGACAUCCGGCAUCACUUUCUGAGAGACCACCAGCAAAAGGGUGAUAUCGAAGUGUUUCAUGUUAGCACCGAGAACCAGCUAGCCGAUAUCUUUACCAAGCCUCUAGAUGAGAAGACCUUUUGCAGGCUGCGUAGUGAGCUAAAUGUCUUAGAUUCGCGGAACUUGGAUUGAAUUGUAGCAUACAUGUGCUUAUGCCUUUGAUCAUGUUCAUUCUGCAUUUUGUUGCUUAUUGUGGUGCUCAAGUUGUACAAACAUUCCCUGGACCUCACAAGUCCUUGUGUAAGUGAUGCACAUAUUUAGGGGGAGUUGUGUUACAACUUGACCCUUUGAGACUAACCAUAUGCUUGAGUUUGCUUGAUUUAGUCUCGAAGGAGAAUUGAAAGGGAAAAGGUGGACCUGGACCAUGAAAGACUUCCACUACACUCCGAUGAGAGGGUAACUUAUUCCAAGUUCAUCUCAUGAACUCUUAUUGCCAUUUGCUCUUAAUUGAAGAUUUUGGUGAGGCAAUGGGGUUAUAGGGCCAAGAUUGAUCCCGUUUUGGUGCUUGAUGCCAAAGGGGGAGAAAAUAAAGGCCAAAGCAAUAAAUGGAUCAGCUACCACUUGAGAAAUUUUGAAAAUAGUAAAAUAGAGCUUUUUGUUUUGUCAAAACUCUUGCAUUGUCUCUGUUGUCAAAAGUUGGCCUCUUGUGGGGAGAAGUGUUAAUUAUGGGAAAUAGGGGGAGUUUUUGAAAUCCUUGAUCAAUCUCUUUUGGAAUGACUCUCUUUAUGCUUCAACAUGUGUGUUUGACUUAGAGAUAGAGAUUUGAGUUUGGUUUGCAAAAACAAACCAAGUGGUGGCAAAGGAUGAUCCAUAUAUGCCAAAAUUGAAUCAAAAUAAAUUUGAGUUUUAUUUGAAGUGAUAUUGCACUUGUUCUAGUUGCUUUAUGUUGUGUUGGCAUAAAUCACCAAAAAGGGGGAGAUUGAAAGGGAAAUGUGCCCUUGGGCCAUUUCUAAGUAUUUUGGUGAUUGAGUGCCAACACAAGUGCUUAAAUGUGAAUCUAUGCUCUUGGAUGGACAAAGUGCAAAUCAAGAGUAAAGGUAUGUUUCUAAGCCUUAGUACAUUGGUUUUGUGUACUAAUAUACUUGUCUAAGUGUUAGAAACAGAAAGAAGAAGAAAAGAAAAGAGGUGAAAAAGGCUUGGCUGUGUACAGCCAAGACUGAGCUCAGUCUGGCACACCGGACUGUCCGGUGGUGCACCGGACAGUGUCCGGUGCGCCAGGCUGACUCGGCGUGAAGUGGCCGCUCUCGGGAAUUCGCCGACGGCGUACGGCUAAAAUUCACCGGACUGUCCGGUGUGCAACGGACUGUCCGGUGAACCAACGGUCGGCCGGGCCAACGGUCGGCAGCGGAAUCUGCGCGCGACACGUGGCCAGGCCAACGGUCGGAAGGGGGCACCGGACUGUCCGGUGUGCACCGGACAUGUCCGGUGCACCAACGGCUCCCAGAUCUGCAACGGUCGGCCGCGCCAUUUUAGGAAGGAAAUCGGGCACCGGACAGUGUCCGGUGUGCACCGGACUGUCCGGUGCACCCGACGACAGAAGGCAAGAUUGGCCUUCCAGAUUUGCUCUCAACGGCUCCUAGCUGCCUUGGGGCUAUAAAAGGGACCCCUAGGCGCAUGGAGGAGAGAACCAAGCAACCUUAGAGCAUUCUUGAUCAUCCACACUCAGUCUUUGCACAUUCGUUUGUCAUUCUCAGUGAUUCGAGCUCCGUUCUAGUGAGAACUUUGAGAUAGUCUUUUGAGCUCGACUCUUGGCCGUGUGUGUGCGCAUUUUGCUGUGGAUUUGUGUGUGUUGCUUCCCCCCUUACUCCGUAUUUCUUUGUGAAUCUCAAGUGUAAGGGCGAGAGGCUCCAAGUUGUGGAGAUUCCUCGCAAACGGGAUAUUGAAAGGCAAAGCAAAACACCGUGGUAUUCAAGUUGGUCUUUGGACCACUUGAGAGGGGUUGAUUGCAACCCUCGUCCGUUGGGACGCCACAACGUGGAGUAGGCAAGCGUUGGUCUUGGCCGAACCACGGGAUAAACCACUGUGUCAUCUCUGUGUUUGAUCUCUUGUGGUAUUGUGUUUUGUUGAGACUCCACUCUAGCCACUUGGCGAUUAUUGUGCUAACACUUAACAAGUUUUUGUGGCUAUAAGUUUAAGUUUCACAGGAUCACCUAUUCACCCCCCUCUAGGUGCUCUCAACUAGCUACAACCAGCCUUAGAUAGGUAUAAACACAAAAAUAAGUAUUUUAACGUGCUAAUGUGAAGGGGCCUCUUCGGAAGAUCUCCAGAGCUGAAUUCCGCGUGGCUGUUUGACUUCUUCACAACCUUUAGGGCAUGUACAACCUAGACACUGCUGCACGGUACUCCAAGUAUAAGACACAACUAAAACACAACAUAAUACAGUGGUCAUGUAUAAAACAUGUGUCUUACUAUAUUCAUUGUACCAAUCAGAGCAUUCAAUAAGUUAAAGUGACCAACCAGAUAGUCUCAUGUCUUGAAUAUAGAGCUAAGACACUGUGUCUUCGUUAAGAUACAUGUCUUGAGAUUUUUUACAUUCACCCCCCUAGACACACUCUAAGACACAACUUAAGACACCCAUUGUACAUGCCCUUAGUAUUUUGAUAAUAACUCCUCCUAGGAAUCUCCAAAUGGCGUGGGGCUGGAUGCGUUGGAAAGCUAACUUGAUUUGCUUUCUCACCAUGUAUAGCAUGCUUAAUGAAACUUUGUAGAAUGAUGCAGUUUAAUACUAAAACUUGGUCAUCAAGCAGACUGUUGACCUUAUGACAGUCAGAACUAAAGUAGGUCGGUUACCGUGUUGGGUGAUCCGAUUAAGUCGGUCCUAGAAGCAUUGGAAACUAGACUUCAAUAGCUUUCCAAAAUGUACUUAUUGGCCUUCAUAGCUUUUGGGAAUCAAAAGAUAUGAUUGUUUCUUCUGGAUGGUUCUAUCACGCUAGACUGACUCGAACAUAGUUCUCUCUGAUUCGCCCUUGAUAUGUUUUGUCCUUCCUCUUUGGUGGACCUAAGAAAAAUCAACAUACACAACUUAGGUAGAAUAAAGUUGUCAUUAGUGUUUAAUUUAAAUUCAUAAAGUAGCGCGUGCACCUCUUGUUGUAUCUGUUUCACCCGGCUUCGAGUGAUAGGUCCAGUAAGAAUGGUCGGCAAGGUUGACGAUGCUGGUAUGGUCACAUCACACUCCCCCCUUGAAAAAUGAGUCGUCCUCAACUCUUCCAAUCCAAAGCAAGGAGAGAGGUCGGCCACAUUAAAACUAGAACUCACACCAUAAGUAUCUGACAGAUUAAUUUCAUAAGCAUUUUCGUUGAUCUUGCAAAGCACUUUGAAUGGACCAUCAACUCGUUGUUGUAAUUUGCUUUUGCGUUGUUCAGGAAAUCUUUCUUUGCAUAGAUGUACCCAAACCAUGUCUCCUGGUUCGAACAACAUCUUUCUUCAACCCUUGUUGGCACACUAUUCAUAUUUCUUGGUCAUUUUCUCAAUAUUUGCUCGAGCUUUUUCAUGAAGGUUCUUGAUUAACUCGACUCGCUUGCUAGCGUCAAAGUUUACUCGUUCCUGCACAGGCAAUGACAAAAUAUCUAUGGGAGUUGUGGGUUUGAAGCCAUAUACAAUUUCAAAUGGACAAAAUUUAGUAGUCGAGUCUACAGCUCUGUUGUAUGCAAACUCGACAUGUGGUAGACUUUCUUCAGAGAGUUUUAAAUUUUUCUUGAGGAUAGCUCGCAGCAGCAUUGAUAAUGUUCGGUUUACAACUUCAGUCUAUCAAUCUUUUUGUGGAUGGCACGUUGUAGAGAAUAGUAGUCGUGUUCCAAGUUUUCCCCACAAAGUUUUCCAAAAGUAACUCAAAAAAUUAGUGUCACGAUCAGAAACAAUGGUUCGUGGAAUCCCAUGUAAACGAACAACUUCUUUGAAAAAUAAUUCAGCAAUAUGUGAAGCAUCAUCACUCUUGUGGCUUGGAAUAAAAUGUGCCAUUUUGCUAAAUCAAUCAACCACAACAAAAAUGGAAUCCCUUCCCUACUUUGUUCAUGGUAAACCAAGAACAAAAUCCAUGGAUAUGUCUUCUCAAGGCACACUAGGAAUAGGUAGUGGAGUGUAUAAGCCUAUGAGGGUUUAAACGAGACUUAGCUUUAUGACAUGAUUCACAUCGAAGGACAUGUCGCUCCACAUCCCUUUUCAUUUUAGGCCAAAAGAAAUGAUCGGCAAGCACUUGCUCCGUCUUCUUGGCGCCAAAAUGGCCCAUAAGUCCUCCUGCAUGAGCUUCCUGCAAUAUUAAAAUUCGAACAGAACAUUCUGGAAUGCACAUUUUGUUAGCUCGGAAUAAAAAACCAUCAUUAACAUGAAAUUUUACCCAUCCUCUGCCAUCACAACACUUAGAAUAUGGUUCAACAAAGUUUAAGUCAGUCGGUUAUAAUUCCUUUAUACUUUCUAAUCCAAGAAUUUUAGCAUCGAGUUGUGUUAGCAAAGCAUGUCGUCGAGACAAAGCAUCUGCUACAACAUUAUCUUUUCCUUUCUUAUAUUUGACAAUAUAAGGAAAUGAUUCAAUAAAUUCACACCAUUUUGCAUGCCUUCUAUUUAGUUUUAGAUGUCCUUUAAGAUGUUUUAAUGAUUCAUGGUCUGAAUGUAUCACAAAUUCCUUAGGAAAAAGAUAGUGUCGCCAAGUUUCCAAACUCCGAACAAGAGCAUAUAAUUCUUUAUCAUAAACUGAAUAAUUUAGAGUAAGACCACUUAGCUUUUCACUGAAGUAGCCAAUUGGUCUUUGUUCUUGCAUGAGCAUGCCUCUAAUCCCAAUUCCACUGGCAUCACAUUCUAUUUUAAAUGUCUUACCGAAGUCUGGGAGUGCAAGAACUUGGGCUGUUGUUAACUUCGUCUUUAAUUCUUCAAAUGCCUUCUGUUGUGAUUCUCCCCAUUUGAAAGGUACUUCUUUUUUGGUCAAUUCAUUGAUGGGAGCAGCAACAGUACUGAAGUCUUUUUCAAACCGCUGGUAGAACCCAGCGAGCCCAAGGAAACUUCUCACUUGGCUCACAUUCUGUGGAGGCAUCCAGUCGCGUACAACUUUGAUAUUUUCUUCAUCUACCUCCACACCUUGUCCUGAUACAACAAAUCCAAGAAACACUACCUUGUCGGUGCAAAAGGUGCACUUCUCAAGGUUAGCAUACAAGUUUUGUUCUCGAAGGACAACAAGUACAUAUCAGAUAUGUUCAACAUGUUCAUCAAGGCAUUUACUAUAAAUUAGUAUGUCAUCAAAAUAGACAACAACAAAUUUGCCAAUGAAAGUUCUAAGAACAUGAUUCAUUAUCUCAUAAAUGUACUUGGUGCAUGUUAACUCGAAGGGCAUCACCAACCAUUCAUACAACUCAAAUUUUGUUUUAAAGGUUGUUUUCCAUUCAUCUCCCUCUUUCAUACGAAUAUGAUGAUAGCCACUUCUUAAGUCAAUUUUAGUGAAAAUUAAAGCUGUUGGGUCUAUGCUUCGUCGCCGAAGGUCUUCAAGGGAGAAGCGGCUUUAUAAUGAGUGAGCAGGUAUCUUCGGACUUGUAUCAGAAAGGGAGAAGCUCAAAAGAUACAAAGGUUGACACAGCGCCGAAGCUGUGAAGCAGGAAAGCUUCGGCAUGUUCGCAGAAAAGGGAACCGACUUAAAGAUGAAAAGGCCAUUUAGACCUCGAUAGAGUGCUAUAGAAUUAUCACCAAAUGUAAAGGGCAUGUAUGUAAUUUUGUAUGGGUUGUACCCCGUGCCUAUAAAUAGGUGAACAGUACCCCCGUACUGUUCACGCUGACUUGGCAUUUGCUUUUGCGUCACACUUGUAUUUUCAUCUCCUUCCAAGCCGAAGGUACAUUUAUAAUUCAAUAUUGUUUCUAUUUUUCUAUGAUGAUAUAAUAAAGUGAAAUAAAUGAUGUUAUAUGAUUAUUUGUGUUAUCCUUUAACUUUCAUAUACUUCGUCUUUCAUUAAUGUAUACUGUAAUGAUGAAGGUUUGUCCUUCAUAACCUUCGUCCGGAGAUCGUUAUAUCCUAAGGGAAAUAAUGCCUCAAAGGACGAAGGACUUUAUCGUUUAACAUUUUCUAUGUUGCCUUGUUCUUAACUCAUAGCACUUGAGAACAAGUCCCCAACAUUGGCGCCCACCUCCGGUGAACUCACUUCCACUUUUUUGAGCUGAUGGCUUCGUUCAACGAUCAAGCUGGAGCUGCUUCGGACCCGAAGCUGGUGCUCCCGAUCACAGGUGGCUCGUCCUCAGAGCCAGCUAACAAGAAACAGAAGAAGGAAGCACAGAGAAGGGUACAGCAUGUUGGGGUGCAAGGACCCUUCAUCAAGACAAGAUGGUCUCACAUUCCUAUUACCUUCUCCCAAGAGGACCUUCAGCUCAAAGAUUACCCACACAACGAUGCCAUGGUUAUCUCUUGUGUUAUCAAAGGAUUUCUGGUCCACAAUGUCUUGGUUGACACAGGCAGUGCAGCUGACAUCAUAUUUGCUAAAGCCUUCAGACAAAUGCAAGAGCCAGAAGAUAAGAUUCAUGAUGCUACACAUCCUCUCUGUGGCUUCGGAGGAAGACAGAUUGUAGCACUGGGCAAGAUCACCAUGUUAGUGACCUUCGGAUUCAUCAACAACACUAGAACUGAGCAAGUUGUGUUUGACAUUGUUGACAUGGAAUAUCCUUACAAUGCAAUUAUUGGUCGUGGUACUCUUAAUGCCUUCGAAGCAAUCCUUCAUCCUGCUUAUCUUUGCAUGAAGAUACCUUCGGAUCAGGGACCCGUUGCUAUCCAUGGAAGUCAGGAAGCCGCAAGAAGGGCCGAAGGUAACUGGACUGACUCAAAAGCAAUCCAUAAUAUAGAUGGAGCCGAAGCUUGUGCACAGUACAAAUUCAGAAGGGAGAAAGCAGCUUCAGCAGAUCAGCCGAAGCCUAUGCUCUUAUGUGAGGACAUAGCAGAGCAGAAGGUGCUGUUAGGCUCUCAACUAUCCGAAGAGCAGGAAAAAACCUUGAUAAGAUUUUUGUUCAAUAACAAAGAUGUUUUUGCAUGGUCAGCCAAUGAUCUAUGCGGAGUUAAUAGGGAUGUUAUUGAGCACUCGCUCAAUGUCGAUCCAUCCUUCAGACCCAGAAAGCAAAGGCUUCGGAAAAUGUCAGAUGAUAAGGCCGAAGGUGCUCGCAACGAAGUCAAAAGACUCCUCAGUGCAGGAGUUAUUAGAGAAGUGAAGUACCCAGAAUGGCUGGCUAACACUGUUAUGGUAAAAAAGGCCAAUGGUAAGUGGCGAAUGUGCAUCGAUUUUACAGAUCUUAACAAGGCUUGUCCGAAGGAUGAAUUCCCACUACCAAGGAUAGACUCUUUAGUUGAUGCAGCAGCUUCGUCAGAGCUCAUGAGUCUGUUAGACUGCUAUUCAGGCUAUCACCAAAUUUGGAUGAAGAAGGAAGAUGAGCCGAAGACUAGCUUCAUUACUCCAAGUGGCACAUGUUGCUAUCUUCGGAUGCCUGAGGGGCUCAAAAACGCUGGAGGAAGUUUCAGCCGAAUGACUGUGAAGGUUCUUCAAUCUCAAAUAGGCAGAAAUGUGUUAACUUAUGUUGAUGACAUCAUUGUCAAAAGCACGAAGCAGGAGAAUCAUAUUGCUGAUCUGCAGGAGACCUUCGCCAGUUUCAGGCAAGCUGGCUUGAAGUUAAAUCCAGAAAAAUGUGUCUUCGGAGUGAAGAAGGGGAAAUUUCUUGGAUGCUUGGUUUCAACAAAGGGAAUUGAAGCCAAUCCAAGUAAAAUUGAAGCUAUACUUCGGAUGGAGCCACCAACUACAAAGAAGGGGGCUCAAAGAUUGACAGGAAGGUUGGCAUCUCUCAAUAGAUUCAUAUCCAGAUCAGCAGAGAGAAAUUUACCAUUCUUCGAAGUGCUGAAGUCGGCCGAAGUCUUUCAAUGGGGACCAAUCCAACAGAAGGCUUUCGAAGAACUGAAACAAUAUUUGAUAGAUCUAACAACAUUGACUCCACCAAUGCAAGGGGCUCCUUUAUUGUUAUAUGUGGCAGCUUCGCACUCAGCGGUAAGUGCAGCGCUUGUUCAGGAGAAGCUUGAUGGUCAAGUCAAAAGGCAGGCCCCAAUAUAUUUUGUUUCCGAGGUCCUUAGUUUAUCAAAGAAAAAUUAUACAGAGUUGGAGAAGAUACUGUAUGCUGUCUUGAUGGCCUCCAGGAAGCUUCGGCACUAUUUCCAAGCUUACAACAUAAUUGUUCCUUCGUCACAACCUCUGAAGGAUAUUAUGAGGAACAGAGAAGCUACUGGAAGGAUUGGAAAAUGGGCUGCAGAGCUCAAUGAAUUUUGUAUUGAAUAUGUUCAUAGAUCUUCGAUUCAGUCGCAGGCACUGGCAGACUUUAUUGCUGAUUGGACACCAGGGGCUCAGGAGGAGGAAACAAAUAAAGAUAACGAAGCCUGGAUAGUGUUUUGUGAUGGAUCUUGGGGAACCUUCGGAGCAGGAGCGGCUGCUGUGUUGGUUUCACCUUCCAAAGUCAAAACCUGUUAUGCGACAAAACUUGAUUUUAAUUGCACAAAUAACAUUGCUGAGUACGAAGCAUUGAUUUUAGGUCUUCGGAAAUUAAAAGCAAUGGGAAUCAGAAGGGCCAUACUUAAAACUGAUUCCCAGGUUGUUUCGGGUCAUAUUGACAAAAGUUGUAAGGCUAAGGAUCCGAAGCUUGAAAAAUAUCUGGAUAUGGUUCGAAGAGUCGAAGCCUCCUUCGAAGGGUUUUCUGUCAAGAAUAUCCCUCGAGGACAAAAUGAGCAUGCUGAUCUGCUAGCUAAGUCAGCAGCACAGGGGCUGCCUCUACCUUCGGAUGUAUUCUUUGAAACAAUAAAAGCACCUUCGGUGGAACUCCUUGAAAGAGCAGUUCUUAAUAUAUCUCCUGUUUUUAGUGAAGAUUGGAGAACUGAGAUCAUCUCUUACCUUCAGGGUAAAUUUCUUUCAGAUGACGAAGCUUAUAACAAGAGAAUAGAGGCAAGAGCUCGUCCAUAUGUCAUGAUAGAGGGGGAGUUGUACAAACAUGGAGUUUGUGCUCCGUUGCUCAAAUGCUUAUCCAGAACCGAAGGUAUAGAGUUAAUGAAAGAAAUACAUGCAGGCCUGUGUGGAUCUCACAUCGGAUCUAGGCCGUUACUUGGAAAAAUUUUCCGUCAAGGAUUUUAUUGGCCGAAGGCAGCUUCGGAUGCAGCAGAAUUGGUUCAAAAGUGCGAAGGUUGUCAGAAAUGUGCAAGAGAUCAAAAACGACCUUCGUCCUUGACACAGCUCAUACAACCCACUUGGCCAUUGCAAAGGUGGGGCCUUGACUUGUUAGGUCCGUUACCACCGGCCCAAGGGAACUUGAGAUAUGUUGUGGUAGCUGUGGAAUAUUUUUCUAAAUGGAUUGAGGCGAAGCCUUUAGCCACAAUAACUUCGGCUACCGUCCAAAAGUUUUUCUGGCAGAAUAUUGUUUGUCGUUUCGGGGUGCCAAAGGUUAUCACUGUGGACAAUGGAACACAGUUUGACUCCGAAGCUUUCAGGGAUUUCUGUGACCAAAUUGGUACGAAGAUCCAUUUUGCAUCAGUCAGGCACCCGGAGUCAAAUGGACUCGUUGAAAGAGCCAACGGCAUUAUAAUGACAGGAAUAAUGAAGCUAAUCUUCAAUCAGCCUAGAGGAAAAUGGCCAGAUCAGCUAACCAAAGUGGUGUGGAGCCACAACACGACAACAUCAAGGUCCACAGGCUUCACUCCAUUUAAGUUAUUAUUCGGUGACGAAGCAAUAACUCCAGAGGAAGCUAAAGCCGGAUCAAUAAGGAUAGUAGCUUCGGCAGAAUCAGAUUCCGAAGCUGCUUAUUCUAUAGAAAAAGAUGCUUUAGAAGGGAUCAGACUGCAAGCCGUGGAGAAUAUUAAUAAAUAUCAAGCUGAAACAGUCAAAUGGCGGGAUAGAAAGGUUCGGCUAAAAAAUAUUGAGCCAGGGCACUUGGUACUUCGGAGGGUGGCCAACCCGGAAACAGUGGGCAAAUUGCAGUUGAAAUGGGACGGGCCUUUCUUAGUAGCAUCUUCGUCAAGGCCCGGGUCAUACAGAUUGAAAGAUAUGGACGGCAAUGACAUUCCUAGGUCCUGGAAUGCGGAUGAGCUUCGGCGAUAUUAUGUAUAAUUCGAUGUAAUUUUUCACAUUUUUAUUUUUUCUUUCAUGGCACCCUUUUCCUUUCCAAAGGGGGAGAAAGGUUUUUAAUGGGGCCAGCAUAUGUAAUUUCCUUUUUUAGUCUUAUAAGAGCAAAAUCCCCCAAAGAAUGUAAAUGUAAAAGCUGAGAGUGCACCAUCGAGUGCCGAAAAGUAAAAACGACGAAGCUCCAAAGACGUUCCUAAGGGAAUGCAGAGCUUAUACCGCCUAAGUAAAAGGCGAAGAAGCUCCAAAGACGUUCCUAAGGGAAUGCAGAGCUUAUACCGCCUAAGUAAAAGGCGAAGAAGCUCCAAAGUCGUUCCUAAGGGAAUGCAGAGCUUACAGCGAAAAGUCAACGCUGAUUCCGCCAAAAGUAAAGGCGAAGAAGCUCCAAAGUCGUUCCUAAGGGAAUGCAGAGCUAAGGUGUGAUUGUUUUUAAGAGAAUAAUGGCUAUAAAUAUAGCUUCGGAUACGUGUUUGGCCAUUCAUUUGCACAACACAUUACAUCAUAGCAUUUGCAUUCAUAAACAUUCAUCUAGGCAUAUGUAGGAUAAUCAUCUUCAUCGCAUAAAAUGAUUGCUUCGGCAAGAAGAGAAAAAAGAAAGGGAAAAGAGCUUCGUGCACAAAAAAGAGGGGAAACUGUUGUUUUUAUGAAGGAGAGCUUCGGGAAAAAGGAAAAUGUUGUUUUCUAUGCUUCGUUGCGUACGAAAAGAAGGGAAGGUGUUUUUUUUUGCCUUCGGCUCAAAAAAAAGAAAUUUCGUCCACAUCAAAGCAUUUCUCAUAAAUCAGUGAAAGGUUAAGGAUAUAUUACAAGGUAUGAACAGUAUACAUGGAAGUUUUGUUUACAUUUACAAGAGUUAUCUCAAAAGUUUUUCAAGUACUGUCUGCAGUCUACUAUCUAAAUCUCCAAGGAGCUUCGGCUUCGGUAUUAUUUUGGAUCAUCAGCUUCGGCUUCGUCAUCCUACAUGAAUAAGGUCAUUGGAAGUCAGAAUCAAGUUUAUAGAAAAAGGUAAGCACAAGGUAUGAUUUCUUACUGGAUCAAGGUGGCUACGAGCUUCGUCUCCAGCUUUUUCUCGACCACCUUUUGUCCAUAUCAUUUUUACAAAUCGAUUCGAGAUGCUUCGGGCGAGAUCAGGGAUGUCAUCCAGGAUUGAUGGUGACAAAGUAAAAUUUGGCCUAUUGACAAUUUUCCCAUGAUCACAGCCAGCCUUCAUGAAGGCUGCAGCGGUCCCUCGAGAAGCCACCCAGGCACAGAAGUCACCAUGCCCAGCUAUGACUUCGUCGAGCUCGUCAAUCUCCCCCUCAAUGUGUUCGAAGGUUUUUGGUAGAUCUUCAGCUGAGGGGGUAAAUUUUUCGCUGCUAGCUCCAACCGAGUAAAAAAUCUUUCUUAAUCGUUGAAUGCACUUGUUGCUAAAUUCCAGGCAUUUUUCUUGAAGAUUUGUCAGUAGUUUUCUCAAAUCCGAAUUCUGCUGAGCUUCGGCUUCAAGUUUUUCAUUGAGAUCUUGUUUUUCUCGUUCGAACUGCUCAGACUGGCGGAGAAGCUUCGAGUUUAGUUCUGAUAUUUUUGCUUCAGCUUCCGCCAGUAAGCCUUCGGCUGCCUGGAGCUCAAAGUUCUUUUUCUCAAAAGCAUCUGAUUGCUCUUUUAUUUUGUUUUCCAAAUUUCCGAUUAUAAUUUCAUGCUUUUUAUCUUCAAGAUCUUGCUGCAUUUGCAAGGCUUUGCUCAAUAGCAUGCUCUACAUAAACACAACCUUCGUCAGACAUGUUUUAUUAGAAACAAUAAAAGUUAAGGGACAAGUCAUUUACCUUGAAGUUGGAGUAAAACAAACUACCAACGACAUGUUGUCGUCGAUAGCGGCUGAUAUCUGCUUCUAGCUUCGGGAAUCCAAUACUUUUGGACAGAGUACUAAUAACUUUGGCCCCUGUUUGGUCCCGGAUACACUCUAAUUUCUCGUCAUCAACGCCUCCGAAGAGGAGUGCCCCAGGUUUAUAUCCACAGGAUUGGGCAUACUCUUUAAGCUCUUCUAUUUCAGCUUUUGUUAGAUGUUCUCCAACUAAGUUUUGGAAUGCGAAAGCUUCGUCUUCUGAAGCUUCAUCAGCAAUUUCUUUUCCUUUCUUUGACGCUGCGGUCACAGUCUCUUCGGCAGCAGCGGCAGCUUCUUCUGCAGCCAUGUCUAGCAGCAUUUGGUCAAUAUGUUCAAUUGUGCUCUCUAAAUUCAAAUCUUCAGCUGAGGUAACUUCGGCGACUGCGGCCUCCGAAGGUGCAAUUUCAAUAUCUGCUUCCUCUAAAGCUGCUCGUGUCUUUUGGGCCGAAGCUCUUGGCGGCGUUUUGUCAAUUACCUCUGUCACGGUAAUGAUUCUUUGUUUCCUUGCCUUGAUUGUUUUCUUCGAUUUCUCGGGCUCCUUGUCCUUCUGAAAAAACUUUGUCAGUUGUGGACCCAGUGGACUUAGCUUCGCAGGUAAGGAUUCAGUCAUUACCUUCAGAAUUUCCUCAACAACGGCAGCAGAAGGCGAUGCGGGGGUUUCUUCUGCUUCGGAUAUUUGUUGCUUCGGAGAAGAAGUUUUCCUUUUCUUUGGAAUUUUCUUCUUUAUUGGCUCUUUUUCACCUUCAUCUAAGGCUUCAGUCCCCCUUUUCCUUUUUUGGCCUCCGGCACCUUUGUUCAGAUCUUCGUAGUCUGGGUACUCGAAACCCAAGGCGUCCAAUACUCGAUUUAGCCUUCGUUUCGGUCGAGUGCCGAAGGCUGCGGUCAUCAAUUGAUCUUCUUUUUUCGAAUAAUUGCCAAGUAUCUCGUUGCACAUCACUUCGAUCAUAUCCAGCCACUCUUGGCAAGGAGCUUUAAAGUAUUUCUUAAAUUUGAAGCAGUAAGGCAAACGUACAAGUUCACCUUUUUUCUUUUCCCCCUCCAGUUUCGGCAUUUCCCACUCUUUUACACUAGGGAAAACCUUGAAAGCCAAGAAUUCCUGGACUAGGUCCCUUGUACUGAUAUUCUCUGCAAUUAUUUUGAAUUCAUACAUUGCUUUUUGGGUCGGACCCUCUGGUAACAUGUGGCACUGGGGGCGGGUUUCUCCGAAGGUCAAUUCAAGUGGACUCUGUACAAGCUUUUCCUUAUCGUCAUCAACCUUGACAUAGAACCAUUCCGAUUUCCAUCCUGCUGCCCAUUUGCUUCGGUAGCUGAUCACAGGAUACUUCGUAGUUUUCCGAUAAGCAAAAUUAUAGCAACCAAAAUUCUCAUGUAAUCCAUCUUUUCUAGCCUUUGUCUGAUAGUGCAAUUCGUGAACCCGGCAAAAGCUGUCCGCAAACGGUUCCACCGCCUGGCUUCAAAGUGCCCAGAUAUAAACAUUAAGCCUAACGAUAGCGUUGGGGGUCAGCUGGUGAAAAUAGAUUCCAAAAUUCUUUAAUAUCUCUGCAAUAAUCCCAUGAAGGGGAAUCUUAAUCCAGCCUUUAGGAAACUCUUAAAAAUAACAAUUUCAUCUUUUUCCGGCUUUGGGGUAGUCUCUUCUCCCCCGAAGCGUAAUAGCUUCUUUUGAUUUUCAGUAAAAUAUCCUGACUUUACCAUCUUGGACAAAUCAGCCUUCGAAACAGUAGAUUUCCCGAAGUCCAAAUGACUGGGUUUGCUUGGUGUGGCAAGGUGAUAAUCAUCUUCGGAGUCAGUUUCCUCAGCAUCUUCUCCUUCUGCUUCAGCGAUUGCUUGUUCUGCAUCAUCAAUAGGAGCCUUCUCCGAAGUCACUAGCCCGGAUCAUCGCAUGGCUUCGGAGAUAGGGACAGUCUCCGAAGCAUCAGUUUCGUCCCCCUCACGUUCAACCCUAGCGGUAGAACGGACUCUGGCCAUUUAACUAUGAACUUGUGAAACUUUAAUACUUUUUUCUCCGAAGCAGGCUUCAAGAUGGAGCUUCGUUCAAUUCUGACAAACAAGCUUCGGCGAUGGUUAAGAAUUUUGGCAGCAAAACAGUGCAAAUAGCAGUAAAUGCUGUGGUAACUUCACACCUACUCGUCUGUUUAUAUAGUGCCGCAGGUAAGAAGGCGAAGCGCCAGAAGUUUUACACCAGGCGGGCACCCGCUCGCACUCGCUGAACGGUGGACCACAGAGACCGAACAGUAAUUCUGCAAGGUGGGGCCGCUACGCGCAGGGAGAGUGAAUCGUUUCUCGGCAACGAGCUCAGGGAAGGUGUUUUUUGGACCUUCGGCUCCCCGAAGCUUAAGAGACUUUUUUCACGGAUCAAGCUCGUUACGAAAAACGAUCUAGCACCGCGAAAGGGGCUACUGUUGGGUCUAUGCUUCGUCGCCGAAGGUCUUCAAGGGAGAAGCGGCUUUAUAAUGAGUGAGCAGGUAUCUUCGGACUUGUAUCAGAAAGGGAGAAGCUCAAAAGAUACAAAGGUUGACACAGCGCCGAAGCUGUGAAGCAGGAAAGCUUCGGCAUGUUCGCAGAAAAGGGAACCGACUUAAAGAUGAAAAGGCCAUUUAGACCUCGAUAGAGUGCUAUAGAAUUAUCACCAAAUGUAAAGGGCAUGUAUGUAAUUUUGUAUGGGUUGUACCCCGUGCCUAUAAAUAGGUGAACAGUACCCCCGUACUGUUCACGCUGACUUGGCAUUUGCUUUUGCGUCACACUUGUAUUUUCAUCUCCUUCCAAGCCGAAGGUACAUUUAUAAUUCAAUAUUGUUUCUAUUUUUCUAUGAUGAUAUAAUAAAGUGAAAUAAAUGAUGUUAUAUGAUUAUUUGUGUUAUCCUUUAACUUUCAUAUACUUCGUCUUUCAUUAAUGUAUACUGUAAUGAUGAAGGUUUGUCCUUCAUAACCUUCGUCCGGAGAUCGUUAUAUCCUAAGGGAAAUAAUGCCUCAAAGGACGAAUGACUUUAUCGUUUAACAUUUUCUAUGUUGCCUUGUUCUUAACUCAUAGCACUUGAGAACAAGUCCCCAACAAAAGCAACACUAAGUUCAUCAAGCAUAUCACCUAAUCUAGGAAUUGGAUGUCUAUACCUUACGGUGAUGUUAUUGAUAGCUCGACAAUCCACACACAUUCUCUAAGAUCCAUCUUUCUUAGGAACUAGAAGGACAUAGACAACACAAGGGGAAAGACUUUCUUGUACGUACGCUUUUUUAAUCAAUUCUUCCACUUGUUGCUGAAUCUCCUUUGUUUCUUCUGGGUUGGUGCUAUAGGCAGCACGAUUUGGGAGGGAAGCACCAGACACAAGGUCUAUUUGAUGUUCAAUCCCUCUCUUAGGUGGUAGCCCUAGUGGCACUUCAUCAGGAAGCACAUCCUCAUAUUCCUGUAAUGCAUCAAAGACAAUACUUGGCAAAGUAGAGGGUAAGUUGUUAGUAGAAAGAAGGUUGUCCUUGUACAGGAGCACAAAGAACAUGGCAUUAGGUUCACUCAAUUCUUUUAGAUCCCCCUUCCUAGUCAUCAUGACUAAUCCCUCUUUUCCCGGUGUCUUGGUUAUUGGAGGCUGUGGAGUUUUAUUUGGCUUUGAAAACUCUUCCUUACUAUUUUUGUGGAUCACUCUCAAGUGCUUCUCGCUCUCUCGCUGUUUCUUCUUUAGAUCAUCCUUCAUAAUUUCCUCCGGUGUCAAAGGAAGCAAAGAGAUUCGCUCUCCUUUGUACAAGAAAGACAACUUGUUGGUUCUUCCAAAAAUCUGGACAUCACGAUCAUAUAACCAAGGUCAACCUAGCAGCAAUUGACAUGCUUGCAUAGGGACCACAUCACAUUCCACAUGAUCAUUCUACUUCCCAACAGAAAAAGGAAUAUUCACCACAUGGCUAACACGCAACGCUCCACAAACAUUAAGCCGCUGCAUCUUAUAUGGACUAGGACGACACCUUGAUUUUAAUUCCAAUCUGUCCACCAAUUCUUGACUAGCAAUGUUGUUGCAGCUACCAUUAUCAACAAUGAUGCGACAUAGCUUAUCUUUGACCAUACCUUGGGUAUGGAAAACAUUAUGGCGCUGUCCAUUUUCUUCUCUUUCAGCAGUCACACUUACCACUCGAAGAGAGAUAAAACAGUUAUGAUCUACUUCUGGCUAGAUCUCAUUCUCUUCAUGUUGAAUUUCUUCAUCAAACUUCAGUCCAUCGUCUUCUGGAACACUAUCUGAUUUCCAUUCACCUUUUUAAUUCAACAACAUUGUUCUUCUACUUGGACAUCGAGCAGCAAUGUGCCCACGACCAUGACACUUAUGGCACACAAUUUCUCUUGUAUGGGUAGAAGAAGUAGCGACUAAAGCUUCAGUCGGGUCUGAUGUACUAGCAGCAGGCCGAUGCUUAUUUGCAGGGAAUGAACCUAUAGAAGCCACCAUCUUUGAUGUACUAUUGGAUGGAGAAGACCUAGCUACAUUUCCUUGGGAUGGUCCUCCACCAAAAGAAGCACUGGAUUGUUGUUUGUGCCAUUGGACAACAUUAUAAUGACUUGCAUAAGAUUUUCCACGUGACUCUUGUUGAAAUUUUCUCUCUGUACGCAUUGCUUGAUCAACUAGAUCUUGCAAGGUACGGUAUGGGAACAUCUCGACAAAUCCAGAAAUCUCUUCAUUGAUUCCGCCUAGAAAUCUUGCCAUGGUUGACUCAGGAUCUUCUCUAAUUCGAGUUCGUACUAACAACAACUACAUCUCCUUAAAAUAUUCAUCAACAGAUUUCUUUCCUUGCUUCAAUAAUUGCAAUCGAUUUCGAAGAUCGCGUUGAUAGUUGGAAGGAACAAAUCGCCUCUUCAUCACUCGCUUCAUCUCUUCCCAUGUAUUAAUAUGUCUUAGUCCCAAUCUAAGUUGAUGUUCUUGCAGUUGAUUCCACCAAGUAAGAGCAUAACCAAAAAACUCAACUGGGGACAUGUUCACUCGUUGUUGAUCUAAAAAAUUGUGAAUUCUGAAAAUUUGAUCACACUGCUCAGCCCAAUUAAGAUAUUCAUCUGCACUUUCUUUCCCAGUAAAUUUAGGAAUAUCCAACUUGACUCGGGCAAUAUGGUCUCGGUCAUUUCUAUGACGACGUCCAUGAUAAUGGUCUCUAUUUUCAAAAUUAGCAUGUCGGUGAUGAUGACGCCGACCAAACAUUCCAUCAUUUGCAAAAGGAUUUUCAUCAGAUCCUUCCUCACGAUCAUGGUCUUCAGACUCCUUGUCUUCAAAUCUUACUCGACGUUCGUGUGCAUGACGCCUUCCACACAAAUUAUCGAAAUUAGCGCGGCGACCAUCACCAACCUCUACGGCCAUCGCCGAAGGGAUCGAAUUCAUGGUCAAAACCAGAAUUCUCAUCUCCGGAUUCUUCACGGUUAAAUUCUUCUGGAUCAUGAUGAUGUAGCCUUUGACCUCCUGUCGCAGUCAGACGUUCUUUUGACAUCCUUUCCAUGGCUCCCACGAGUGAGUCGGCCAUCUGAUGCAAUUCAGCCCGAGAGACAGGGGGCUCUCCAUCUCCAUGGUUUCCACCAUGAACACUUGAAUUGGAUCCUACCAUGUUAGAGGGAAGCAAGAGAAAGUAGAAUAUGAAAGUAUUUGUGGAACACUCGAUCUCACCUCUUACUUACUGUUGGGGACUUGUUCUCAAAUGCUAUGAAUUAAGAACAAGGCAACAUAAAAUGUUAAAUAUUAAUGCCCUUCGUCCACUGAAGCAUUAUCUCCCCAAGGAUUUAAUGAACUUCGGACGAAGGCCAUGAGCAAGAUAUCACGAAGAUCAUACCUUCGUGAUUAGAGUUAUAAAACAAUGUAGGAUGAAAUAUAAAAAUAUGAAACAUAAGGGAAUGAUAUAUCAAAAACACAUAAGAUUAUUCACACAUUUUAUUAUACAAACCUAAAUAUUAAAACAUAAUAUUUAGGUACAUUUAUACCUUCGCCUUGGCAGAAAGCAAUAAUUCCAGCGUAAUGUGCCAGCGAUUACAAGAUUGCGUGAACAGUGCAGGGGUACUGUUCACCUAUUUAUAGGCACAAGACGCAGCCUGUGUAUAAUUACAUUUAUACCCUUUACAAUCAACUACAAUAAUGACACAGAAUAUCAUGGGUCUUUAGGUCAUUUCAUCUUUAAGUCGGUUCACCCCUUCGUCUUGAGACAUGUCACUGUGCCGAAGCUUUAUAGGCAAUAGCUUCGGCACUGCUUUUGAGAGGAUCUGCCGAAGGUGUUUCUUUCUUUAGGAUCUUCGGCUAUGAAGCAUACCCCCAACAGUAGCCCUUCGCGGUGCUAGAUCUUUUUUCGUAACGAGCUUGAUCCGUGAAAAAAUCUUUUAGGCUUCGGGAUGCCGAAGAUCCGAAAAACACCUUCCCUGAGCUCGUUGGCGAGAAAUGAUUAAAAUAAUCCAUGCGCGAGGUGGCCCCAUCUUGCAGCAGUUACGCGCACCCUGGUGAUUCACCUUCUCGGACUCUGUGGCCCACCGUUCGGUGAGUGCGGGUGGUUGUUUGUCCGGUGCGGAAGACCUUGACGAUUCACCUUUCCACCUGUGGCACUAUAUAAACAGACGAGUAGGUGUGAAGUUACCACAACAUUCAUUGCUAUUGCGCUGUUUUGCUGCCAAAAUAUUGACUAAAGCCGAAGCUUGCUUACUGCAUCCUCAUCUGAAGCUAUUUGUUUUACUCAAGCUUCGUAACAAGAAAGAGCUUCAACAAAGUUAAAAAUUUCAACUUCAUUCAAAAAACAAGAAAUUCAAUCAUCAGAUGGCCAAAGUACGUUCAACAGCUAGAGUUACUCGCGACGGAGAGGAAGCCGAAGGUGCCAAAAUUGCUCCAAUCUCUAAAGUAAUGAAGCGUUCAGGGCUGGUAGUAUCGGAGGAUGCACCUGCCGCUGAAGCUGAGCAGGCUGAUGCUGAGGAAGUUGAGUCAGAAGAUGAUUACAGCGCAGUGCCAACUAAACCCAGCCACCUGGAGUUUGGGAAAUCCACCAUUUUCGAAGGUGACAUGCCGAAGCUGAUGAAUUUGGGCUAUUUCAGUGAAGCGAAGAAGGAGCUGGUUCAUUUCGGCGGGGAGGAGAUUACUCCGAAGCCAGGAAAGGAUGAAGUAGUGGUCUUCAAAAGCUUCUUUAAAGUUGGUUUAAGAUUUCCUUUAAACAAGAUGAUUGCUGAUGUUUUGAAGAAGUUUGGGAUCUAUCUUCAUCAACUAACUCCUAACACUAUCGUUAGGCUUAGCGUUUAUAUCUGGGCUCUCCGAAGCCAAGGGGUGGAACCAUUUGCCGAAGGCUUCUGCCGACUGCACGAGCUUCAUUAUCAGACCAAGGCUAGAGGAGAUGGGCUGCAUGAAAACUUUGGCUGCUACAAUUUUGCCUAUCGCAAGAGUACAAAAUUUCCAGUGAUCAGCUAUCGUAGCAAGUGGCGAGCUAGCUGGAAGUCUGAGUGGUUUUACGUCAAAGUUGACAAAGAAAAGGAGAAGUUGGUCCAGAAUCUGCUAGAAUUAAUCUUCGGAGAGACCAGACCCCAGUGCAACAUGACACCAGGGAGUCCAAGCCAAAUUGCUCUGGCUGAACUUAGAGUUAUUGUGGAGCAUAUCGGCACUAGGGACUUAGUGCAAGAAUUCUUGGCUUUCAGAGUGUUCCCAACUUUGAAAGAGUGGGACAUGCCGAAGCUUAAGGGAGAAAAGAAGAAGGGGGAACUUAUUCAGUUGCCUUAUCAUUAUAAAUUCAAGAAACAUUUCAAAGUGCCUUGCCAAGAGUGGCUGGACACGAUUGAAGUAAUGUGCAAUGAAAUUCUCGGCAAUUACUCUAAAAAAGAAGAUCAACUAAUGACUGCAUCCUUCGGCACCCACGGUGGGCGCCAAUGUUGGGGACUUGUUCUCAAAUGCUAUGAAUUAAGAACAAGGCAACAUAAAAUGUUAAAUAUUAAUGCCUUUCGUCCACUGAAGCAUUAUCUCCCCAAGGAUUUAAUGAACUUCGGACGAAGGCCAUGAGCAAGAUAUCACGAAGAUCAUACCUUCGUGAUUAGAGUUAUAAAACAAUGUAGGAUGAAAUAUAAAAAAUAUGAAACAUAAGGGAAUGAUAUAUCAAAAACACAUAAGAUUAUUCACAUAUUUUAUUAUACAAACCUAAAUAUUAAAACAUAAUAUUUAGGUACAUUUAUACCUUCGCCUUGGCAGAAAGCAAUAAUUCCAGUGUAAUGUGCCAGCGAUUACAAGAUUGCGUGAACAGUACAGGGGUACUGUUCACCUAUUUAUAGGCACAGGGCGCAGCCUGUGUAUAAUUACAUUUAUACCCUUUACAAUGAACUACAAUAAUGACACAGAAUAUCAUGGGUCUUUAGGUCAUUUCAUCUUCAAGUCGGUUCACCCCUUCGUCUUGAGACAUGUCACUGUGCCGAAGCUUUAUAGGCGAUAGCUUCGGCACUGCUUUUGAGAGGAUCUACCGAAGGUGUUUCUUUCUUUAGGAUCUUCGGCUACGAAGCAUACCCUCAACACUUACCCAAGCUCUUUCCUAAUCUCUAGGGCCGUGAUGGUGCCGGUGUGGCAGCUUCGACAGAGGUGGUAGAGCAGUCGAAAGGAUAACAAGUCAAACGUCCUGGUUCAGGUUUUUUAGUGGAGCUAUAGGAGGCUGAUCAAGGUGGGCUAUGGUACUAUCAACCAAGUGUGUUGAUGUGCUAAAAAGAUAUGAAAUUGUUGCUGGAAAGAUUCUCAUCAAAUCAAUGUAAACUAAAAUUUUCAGCAACACACCGCAACACAAUCCCCUUUCACAAAUUUUUUCACUUCUUCUUUUUUUGACUUCUUUCUCUUCUUCUUUUUUUCUUUCUCUCUUUUUUAUAACACUAAUGGAGUGUCGAGAUCAAAUGCAAUGACACAAUAUGAAUACGACGGUGGUAACUAGCAACUUGAGGAACUUUAAACAACACAAGGUAACAAUACCGCCAAAGGGUUAUAGGUUUUUUGUGUGGCUUUGGACUAUAGGACAAAACAAAAUAUAAGAUGGAUGAAGACUGUGAUAAAUAAGUGGAUGACAGUAAGACCUACCAUGACAACGAAAGCUCUGAUACUAGAUGAUAUGUACCGAGUUAUAUUCGGUACUAGGGUGCCCCAAUCUUCACGACAAUAGGUUGAUAAAUAAGAUGGUUGGGUAUAAAAGUAAUGGAAUAACAAGGUAAAUUUGUUGUAGAACAUCGGGUAACUGACUUUAUACCUGAUCAAGGUCGGAGGUGACCAAGCGACGGGGAGAGAGACACCGAAACCGUGGAGACUUUGACUCGAUCUCUGAACGACCAUAGAAUCACAACCGGAGCUAAUCCACACAAUGCGAGGCAGCCGUACUGGAACUCACAAGGCAUGAACUAGUGGAUCCCAGAGGAGUCUCUUCACAAGUCUAGGAGAACAAGGAAGAACAGGGGUAGAGUAAACACUCAGCAGCUUGGCUGCGGUAAUCACUUGGAUUAUCAAAUCAUCAAAGGUUAUCAAAAGUUGUUUUACAUCAUAGACAUAGGGGGGUAUUUAUACUAGCUACAACCAGCCUUAGAUAGGUAUAAACACGAAAAGAAAGUAUUUUAACGUGCUAAUGUGAAGUGGCCUCUUCGGGAGAUCUCCAGAGCUGAAUUCUGCGUGGCUGUUUGACUUCUACGUAGCCUUCAAUAUUUUGAUAAUAACUUCUCCUAGGAAUCUCUAAAUGGCGUGGGGCUAGAUGCGCUUGAAAGCUAACUUCAUAAGCUUUCUCACCAUAUAUAACAUGCUUAGUGAAACUUCGUAGAAUGAUACAGUUUAAUACUAAAACUUGGUCAUCAAGCAGACUGUUGACUGUCACACCCGGGUUUUAGGGGGCACCAAAACCCGGACGCGAGAUAAUCACCAAGUGUGCUGGGACCAAGUCUCACACAUAUGAUGACUCAUGGUACAUAAACGAAUGUCACAUCUUUAGUAUAUAAUAGGAUUUCUAUACAAAAUAAAUAAAUAAUUACAUCAUAUGGAGACAACUAUCCAACAACCCAAAGUUGAAUGUGAGACGACGGCUUAGACCUCUUACGAAUUCAUCACAACAUCCUCCAUGUGCCUCCUCCUGCGGUAACUGUUCUUGACCUGUGGGGGGUGUGAGACAGCAAGGGUGAGCUCACAUACGUUCAUCGCUCAAUAAGUUGUGGGGAAUAAUGUGCAUGAACUCACCAAAGGUGGGAGCUCAUGUAAAGUGUAAGGCUUACCAAAGAAGAUGGCUAAAGCUGAGCAUUGCUUUUAAAUUUGGUCAAAUUUUAUUACAGUUACUAAGUAUAAGUAGAUACCAACCCAAAUAAGUAAUAGAUCAAAAUUGAUAACAACACCCACGAUGCAAUGCAUAUGACAAAUUAAGUUUAGUUCCAUAAAUUAAUCAUGUGAGUUUCGAGCCGCUCAUGACCGUAAGCACGACUGAUACACCAAUUUUACACUCUGCAGAGGUUGUGCAUAUUUACCCACAAGUUGUGUUAUCCAUCUGUCAAGGGGUUAUGAAUCCCAUACACCUCUACCAAGGAAGUGAGGUAGGGUAACAAUACGAGGCCUUUACAAAGUUCCACUAACUUCAGAAAACCCGCUACAGUUUCUAGGAAGCUCCAAUGCAGGGAUCCCUCACUUGACCAUCAUCGCAGCAAAAUCAACCCAAGGACCUCCCUACACUGACCACUCCCCUACUGCCCUUGCCCCUUUCGGGUAAGAUAGUCCUCCACUAGCUUUCCUAAUUAGUCAGCCAAGGGCGUCCCAUACCACCCUUGUGGUAGCACUGUUUUCCCGGGUGGUUCUCCAUGUUCCAAUUAACAAUAUGAUCUUAUCAUGAACAAUAAUUAAACAACAACAUAAUUGGAACAUGAUUAUAAUGAAACAUUAGUUUCCCAAAACCAAAUAGAGCAAUAGCAAAGAUACCCAAUAAUUCAUCUGUCUACAAGGUGAGGAAUAAACAAUGCUAGGGAAACCUAUUAGGUCCCAUCAAAUUAACCCGAUGCCUGUCACAGUGAUUAGCAAUGAACAUUAUUAGGUAAAAAGGAGUGAUCGAGGGCACAACUUGCCUGGGACUCGAGAUUCCAGGUACCAGGAUGAUCUUCAGAUGACUCGCAACCUCGCGCUAGUCGUAGCAAUACAAACAAACAUAGCAUAGGCAAAAUUAACAUCACACCAAACAUAAUCACAAAUUAAAUAAUAAUGAUCUACACGUCGUAACGAGAUCGUAGGUUCGAGAAUUACUAAAAUCGGAGCUACGGUUUUAAAGAUACGAUUUUCUAAAGAUUUAGGAGUCGGGUACAAAAGAAAUUAAGUACAUGAUUGUAAUUUAUGUUUCAUAACAAAAUAAAGUUACCAGGGGAUAAACAAUAUUAUUAUGGAACUAAUGCAACUGGAAUAAAUCAAAAAGGAGUUAAAAUGCGCAAGUUAUGAAUUUUCUAAGUUUAUUCUAUAUUAUAAAUCAUUUUCUAGAUUUGUAUUUGCUUAAAACAAAAACUAUGGCUGCAGUUACUAAAUCUGAAGUGUACAGGGGCUAUCCCAUAAAUGUCCAGGGCACAAAUAGAAUUAUUUAGCACUGGUAGGGGAUGGCAGGUUAGUUUCAAGAUUUUCCGAGGACUCUUUAGCAAAAGACCCACGACGAAGGGGUAAGAUCACACCUGAGCCGCACGAUCUGAAGUCUAUGGCCCAGAUUAGAUCGCCUACAACUGAAUGGGUAUAGAGCUGUAGCCCUUGGAUCCACGAUCAACGCUCUGGAUUUUAAAGACUUGAAUGGGUUCUCACGCGUCAGAUUUAGAUCGGACGGUGCGCAGCUAUCCAUGAAGGGGUAUCAAGCUUUUCUGACCGCGUGAUCACAAAUUGAUGGUCCAGAUUUAAAGGCACAUACGAUUAUGCAUCUUCUAAUAUGAAUCAUUGAUCAAGCAGUCAACGACUCAGAUCCCAAUCCCUGAAGUUGUACCCGAAGUUCUAAUCCUAGCCCUCCAAAAUGGAUCGCAUGACUCAAUUACCAUCUUCUUCCCUCAAACUACACACACAGCGGCGCACGCCGGUGAACCACCCCAUCACGGCGCAUGGGUACACGAUUCCCAAAUCAAUCUGGUGCUACACGAUGUAGGCCCAUGGGCGAAUCGGUAUAGGGAGUUCUUAUCGUGUCUCGACGCAACAGAGGACGUGACCACGACGCACAGGGGUGUGGUGGCAGCACAAGAGCUCCUAUGAGCAAUCACCACACCAACGCAGCCACCGAGUACCAAAUACCCCACGUGUGUGAUCUUUACCUUCAAGCGAACCUCCCCACCCAAUUGAUCGACACCGAGUUGCAGUGGCGGUGAGAGUAUGCUGCGGCAGCGCUCAUGUUUUCUUCCCCUGUCAAUGGUGUUCGGCGCGGUGACCCAAGCUUUAUAGACACGCAGAGUCUGUGCCAAGACCAGCUACCCACCUAGCGCCAGUUGUGUGGGUGUUGCGCCAAACCCCGAAGAUCGUGGACGGCGGGCGAGAAGGAUCUCGCGGUCUUUUUUGGGAUGCGGCAGUCGUGGCUCUUGAUAGAGGGAAGAAAGACCUGGCGGACGGGGCCCACGCGACAGAUAGAUAGAUCAGGUGCGUGCAUAUGGGUGGCCUACAAGCGGGCCCCGCAGGUAAGUGUGAGGUCCAGAACGGAAGCGCGCGUGUGAGUAGAGUGGGUUGGUGGAAUGGUGAGCCGGAUGGGCCGAGGGGAGAGGAAAUGGGCCCAUGCGUGGUUCUCUGUUUUUCUUUUUCUUUUUAUUCUGUUUUGAAUUUCUUUCUCAAUUUCAAAUUUCAAUACUUAACUUCGAGUUUAAAUUUCCUGCCUUGAAUUUUUAGACUUCCAAUUAUCUAAUACCAUUCUAAUUGUGAAUAUAAACUUGUACAAAAUUUUAAUAUUAUUAUUAUUAAUUCUCCCUCUAUUUUACAAUUCUAAUAGCAACAAAUUACUAUUACUAUUUCUUCUCUCAUCUUCUAUUUUAUAUUUUCAUUGAUAAUUUGAGGUCAAUUUUAUGUUUAAAAUAAAAUGCAUCACAACAAUAUCAUCAACAAGAGAUGUACCUUUCUUUGUUUACUUAUUGGUUACUUAACUAAUUUGGUACCAUUAAUUGUUUAGGAAAGAAGGAAAUGUCCUAAUGAAUUCCAAAGGUUUCAGAAACUCUAGAAACACUAUUAUAGAUAUUUUAUUUCUUUAUUUUAUUAUUUUAUUAUAUUUUUUUCUUCUACCAAUUUUAGGCUUUACAAAUCCUACCCCCUUAACAGAAAUCUCGUCCUCGAGAUUAGUAAGAAAAAGGAUGUAUAACCAUAUUGUCUCAGAACAUAUGCACAAACAAGAAUCUCAGCAUGAUGCAUAGCUUAUUAGCAACACAUAGGGUCAAAUAGACCUUAUUAUUAUUAUUCCUAAAAUAGUAAAAUACUAGCUACUAACUAAAGUAAUAUUUAGGUCUUACAAAUAGUACUCUAAAAGUAUGUAGAUAUAUAUAUUUAUAUAUAUAUAUUUAUUCUAAUCGUGUUGUUCAUUGCCUUCUUCAUCAAUUUCUUCACCUCAACCACCAAUUUCUGCAUGGUUGACCUGCCCCCGAUUGACGGAUAAGGGCUGACUCUUGCCUGCUGAGGCUUGACCCUGCUUCAUCGAAGUCGGAGUAGUAUAAGAAGCCCUGUUGGGACAGUAGUUGGCAUAGUGUCCAAACUGUCCACACUUGAAGCAUGACAUGUUCAGUAUAACACCAGUGUAAAGGAAAAGUGCAAUAUAGAUCAACUCAUGGCACAGUGUGUCCAGAAGAAGGAUAGUGUUGGGGACUUGUUCUCAAAUGCUAUGAAUUAAGAACAAGGCAACAUAAAAUGUUAAAUGUUAAUGUCCUUCGUCCACGAAGCAUUAUUCCCUUGAGGAUAAUGAACCUUGGACGAAGGUUGAUAGCAAUACAAUUACGAAGGUUAAGUCUUCGUAAUUGAAUUUUAAUAGAUUGUAUAAGAUAACAUAAAAUAAAGAAUAUCAAAGGUAAAUGAAUUAUAAACGGAACAUAUUGUAUUUACUUAAUAUAUUGAAUUUUUGAAUACAAUUAUACCUCUGCCUUGGCAAAGAUUGGUUCCUGAAUGAUGUGAUUGCCAAAACCGGAAUCCGUGAACAGUAAGGGAAUACUGUUCACUAUUUAUAGGCACAGGACACAGCCUGUGAGAAAUUACAAUUAUGCCCCUCACAAAGGAUUACAACAGCGACCUAGGCACUUAUGGACUAGAGGGUCAUUCUACUUUUAAGUCGGUUUGUAAUACCGAAGCUUCAUGAAGAGGAACCUUCGGUCAUCUCAUACGAAUAGCUUCAGCCGCAAGCUGCUUCUUCCUACAAGACCUUCGGCGACGAAGCAUAGUCCCAACAGUAGCCCCUUUCGCGGUGCUAGAUCGUUUUUCGUAACGAGCUUGAUCCGUGAAAAAAGUCCCUUAAGCUUCGGGAAGCCGAAGGUCCAAAAAACACCUUCCCUGAGCUCGUUGUCGAGAAACGAUUUAGUUUCCCAGCGCGUAGCAGUCCCACCUUGCAGAGUUACUGUUUGGUCUCUGCGGUCCACCACGCAGCGAGUGUAAGCGGGUGUCCGCCUGGUGUAAAAAUCCUGGCGCUUCGCCUUCUUACCUGCAGUACUAUAUAAACAGACGAGUAGGUGUGAAGUUACCACAGCAUUCAUUGCUAUUUGCACUGUUUUGCUGCCAAAAUUUUUAACCAUAGCCGAAGCUUGACUCUCGGAAUCGAACAAAGCUCCAGCUUGAAGCCUGCUUCGUCAGAAGGAAAAAACUUCGGAAGUAAAAGUAUUUAAUUGCCACAAAUUCAGAAUUAAAUGGCCAGAGUGCGUUCUGCCGCUAGGGUUGAGCGUGAGGGGGUGAAGCUAAAGGUUCAGAGAAUGUUCCCAUCUCCGAAGCGAUGCAACGAUCUGGGCUGGUAAAUUCGGAAAAAAUCCCCAGUGCUGAUGUAGAACAAGCAGAACAAACAACUGCCGAAGCAGAAGAAGAAAACAUUGAGGAAACUGAUCCUGAAGAUGAUUAUCGUAUUGCUAUGCCAAGUAAGCCCAGCCACUUGGACUUCGGAAAGUCUACUGUUUCGAAGGCUGAUCUCUCCAAGAUGGUAAAGUCGGGCUUUUUCAGUGAAAGUCAGAAGAAGCUACUACGCUUCGGGGGGGAAGAAACUACCCCAAAGCCGGAGAAGGAUGAAAUUAUCAUUUUCAAGAGCUUUCUAAAGGCUGGAUUAAGAUUCCCCCUGCAUGGAAUUAUCGCAGAGGUAUUGAAGAGGUUUGGUAUCUACUUUCAUCAGUCGACUCCUAACGCUAUCGUUAGGCUUAGCGUUUAUAUCUGGGCCCUCCGAAGCCAAGCGGUGGAGCCGUUUGCGGACAGCUUUUGUCGAGUUCACGAGCUGCACUAUCAGACGAAGGCUAGAAAAGAUGGAUUGCAUGACAAUUUUGGUUGCUAUAAUUUUGCUUAUCGGAAAACCACAAAGUUUCCUGUAAUCAGCUACCGAAGCAAAUGGGCAGCAGGCUGGAAGUCGGAGUGGUUCUAUGUCAAGGUUGAUGACGACAAGGAGAAGCUUGUGCAAAGUCCACUUGAACUAAUCUUCGGAGAAACCCGACCUCGUUGCAACAUGACACCAGAAGGUCCAGCCCAACAAGCGUUGGAUGAAUUCAGAAUUAUUGCAGAGCAUAUCAGUACAAGAGACCUGGUUCAGGAGUUUUUGGCUUUCAAGGUUUUUCCUAGUUUAAAAGAAUGGGAAAUGUUGAAGCUAAAGGGGGAGAAGAAAAAAGGUGAACUUGUGCGGUUACCUUACUAUUUCAAGUUUAAGAAAUACUUUAAAACACCUUGCCAAGAGUGGCUGGAUACAAUUGAAGUAAUGUGCAAUGAAAUACUCGACAAUUAUUCCAAAAAAGAAGAUCAACUGAUGACCGCGGCCUUCGGCACCCGUCCGAAGCGAAGACUAAAUCGAGUGCUGGACGCCUUGGGUUUUGAAUAUCCUAACUACGAAAAUCUGAAUAAAGGUGUCGGAGGCCAGAAAAGGAAAAGGAUAACCGAAGCCUUAAAUGAAGAUGAGAAAGAACCAUCAAAGAAGAAAAUUCCGAAGAAGAGGAAAGCGUCUUCUCCGAAGCAAAAAGUAUCCGACGAAGAAGAAACCCCCGCAUCACACUCUGCCACUGACGUGGAGGAAAUUUUAAAGGUAAUGACUGAAUCCCUGCCUGCGAAGCUAAGUCCAUUGGGGCCUCAACUGACAAAGUUUUUUCAGAAGGAAAAGGAGCCCGAAAAAACGAAGAAAACGACUAAAGCAAAAAGACAAAGAAUCAUCGGUGUAACAGAGGUCAUUGACAAGACACCACCGAGAGCUUCAGCUCAGAAGAUACCAGCGGCUGAGGGAAUGACAAAUAUUGAAAUCACACCUUCGGAGGUCGCGGCUGCCGAAGCUACCUCAAUUGAAGAUUUGAACUUGGAAAGCACAAUUGAACACAUCGACAAAAUGCUGCUAGACAUGGCCGCAGAAGAAGCUACUACUGCCGCCGAAGAGGUCGUAGCCGCAGCGUCGGGGAAAGAAAAGGAAAUUGCUGACGAAGCUUCAGAGGACGAGGCCUUCGUAUUUCAAAAUUUAGUUGGAGAAAAAUUGUCAAAAACCGAAAUAGAAGAGCUUAAAGAGUACGCCAAAUCUUGCGGAUAUAAACCAGGAGCACUCCUCUUCGGAGGUAUUGAUGAUGAAAAAUUGGACUCUAUCCGGAAUCAAACUGGAGCUAAGGUUAUCGGUACUCUGUCAAAGAGUAUCGGUUUUCCGAAGCUAGAAAUGGACAUUAGCCGCUACCGACGACAACAUAUCGUUGGUAGUUUAUUUUAUUCCAAUUUCAAGGUGAACUAUUUUUCCCCUGACUUUUAUUGUUUUGGAUAAUGAAGACAUGUCUAACGAAGGUUGUUUUCGUGUAGAGUAUGCUGUUGAGCAAAGCUUUGAAAAUGCAACAAGAUCUGGAAGACAAGAAACACGAAGUUAUAAUUGAAAAUUUAGAAGGCAAAAUAAAAGAGCAAUCAGCUACUAUUGAAAAGAAGAACUUCGAGCUUCAAGCGACUGAAGGCUUAUUGGCGGAAGCCGAAGCUAAAAUGACAGAACUGAACACGAAGCUUCUGUGCCAAUCUGAACAGUUUGAACGAGAAAAGCAAGAACUUAAUGCAAAACUUGAAGUCGAAGUCCAACAAAAUUCAGUUUUGAAAGAACUAUUGGCGGGCCUUCAAGACAAAUGUUUAGAAUUUAGCAACAAAUGUAUUCAACGAUUGAGAAAAAUUUUCCAUUCGGUCGGAGCUAGCAGUGAGAAGUUCACCCCGUCAGCUGAAGAUUUACCAAAGACCUUCGAACAUAUUGAGGGUGAAAUUGAUGAGCUUGACGAAGUUAUAGCCGGGCACGGUGACUUCUGCGCCUGGGUAGCUUCUCGGGGCACUGCUGCAGCUUUCCUAAAAGCUGGCUGCGAUCAUGGAAAGAUUGUCAAUAGGCCCAAUUUCACUUUAUCGCCAUCAAUUCUAGAUGACAUUCCUGAUCUCGCCCGAAGCAUUUCCAAUAGAUUUGUAAAGAUGAUAUGGACAAAAGGCGGGCGAGAAAAGGCAGGAGACGAAGCUCGGAGUCAUCUUGAACCAGUAAGAAAUCAUACCUUGUGCUUACCUCUUCCUUCAAGCUCGAUUUUGACUUACAACAACUUAAUUCAUGUAGGAGGACGAAGCCGAAGCCGAUGAUUAAAAAGAAUGACGCCGAAGCUGAGAUCCCUUGAAGAUUAAAUAGGAGUAGACUGUAGACAGACUCAAGAAACUUUUAAGAUAACUUUUGUAAAUGUAACUAAACUUGUCUUUAAUGAAUUCUGUUCAUACCUUGUAUUAUGCUCUUAUCCUUCCAUUAAUGUAUGAGAGGUGCUUUGAUGUGGACGAAAUUAUCUUUUUGAGUCGAAGGCGAAAAAACACCUUCCCUUCUUUUCGUACACAGUGAAGCAUAGAAAACAACAUUUCCCUUUCUUCCGAAGCUCUUCUUUUCGUACACGAAGAAGCUCUUCUCUCUUUUUUUUUCUUUUUGCCGAAGCAACCACUUAUGCUAUGAUGAUGAUUAUCCUACAUAUGCCUGGAUGAAUGUUUAUGAAUGCAAAUGCUAUGAUGUAAUGUGAUGUGCAAAUGAAUGUCCAAACACAUAUCCGAAGCCAUAAUCACAGCCAUUAUUUCCUUAGAAACAACCACAUAUCAGUGCUAACUUUUCGCUGUAAGCUCUGCAUUCCCUUAGGAACGACUUUGGAGCUUCUUUGUCUUUUACUUUCGGCGGAAUCAGCGUUGACUUUUCGCUGUAAGCUCUGCAUUCCCUUAGGACGACUUUGGAGCUUCUUCGCCUUUUACUUUCGGCGGAAUCAGCGUUGACUUUUCGCUGUAAGCUCUGCAUUCCCUUAGGAACGACUUUGGAGCUUCUUCGCUUUUUACUUUUCGGCACUCGAUGGUGCGUUCUCAGCUUUUACAUUUACAUUCCUUGGGGGAUUUUGCUCUUAUAGAACUAAAAAAGGAAAUUACAUAUGAUGGCCCCAUUAAAAACCUUUCUCCCCCUUCAGAAAGGAAAAGGGUGCCAUGAAAAAGAAAAAACAUAAAAAAUUACAUCAAGUUACACAUAAUAUCGCCGAAGCUCAUCCGCAUUCCAAGAUCUAGGAAUGUCGUUGCCGUCCAUAUCCUUCAAUCUGUAUGAACCGGGUCUUGACGAAGAUGCUACUAAGAAAGGUCCCUCCCAUUUCAACUGCAACUUGCCCACUGUAUCUGGGUUAGCCACUCGCCGAAGCACCAAAUGUCCUGGCUCAAUAUUCUUUAGCCGAACCUUUCUAUCACGCCAUUUGAUUGUUUCGGCUUGAUACUUAUUGAUGUUCUCCACAGCUUGAAGCCUGAUCCCUUCUACAACAUCUUUUUCCACAGAAUAAACAGCUUCAGAAUCUAACUCUGCCGAAGCUACUACUCUUAUUGAUCCAGUUUUGGCUUCCUCCGGAGUUAUUGCUUCGUCACCAAACAAUAGUUUGAAUGGAGUAAAGCCUGUUGACCUUGAUAUUGUUGUGUUGUGGCUCCAUACCACUUUGAUUAAUUGAUCUGGCCACUUUCCCCUAGGUUGAUUGAAGAUUAACUUCAUUAUUCCUGUCAUUAUAAUGCCAUUGGCUCUUUCAACGAGUCCAUUUGACUCCAGAUGCCUGACUGAUGCAAAAUGGAUCUUCGUACCAAUUUGAUCACAGAAAUCUCUGAAAGCUUCGGAGUCGAACUGUGUUCCAUUAUCUACUGUGAUGGCCUUUGGUACCCCGAAACGACAAACAAUAUUCUGCCAGAAAAACUUUUGGAUGGUGGCCGAAGUUAUUGUGGCUAAAGGCUUUGGCUCAAUCCAUUUAGAAAAAUAUUCCACAGCCACUACAACAUAUCUUAAGUUUCCUUGGGCCGGUGGUAACGGACCUAACAAGUCAAGGCCCCACCUUUGCAAUGGCCAAAUGGGUUGUAUGAGCUGGGUUAAAGACGAAGGUUGUUUUUUGAUCUCUUGCACAUUUCUGACAACCUUCGCACUUUUGAACUAAUUCCGCUGCAUCCGAAGCUGCCUUCGGCCAAUAAAACCCUUGACGGAAAACUUUUCCAAGUAACGGCCUAGAUCCAAUGUGAGAUCCGCACAGGCCUGCAUGUAUUUCUUUCAUCAAUUCUAUGCCUUCGGUUCUAGAUAAACACUUGAGUAGUGGAGCACAAACUCCAUGCUUGUACAACUCCCCUUCUAUCAUGACAUAUGGACGAGCUCUUGCCUCUAUCCUCCUGUUAUAAGUUUCGUCAUCUGAAAGGAAUUUACCCUGAAGGUAAGAGAUGAUUUCAGUUCUCCAAUCUUCGCUAUAAACAGGAGAUAUAUUGAGGACUGCCCUUUCAAGAAGUUCCACUGAAGGUGCUUUUAUUGUUUCGAAGAACACAUCCGAAGGUAAGGGCAGCCCCUGUGCUGCUGACUUAGCUAGCAAAUCAGCAUGCUCAUUUUGUCCUCGAGGGAUAUUUUUGACAGAAAAUCCUUCGAAGGAAGCUUCGACUCUUCGAACCAUGUCUAGAUAUUUUUCAAGCUUCGGAUCUUUAGCCUUGCAACUCUUGUCGAUAUGACCCGAAACAACCUGGGAAUCAGUUUUAAGAAUGGCCCUUCUGAUUCCCAUUGCUUUUAGCUUCCGAAGACCCAAAAGCAGGGCUUCGUACUCAGUAAUAUUGUUUGUACAACUGAAAUCGAGUCUUGCCGCAUAACAAGUUUUAACUUUGGAUGGCGAGACCAACACAGCAGCUGCUCCUGCCCCGAAGGUUCCCCAAGACCCAUCGCAAAACACUGUCCAUACUUCGGCAUCUUUAUUUGUUUCUUCAUCCUGAGCCCCUGGCGUCCAAUCGGCGAUAAAAUCUGCCAACGCUUGGGACUGGAUCGAAGAUCUAUGCACAUAAUCAAUGCAAAAUUCAUUGAGCUCUGCAACCCAUUUUCCAAUCCGCCCAGUAGCUUCUCUAUUUCUCAUAAUAUCCUUCAACGGCUGCGAAGAAGGAACAAUAAUAUUGUAUGCUUGAAAGUAAUGCCGAAGCUUCCUGGAUGCCAUCAAAACAGCAUAUAACACCUUCUCUAAUUCUGUAUAGUUUUUCUUUGAUAUACUGAGAACUUCAGAUACAAAAUACACUGGGACCUGUUUCUUGACUUGGCCAUCAAGCUUCUCCUGGACAAGUGCUGCACUUACCGCUGAGUGCGAAGCUGCCACAUAUAAUAACAAAGGAGCCCCUGGCGUUGGUGGAGUUAAUGUUGUUAAAUCUAUCAAAUAUUGCUUCAGUUCCUCGAAGGCUUUUUGUUGGCUUGGUCCCCAUUGAAAGACUUCGGCUGAUUUCAGGACUUCGAAGAAUGGUAAAUUUCUUUCUGCUGAUCUGGAUAUAAAUCUAUUAAGAGAUGCCAGCCUCCCCGUCAAUCUUUGGGCCCCCUUUUUUGUAGUUGGUGGCUCCAUUCGAAGUAUAGCUUCAAUUUUACUUGGAUUAGCUUCAAUUCCCUUUGUUGAAACCAAGCAUCCAAGAAAUUUCCCCUUCUUUACUCCAAAGACACAUUUUUCUGGAUUCAACUUCAGGCCAGCUUGUCUAAAACUGGCGAAGGUCUCCUGCAAAUCAGCAAUGUGAUUUUCCUGUUUCGUGCUUUUUACAAUGAUAUCAUCAACAUAAGUUAGCACAUUUCUGCCUAUCUGAGACUGGAGAACCCUCGCAGUCAUUCUGCUGAAACUUCCUCCAGCGUUCUUGAGCCCCUCAGGCAUCCGAAGGUAACAAUAUGUUCCACUAGGGGUUAUGAAACUGGUCUUUGGCUCAUCCUCCUUCUUCAUCCAAAUUUGAUGAUAGCCUGAAUAACAAUCGAGAAGACUCAUGAGCUCUGACGAAGCUGCUGCAUCAACUAAGGAGUCUAUCCUUGGCAAUGGGAAUUCGUCCUUCGGACAAGCCUUGUUGAGAUCUGUAAAAUCGAUACACAUUCGCCAUUUGCCAUUGGCCUUUUUUACCAUAACAGUGUUAGCUAGCCAUUCUGGGUACUUUACUUCUCUGAUAACUCCUGCACUGAGGAGUCUUUUGACUUCAUUACGAGCACCUUCGGCCUUAUCAUCAGACAUUUUCCGAAGCCUCUGCUUUCUGGGUCUGAAGGAUGGGUCAACAUUGAGCGAGUGUUCAAUAAUAUCUCUGUUAACUCCGCAAAGAUCAUUGGCUGACCAUGCAAAAACAUCUUUGUUGUUGAACAAAAACCUUAUCAAGGUUUUCUCCUGUUCUUCGGAUAAUUGAGAGCCCAACAGCACCCUCUGCUCUGCUAUGUCCUCACAUAAGAGCAUGGGCUUCGGCUGAUCUGCUGAAGCUGCUUUCUCCCUUCUGAAUUUGUACUGUUCACAAGCUUCAGCUCCAUCUAUGUUAUGGAUUGCUUUUGAGUCAGUCCAGUUUCCUUCGGCCCUUCUGGCAGCUUCCUGACUUCCAUGAAUAGCGAUGGGUCCUUGAUCCGAAGGUAUCUUCAUGCAAAGGUAAGCAGGAUGAAGAAUUGCUUCGAAAGCAUUGAGGGUGCCACGACCAAUAAUUGCAUUGUAAGGGUAUUCCAUGUCAACAAUGUCAAACACAACUUGCUCAGUUCUAGUGUUGUUGAUGAAUCCGAAGGUCACUGGCAUGGUGAUCUUGCCCAGUGCUACAAUUUGUCUUCCUCCGAAGCCACAGAGAGGGUGUGUAGCAUCAUGAAUCUUAUCUUCUGGCUCUUGCAUUUGUCUGAAGGCCUUAGCAAAUAUGAUAUCAGCUGCACUGCCUGUGUCAACCAAGACAUUGUGGACCAGAAACCCUUUGAUAACACAAGAAAUAAUCAUAGCAUCGUUAUGAGGAAAAUCCUUGAGCUGAAGGUCCUCCUGGGAGAAGGUGAUUGGAAUGUGAGACCACCUUGACUUGAUAAAGGGUCCCUGCACUCCAACAUGUUGUACCCUUCUCUGCGCCUCUUUCUUCUGCUUUUUAUUGGCUGGUUCUGAGCACGAACCACCUGUUAUCGGGAGCACCAGCUUCGGGUCUGAAGCAGCUCCAGCUCGAUCGUUGAACGAAGCCAUCAGCUCAAAAAAGUGGAAGUGAGUUCACCGGAGGUGGGCGCCAAUGUUGGGGACUUGUUCUCAAAUGCUAUGAAUUAAGAACAAGGCAACAUAAAAUGUUAAAUGUUAAUGUCCUUCGUCCACGAAGCAUUAUUCCCUUGAGGAUAAUGAACCUUGGACGAAGGUUGAUAGCAAUACAAUUACGAAGGUUAAGUCUUCGUAAUUGAAUUUUAAUAGAUUGUAUAAGAUAACAUAAAAUAAAGAAUAUCAAAGGUAAAUGAAUUAUAAACGGAACAUAUUGUAUUUACUUAAUAUAUUGAAUUGUUGAAUACAAUUAUACCUCUGCCUUGGCAAAGAUUGGUUCCUGAAUGAUGUGAUUGCCAAAACCGGAAUCCGUGAACAGUAAGGGAAUACUGUUCACUAUUUAUAGGCACAAGACACAGCCUGUGAGAAAUUACAAUUAUGCCCCUCACAAAGGAUUACAACAGCGACCUAGGCACUUAUGGACUAGAGGGUCAUUCUACUUUUAAGUCGGUUUGUAAUACCGAAGCUUCAUGAAGAGGAACUUUCAGUCAUCUCAUAUGAACAGCUUCAGUCGCAAGCUGCUUCUUCCUACAAGACCUUCGGCGACGAAGCAUAGUCCCAACAGAUAGGUUGAAGAGUCAAAUUGUGAUUCCAUCAACCUUCCCAAACUAUGUAUACCCAAAGAGAACAAGAACUCUAAGAAAGGUUCAAGAAUAAGAUCAAGCAUGAUCACCAGGCUUCUACAAAGCAACAGUCACACAUUUUCUCAGUUUCCCCACGACACCUGCCAUCUACUACAAAAGACAGGGCACUACAAUAGAAAGUGCCAGAAUUCCUGCACUAGCUGCUACCGAAUGCAAUUCCGUACAAACCUAAGGUUCCAGCGGGUCGAAUAAUAGUUAUAGUGGUUAACGAAAAGAAAGUAGACACUUAACUUCAGUUUCGUGAUUAGACAAUCAGCACAUCCACUAUCACUUCGGUGACAAAGAUUGUGUGUUAUUUAGCUUGAUAAUAAAGAUGUUGGUCUCGCCAUCCGACGAGACAUGAUUUAUUUAUCUUCGCACAGUGGCAUUGUUAAGGUCUUAGAUACACCAUAAAACAAUCCAUCCAAUAGUGGCAGGAAUAAAAAAAUAGAAGUGAUGGAGAAACCUCGUCGAAAUUAUGGCACUACCGUUUGGGCCAUAUUUCGAGCGAGGGAUAGAACGUCUCGUUAAGGGACAAAUUCUCCAUCCCCUAGACUUCACAAACUUACGAGAGUGUUAAAAUUAUUCAUACAGAUAUAUGUGGUCCUUUUUCAGUUAGUACAGUAGAUGGGUUUAACUAUUUGAUAACCUUCACAAAAGAUUACUCUCGCUAUGGUUAUAUUAAUCCCAAUAAGGAAAGAUCAGAAGCUUUAGACAAGUUUAAACAGCUCAAGGCUGAGGUAGAAAAUCAACAUGAUUUGAACAUAAAGAUUGUCGUAUCAGAUCAUGUGGGGAGUACUGUGGGCACCAUACUGAUUAUGGACAGGUCCCAGGAUCCUUUCGCGAGGUUCCUAAGUGAAAACCAUAUUGUUGCUCAGUAUUCAACACCUGGUGAACCGCAACAGAAUGGGGUUGCCGAAGGGCAUAACAAAAUGCUAAUGGAUAUGGUAAGGAGUACGCUUAGUUACUCUAACCUACCAUUGUGUCUAUGGAUGGAGGCUUUAAAAACCCGCUAUGCAUAUACUCAACAUAGUUCCUAGUAAAUCAGUGGCUAAAACUCCAUAUGAGUUGUGGACUGGCAGAAAGCCCACGCUCAACUAAUUCCACAUAUGAGGUUGUCCAACAGAAGCUACAAUAUUUAAUCCUAGACAGGAAAAGCUAGAUGAGAGAACCAUAAGCUGCCAUUUUAUUGGCUACCCUGAGAGAUCGAAGGGUUACAGAUUCUACUGCCCAGGCAGACAAACCAAGUUUAUAGAAACCAGACAUGCCAUUUUCCUAGAAAAUGAUAUGAUCAAGGGGAGUAAGGUACUCAGAGAGGUUGACCUUCAGGAAAAGAGGAUGUAUGUCCCGAUUCUGAUGGUUGAAGAACCAUACUUCUCGAUACCCACUGUGUUUCCACCAACGGUUGUAACGACUAGAGGUGAAACCCCUGUUGCAAAUGUUGCAUCACCCAAUGCAACUACUACAUAGCAAUUCACUUUACCUUCUGCACAGCCUGGCUCUUCUGAGUCGGUUGCACAGGAGAGUUCACAUGACAGUGGUAGUGUUGCGCCAAGUGACGCACCAUUGCAAGAGCCCCAAAACGAACCAAAACUAGAAACAAGUUUAAAAAGGUCUCAAAAGGUCUAGACGAUUUGUGAUUCCUAAUGAUUAUGGAGUUUACACAAGUGUAGACAAAGAAAGCGAUGGGAUUUAUAUGAGUGGGGACAUCGAUGCAGAAGGUGACCCCACUACAUAUGAAACAGCUAUGAGAAGCGUAAAUUAGUGGAUCUACAAGACCAAGCGUGAUUCCAAAGGGAAUAUCUAAAGAUACAAGGCUGGACUUGUGUCCAAAGGGUUCACACAGAGAGAAGGUAUUGACUACCAUAAAACCUUCUCACCUGUCUCAACAAAAGAUACAUUUCGGAUCAUUAUGGCAUUAGUGGCUCAUUUUGAUCUAGAGCCAUAAUAUGGAAGUAAUGACAUCAUCACUAAAUGGAGAGUUAAUAGAAAACGUGUUCAUGGCACAACCAAAGGGUUUUUGUUGUGAGUAGUAAAAGAAAAAACAUGGGUUUAAGGGAGUGCCUAUGAUCUUGAAUCACAGGGGCUACAUAUUGCAAUGCAACCAAAUAAAGUAUCUUUUCGUUCUAAAGCAGGCGAGCAUGGUGUAGUCAAUGAGUACGGUGAUACUUGAUCGGUCAUUGUCACGUAUUGGUCUCUAUGUGUAAACUUGUCGAGGGAUGAAAUCUAGAAAAGUUGAGUAUAAGGAAUGUAGAGAACAAAGGGGAGAUUGUUGGGUGUGCCCUCUACAGCUAGUCAUUGGUGAUCGGAUUGGGCUAAACCCAACUAUCCAUCUCCUUAAACGGGUCCUUGAUUGGGAGAACUCACGCUGACCUCGGUUGGAGCCCCCAGUCACACGACGCUAUAUAUAGGACUAAAGGGUCGCAGGAAAGACUAACGCUAGUACCUCGACCCAAAACCCUAAUCCCCACAGAGGCCCCCAUCGCCUAAGCGUCGGAGUGUCUAGAAGCGCGACAACCCACAGUGGCUCGGAUCCCGAUGCCUGCUGCUCCUCUGCAGACGACGACAACAACGACAACUCUCCAACAACAACAACAACGAAUGUGUGUUUUCCUAUUCCUCUUAGUAGAACAGAUCUACUUAUCAUCGAGGUUUUCCUUCCAGUUACGGAUUGGUAUUCUAGGGACGUAGGAAUAGAUCUUAGGUACCAUAGGAUCUAACACUAUGAAGAUUUUAUGACCACUUUGUAAUUUUAAGUUUUGCAUUUUUGCUUCCUGAUCAGAUGUCAUUCUCUGUACUUUCUGUGUAGGACACGGGGAAGUCCUGGAGACGCUAUCAGUGAGCUCCUUCUGCCACGUUUUGUGGACAUGGUAAUUUGGGGCCAUGAGCCUGAAUGUCUGAUUGAUCCACAGGUAACAAGACAUAUUAGUAUUUAAAAAGAGGGGAAGAGGUGCAAUUUAGCAUAUGUAUUUUUAGUCAAGUGUUCUGUCUUUCUGCUUUUGUAUUUAAUUUUAACUUUGUUUUCCUUCUAUCAACUACUCACAGGAGGUUCCUGGAUUGGGUUUCCAUAUCACCCAACCAGGUUCCUCAAUUGCUACCUCACUGAUCAAUACUGAAGCAAAUCCAAAACACGCGCUCUUUCUGGAAAUCAAGGUUAGUACUGGUGCAACGUGCUACGCUAACAUUCAAAUAUCUUCUUUUUUAAUUUAUUUAGUUUAUCAUGUUGCCCUUGAAUAGGGGAGAGAGUACAGGACAACCAAAAUACCACUGCAGUCUGUUAGACCUUUUGAGUAUGCAGAGGUAAUCCAGCUCUUACUUGUGUUUGCUCAAGUGAACUACAUCAAGAGAAUGUCAUGCAGGUUGUACUGGAGGACCAGGUUGAUGUUGAUCCUGGUGAUGAAGCAUCCAUUCAUGAGCAUUUGCACAAAGUUGUAAGUCCCCAACUAAUAACUUGUAUUUUUGUAAAAAAAAUCGUCUGUUUCCAAGGAUAUGUUCCCAUGACUGGUUAAAUUAAUUCCAGAACAGAACAAUCAGAUCUUUGAACAAUGAAGCUUCAGUUGUUGGAUAUUUGUUGUACUAAAUACUGACGGCAGAGUGGCUUUAUGUGAGCAACCUUAUUGAGAAGAGUAGGGAAGAAGCAUCCAGUAGUGGAUCAAAGCCCAAGCUUCCACUGGUUAGAAUAAAGGUAAAUCAGGAGCUCUUUAUGGCAGUUUUGUCCCACAAUGUUGUAAACAUAAAAGAGAUUGAAUUGUUCUUCAGGUGCAUCACACCGGACUUUCAACGAUAAAUUCAAAGCAAUUUGGUCAGCACUACGUGGGCAAGGUACCUCAUAAACUAAUUAAAAUGGAAUAAUUUAAAUGUGAUGUAAUCCUUUUAGUUACUACUGUUGCAUAGUGUUUCUGGUUACUAUCAAUGCUCUUGUAGGUUGUAAACCCACAAGACAUACUUCUUCUUACAAGAUCAAGGCAAAGGCAUCAAACUAUGCAAGGUAUGCCUAUUAUUGUUUCCUAUCACUACAGUAAACGAGGAAAUUUCCGAUGGCUAAAACCGUCGGACUUAAGGACUAAACCGUCGGAGAUAAGCUAUGUCCGACGGCAUUAACUUAUCUCCGACGGUUUUAAGCCGUCGUGGAUAAUGCGUCGGAAUAGCGUUAUGUCCGACGGCUGCCGUCGGACAUACGCUAUGUCCGACGGCCCUAUCCAACCGUCGGAGAUAAGGCGGCGUAACCGUUUUAACCGCUGCCUGGGCCCACAACUAUUAUGUCCGACGGUUUAAAGCCGUCGGACAUAACAUAUAGCAUAUGUCCGACGGCUUUAAGCCGUCGGACAUAACAUAAACCUUAUGUCCGACGGCCUACACUAGGCCGUCGGACAUAACGUUUUUCAGAAAUUGCACAAAAAUCUGAAAUUUAAAAAAUCUGACAUUUGCAAAUACAAAACAGAAUUCAUACACAUAUACACAUUCACAUUAACAAAUAUACUCACAUAAGUAUACACAUUCACAAAUAUAAUCACAUAAGCAUUCACAUUCACAAAAUUUAACAUAACAACAUAGUUCCAAAUGGUUGCAAUAAGUGUUUACAUAAACAUAGUUGUCCAAACUCCAAAAUGAACAUUAUUCGACGGGUAGGCUUUCACAUGAAAGGUUUCAACAAGUGUUUUACAUCAGUAUCACUCAUAUCCAUCGCCACCUCCUCCGGCUGGACUAUGCGUGCUGAAAAGAUUGUUCACCCACGAAUGUGUUGUGUCGUCCUGACCAGACCCAUCUCCAGGUGCGGCAACUGAAGCGGGUGGUGUCUGAAAUCCCUAUAACAUAAGCACAUGAAAUAGUAACCACUCAGUUGUUCAUUUAAACACAUAAGACAUCUAUGAACAUGUCACACACGCAUAUGUGUACAUACCAUAGGGAAUUGUGACGGAGGCGGAGGCGGUGGUGGAGGCGCCAACAUUGGCAUUGGCAGUGCAAAGUCCGGAGGCGGCAUCCCAUAUGUCGGCAUCGGGACGCCCGCUUGUUGGGCUAGUUGCUACAAAUUAUAUACAAGUCAUUGUUGAGCAAACAAGAUACACAUCAAGUGUUUUGCAAAAUAAGCUACAAAAUGUUAGUUCAACUUACCGAGAGAAGAGCUUGAUUUUGGGCCUGGAGGCUUACAUAAUACUCGUCCCUCUUCUUCUGGUACUCGGCUUGUUGUCUCUGGUAUUCAGAUUGUUGCCUCUGGUACUCCAAUUGAUCCCUCAAGACUGAUUGAUGGUACUCUGCCUGUUGACGCAACACCGCAAGCUCUAUCUCAUGGGCUGCUGAUCGUGAACGGGACGACUGUGAAGACGACGAUGUGGAUUGUCGUCCACGGCGUCUCAGCUCUCUGGAAUCAAUCGUAGAAUCAAAAAUACCCAACCUACAAGAGUGAACCAUGCACUUAGUAUAGUAACUCAUGCCUCAGUUGAAUCGCAAGCAUAUGAUGACAAUUUUGAAAACCAAAUCAAAUAAUCUCACCGUCCAUGGGCUUGUCCUCCUGCACUAGCAUAUGCUGCCUGAGGGUCGAUUGGCUGGCUCCUCCAAUCGUACUCCUCCCCAUGGCGUUGAACCAUCUCCUGCCCAUACGAAGCCUGGAGGCAAACAAUAUCAAAUAUAAGUGCAUAACCCCUAUGCCAUUGCAAACAAUAUCAAACACAUAAUAGAGUAUAAAAAACUCACUAGAAUGUCGGUGGCCGUCUGAGUGCAUAACACAUCAGGAUUCUGAGGAUCAGAACCCCUAUGGCCUUGCAUAUACACCUCCACAUCCGUGGGCGUACGGCCGGAUUUGACUUCCUGUACAUAAAAGUUAUAUUGACACAUUUCUAUGUAAUUCAAAGUUACGACAAACUGAGACUUACCAUUCGCUUAGCCAAGCGCACAUGACCAUCACCGCCGUAGUUGUGGAACGACUCAGUUCCACGGUUUCCCCUGUUCCUUUCGGAAAUGGCACGAAAAUCAGGGGAACCCCACCAUCUGCACAAUGCCCGAUAACCGUCUGAUCGGGUGGCCAUCCACGGCACCGACACCUACAUGAAAUUUUUAAAAUAAAGCAAGCAAAUACAUGGCUUCGUGCGAUAUGAGAGGCAACAACCUGUUUACCUCUAGGUAUUGCUCCUCCGUCAAGUAAAUUGAUGACCACUCGGCCUUUGUAUUUGGCAUCGGUCGAUCAUCAGCAUUUGCUCUGUACCAUGCCUUUAUAGCCUAAAUUCGUGCAUAGUACAUUGCAUCUGCAACGACAUCGUUCGCGUUAUACUCAAACACGUAACGAGCGUUCAUAUCAUAUGAUCCAUCGUCCGGCAACUUGUACCGUUUCUGCAAAAACCAUAGUGUUAUCAUAAAAGCAAACAUAUAUGGAAUAACUAAAAUAGUAUAAACAAGUCAUACCCAGAAUGCAUCCCAAACUAGUGCUUGUGUGUUGCCAAACGUUCUACAGACACCAUAGCGAUAAUGCUCCCAAGUGGUGGCGGGGACAGACUCGCCAGUAGGCAAAGUCACAAGACCAGGCCAGUGCAGACGAACAAGAUUACCAAGAACCAUGUUCACCUGCCUGUAGUGUCCUGUGCCUGUGAACGAGUCGUCGAUCCAAGUCCUGCAAACAGAAAUCAAUGUAGAAAUUAAAACAUAACUUUCAAUAACAUUUAAGCAAAGAUAUGUCACUCACUUUCCACUAGGCUUUAUCACAACCCGAGAUUCCGGUGGAAGCUCUGGAGGUGGUCCAACAAAAUGCAGCUUCCUCGUUCUCUUAACUCGAGAAGUUCCAGACCCAGCUGCAGAAUCUCCACCAGCCCCAGAAUCCCCAGCCCCAGAAUCUCCACCAGCGUCGUCUCCAGCAUCAUCUCCCACAUUAUCUCCACCAUCAUCUUCAUCAUCAUCUCUUGCAUGAUCCUCUACCACUGGUUCCUCAAUUUCAGCAUCCUAUGAAACAAAUAACUUACAUCAUACAAUAUUAAGUAACUCAAAUAAUGUAAUUUAACAACUAACUUACAUCUUGUGGAGGCAAAUGUUCUGCCAGCGCUCUCCGUCUGCUCAUGGUAGAACCUGUGCCCUGAAAAACUGAAUCCUCACCCCUCGAGCUGCUCCUCGAGCUACUCCUCGACCCAAGCAAACUACGAGCUAAAGACUUCAUUUUCUUUGACAUCCUAUUUUAACAAAAACAAGUUAGUACAUAAAUCGACAAUAAAAUAAUAAAAUAUGCAAUAAAAUCAUGAUCCAUACUCGUCAAUCGUAAUCGUAAUCAAAAUCAGGAUCUAGUUGCUUUCGUCGAUUUAAUGGACGCCAAGUAGCUUUCUUCUUUCUCGUCACUCGUUUUCUUUUUGGAGGAACCUCUACAUCAUUUUGAUCGCCUAAUAAAGAUUCUUCCAACAUUUCAGUUUGUACAUUAAACGUGCUUGUAAGUUCUUCGUCUUGGAAAAUCUCAGCAGCCCCCACUUCCUGCUCGAUUUGACUUUCAACAUAACCAGCAUCACCAGGAGCAUAUAGUCGUUCACGAGGAUUAACUUUGUACACUACCCUCCAAUCAACCAAACCGUUUUUCUUAGAUGGAUAUGUCAUAUAAUACACCUGCUCGCAUUGGUGGGCAAGGAUUAUAGUGUCGUGGCCUUUUAAUCUAUCGUUGUGUUUGACUUCCACCAUGCCAUAUUGAUUUUCUCGCGUUGUAUUUGGAGAAAACCAAUCACAAUCGAAGAACACCACUUUGAGUUGUUUAUCUCCAAAAAACUUGUACUCGAUUAUAUCAUUAAUGACUCCAUAAUAAUUAGUCACCUUCCCUUCAUCGUCGACAGCUCUAGUUACAACUCCGGAGUUUGUCGUGGCUGCUAGAGGAUGAUCAUCUUCGAACCUUGUGGAACGGAAUCUAAAACCAUUGACAUCAUACCGACCAUAACGUCUGCCAGUUACUGCUCCUAGGGAUAAUUGUCGAAGGUCCGGGUGUAUAUUGUCAUUUUUAUCUACAUAAUCUCGAAACCAACACAAGAAAUUAAGUCCCCCAUCUUUUCCCUCUCGACGAAUCUGGUCACGUUCACAGCCAGAGAUGCAAUUUUGAGAAUCAAAUUCCCUGUUAGUACAAGGAAACAAACCUUUUAGUAUCACAACAAAAAUUCUAGCGGCAAUGACUAAAAUAAAGUUUACACUUACAGGAGAAACUGACUCAUCUCUUCCAUGUUGUUAUACAUGUAGAGUAAAGCAGUCUUCCAUUCGUCGUUGGUGAAACAGUAUGUUGUGCUGGGUCCUACAGUUUUGCCCCUCCAUUGAAAAAUUUCAAUAUCACUAAUAGGGGGCUCGUCGACAUGAUACCGCAACGUAUGGGCAUUGACAUUGUGUUCCUCUGCAAAGUACAGGCCCGUGAACGAUGCUAUCUCUUUGUAUUUGAAUUCUUCAGCGAUGCACCCUUCAACUCGUCUCUUAUUACCAACCAUUGCACGUAGCUUCUUUAGUGUCCUUUCGAUGUGAUACAUCCAUCUAUAUUGCACAGGACCUCCUACCUUAGCUUCGUAUGGUAGGUGAACAAGUAGAUGUUGCAUCGGAUUGAAGAAACCUGGUGGAAAUAUUUUUUCAAGUUUGCAUACCAAAAUCGGUAUUUCUUGCUCAAGCUUCUCCAUCAUCUCUUUCUUUAUUUCUUUGGCACAAAGAUGUCUAUAAAAGUAGCUUAGCUCCGCUAAUGCUUUCCAUACAUCAUUUUUUACAAAACCACGAAACAUAACAGGAAGGAGUCUUUCCAUUAUUAUGUGGUAGUCAUGACUCUUCAACCCAGAAAACUUGCCCGUCUUCAAAUUCACAGACCUUCUAAAGCCCGCGGCGUAACCAUCUGGGAACUUUAAGUUUUUCAACCAUUUCAUCAAUUGUUUCUUCCUUUUAGGUUUAAUACUGAAAGGAGCACGUGGCUUCUUCUGAUUCUCUCCUAUCUCCAUAGUUGGUCUUCUACAGAUUAAGGCCAAGUCUUUCCUUGCCUUAGGGUUGUCUUUUGUUUUGUUGGUGAUAUUCAUGCAAGUGCUGAUAAUGCUUUCACCCAUAUUUCGUUCCUGGUGCAUGACAUCAAUGUUAUGCAUUAGAAUCAAGGCUUUCAUAUAAGGGAGUUCCCAUAGACCACAUUUGUGAGUCCAAUUAUGCUCGGUUCCAUAACCUUCAAAACGAUUUCCAUGUUCGUUUAGUUUCAAAUCAUUAAGUCUCGCGAGAAUCUCUGGACCACUUAGACGCUUGGGUGGUCCCCUCGUCACAAUCGUGUCCUUUUUAAAAGCGUUCCUAUCGAACCUGAACGGGUGAUCCUCUGGCAAAAAACAUCUAUGACAAUCGAAGUAACAUAUCUUUCCACCAAACUUUAGUCGAAAGCAUAAAGUGUCUUCAACGCAUAUAGGACAUGUCAAAAUCCCAUGACAACUCCAUCCAGCAAAGAUACCAUAAGCCAUAAAAUCAUGAAUAGACCAUAAAAACGCGGCUCUCAAGUUGAACUUCUGUUUCUUGUAACAAUCGUACGCCUCGACUCCUUCCCACAAAAUUUUCAAUUCUUCAAUCAGGGGUCUCAUCAUCACAUCGAUCUUUGUUCCAGGAUGAUCCGGACCAGGUAUUAUAAGACACAAGAAAAUAAAUUCAUAUUUCAUGCAAAGAGCUGGUGGAAGGUUGUAUGGAACAGCAAAGACGGGCCAACAUGAGUACGACGUUGCAGUUACAUUGAAUGGCGAGAAACCAUCUGUUGCCAAACCGAAGCGGACAUUCCGCACUUCAUCAGCAAAGCUGGAAUCAAAAGCAUCUAGUGCCUUCCAUGCAUCUGUAUCAGCUGGGUGCACCAUGACAUUUGGAUUCUCACGUACCCCUUCUUUGUGCCACCUCAUGUGUCUGGCUGUAUUCUUGGAGAUGAACAAACGUUUCAACCGAGGUAUGAGAGGCAUGUAACGAAGCUGCUUACGUGCAAUCUUCGUAGUCACGGUCAAACCAUCGUCGUUUUCAACCUCAACGAAUCUACGCUCACCACAUACAGUACACUUCUUCUCACCUGCGGUCUCCUUCCAGAAAAGCAUACAAUUAUUUUCACAGACAUCGAUUUUUUCGUAGUCCAUACCGAGGCCAGAUAACAGUUUUUUAGACUGAUACAUGUCCUUUGGCAUCUUGUGAUUCUCCGGAAGUACAUCACUGAUCAAGUUCAAAAGUUCCUUGUAACAGUUGUUUGAGAAUGCAAACUUAGACUUAAUAGCCAUAAGUCGAGUCACAAAUACAAGGACGGUCACUUUUGUGUGCUCAUGCAACGGCUCUUCGGCAGCUUUAAGGAGCUCGAAGAACUUCUGAACCUCAGGUGUAGCUGGAUCCUCAAACUCAGUGGGUUGACCGGGGUUCUCCGAAUCGACGGUUAGAAACUCAUGGCGUACAUCGUCAAGCAUCUCUUCCAUCCUAUCGUAGUCCUCCUCUUCAUGUGACUGAACUUCCGAUACAAUACGAGGAGGUGGGUCCUCACCGUGGUGCACCCACACCUCAUAGCCUGGCAUAUAACCAUUCUUGCAAAUAUGUAUCGACAUAGUCCUCCUGUCAAGGAAAUUAAUGUUCCGACACUUGCUACAAGGGCACCUAACAUCGGUUCCAGUCUCUGACCGAGCAAAAGCAUGGUCGAGAAAAGCAUCAGUCUUGGCCACCCACUCACUUGAUAGAGCACCUCUUUUCUUCCAACCUUCAUACAUCCAUCGACGAUUCUCCUCCAUACUAGAUACGAGACGUUAACUUAAUUAGAUAAGUAAUGCACGGACCAUCCGUUUUUACGAAGAAAUCACGCCCCUACAUCUGUAGGAAAGGAUAGGUCCUAAACCCACCCAGGAGUGACCGACGAGGCCGUGUUUAUGACAAAACAUGUGGUCGUGCGAAAUUUCGGCAGCAUAACCCCGCUGUUCUCCAAUCGCACGCCUAAAAAUGGUGCAAUUGGAGAACAGAGAGGUUAUGCUGCCGUAACUAAGCAGGAGCACAUGCUUUUGUCAUAAACACGGACUCUGUCGGUCACACCAAGGCUGUCCAAUAAAGGGACAAUUCCGGCCCAACAUACCUCACAUGCGUCGCUUGUAAGGUGUGUUGGGCCGAAACGGGUGACGCCUAGGUUUCGUUUGUUCACACUACGAUACACUAUGAUUAACUAUAAUCAUCGUGCAUUAUUAAAUAAUUAAACUAAUAAACCACAAUACAAUAUUACAUACGAAAUAACAUUGUUAUAAAUGACAAAUCAUAUAAAAUGACCUUAUUUUCGAGGGCAUAAUAAUUACCCUCGGAAAUUAAAAAUUUAAAUUAUCUAAAGUACCACUAAAUAAACUAAAACAAGCUACUUUAAUUACGUAAUCAAAUUUUGGCCGUCGGACAUAACAAACUAAACAAUCAAAUGCAUUCAUACAUACAUUUCUAAUCAAAUACAUUAAUACAAACAUACAAUUCUAAUCAAAUACAUUAAUACAAGCAUACAAUUUUAAUAAACAAAAUUGCUAAUUAAGUAUACUCACUUAGCGGGUGUGGAGAGCCGGCCGGCGAUGGGCGCACGGGCGGGCGGCGGGCGCACGGGGCCGUUGGCCGGAGCACGGGGCGGCGGCGACCGGCGAACGGGGCGGCGGCGGCGGCCGGAGCACGGGGCGGAGCUCGGGGCGGUGGCGGCCGGAGCACGAGCGUGGCGGCGGCACGAGCGUGGCGGUGGUGGCCGGAGCACGGGCGUGGCGGUGGCCGGAGCACGAGCUCGGGGCGGUGGCGGCCGGACCAAGGGGCAGCGGCGGCCGGAGCACGAGCAGUGGGGGCGGGCGGUACGGCGACCGGGCGGGACGGCGACGAGCGUGGCGGCGACGAGCGUGGCGGCGACAGCGCGGCGUGCUCCUCGGACGGCGGCGGCGGCAGAGAUAGAGAGACGCGCGGUCGGGUGAAACUGAAGGCGCGCGGGUCGGAUCCGCGCGUUAAAAAGCCUUAUGUCCGACGGCUCGGUACGAGGCCGUCGGACAUAAGCUUAUGUCCGACGGCCAGGGGGCGGGCCGUCGGACAUAAGGUAAUGUCCGACGGCCAGUCUGACAGCCGUCGGCUGUAUUCUGUUAUUUUCGACGGCCGCUGUUGGCCGUCGGACAUAACCUUAUGUCCGACGGUUGCCUAUGGGGCCGUCGGACAUAAUACGACCGUCGGAAUUUUAUAGUUUUACUGUAGUGUAUGAAAACAAUACAUGAGAGAGUAAUGCUAGGGUACGCUCAUAUGGGACCAGGGUGGUACUUGUGUUGAGUUUCUGUUUUAGAAUACUUUUUUAGUUUGCCAAUCAAUUUAUUGUUAACGUGGCCAUAUUACUAUCUUAUUGUGAGCAUAUCAACAAUAAACAUUAUAGAUUGGUUAAUGAAAAGUAUAAUACUGGCUAUAUCGCAAGUUUAAAAUUUGAAUACAUUUAACAAAUUCAAGCUGAGUGUAUUUUCUGGCUGUCUCUUUUAUUGUAUUGCCUUAUGUGGUCGGCACUUCUGCUUAAUACGGCGCUGUGAUCAGGAGGAGGAUGCCGAAGUAGAGGAUUGAGCGAAUUUUCUUUUGGGAGUAGUAGCCUCAGGUUGCCGCCGGGGCUGUGAAUUGUGAUCAGGAGGAUUCCGAUGUAGACCAUUCACGGUUCCAGUGUGGAUUCCGCAUCGAAUUUAAUGUAUUUCUGAUCCAGGAUCCUGGUCGACUAGUUGUUGUACCUAUGUUUGGAUUUAGGGGUUAUUUGGUUUGUUGUCUAAUUUAUCAUAGUUUAUCAUGUCUAAGGUUAGACAAGUUUGAGGCAUAUGUUGGUUUGAAGCUACAGUUAUAGAAAUACUCGUCAAUAACUAGUAAAAGUGUAACAGGAUUCUUUUAAACGUGCCAAACUAUAGCGCUGAAUUUGAGCGUCUUAAACAAACUUAACACAAAAAAUUAUGGCAAUUUAAUGCACGGGCGCGACCGCGACGGCAUCGCGCGCCGCGGCGCCGGCCGUUCCCAAGCUCCCCGCCUGUUGUGCCCCAUUGGCCCUUGCUCUCGUGUUUAGCGUGGUAUAGAAGCAUAUCCUUUCAAGUUUCAACGAGGUCCUGGCCACGAGGGGCACUGUACUCGCCAGGGUCAGUAAGCCGUCGACAUCGAGCAAGAUAUCGUGUGAUGGUUUUUGGCGUGUGCUACUUGUUCGACCUAUUGUUGCAACGGAGACCGCCGCUAACUACCAUCUCCAAGAGACUCCUACAAUUGAGUCCUAUAAAUCAAAAUAGGACAUGUUUUAAAUUAUUUAAGACCCACCAAUUCGUUUUACUCCAACCGUGAGUCCUAUAAUCACAUUAUUUAGUUAAUUAUCCGCUUCACCGCAGCAAUGUCAUCGUCGCUCUGUCAUCGUCCAUGUUCGCCAGAGACAAUCUUUCACAUGAUCUCGUUGUCCUGCAGAUGGAGUAGUAGGCCUUCACGUGAUCAUGUUGUCCGGUAGAUAGGGUAGCGGGCCAGCGGUUGUUGGUUACUCUUGAAAGGGAAAUGUGCCCUUGGGCCAUUUCUAAGUAUUUUGGUGAUUGAGUGCCAACACAAGUGCUUUUGUGUUGAUCUAUACAAUGUGGUGGACUAAGUGCAAAUCAUGUCAAAAGGUAUGUUUCUAGACUUAGUACAUUAUUUUAUGGACUAAUGUAUUGUGUCUAAGUGCUGGAAACAGGAAAAAUCGAAUUGGAAAUGAGAUGGCUUUGUUCAGCCAAGUCUGCUCAGUCUGGGAGCACCGGACUGUCCGGUGGUGCACCGGACAGUGUCCGGUGCGCCAGGCUGGCUCGAGCGAACUGGCCGCUCUCGGGAAUUCACCGGCGACGUACGGCUAUAAUUCACCGGACUGUCCGGUGUGCACCGGACUGUCCGGUGAGCCAACGGUCGGCCGCGCGAUCUGCGCGGGACACGUGGCCGAGCCAACGGCUAGAAGGAGGCACCGGACUGUCCGGUGUGCACCGGACAUGUCCGGUGCGCCAACGGCUCUCUGGCUGCCAACGGUCGGCUGCGCCAUUUAAGGAAAGAAAUCGGGCACCGGACAGUGUCCGGUGUGCACCGGACUGUCCGGUGCGCCACGCGACAGAAGGCAAGGAUUGCCUUCCCAGAUUGCUCUCAACGGCUCCUAGCUGCCUUGGGGCUAUAAAAGGGACCUCUAGGCGCAUGGAGAAGAACACCAAGCAUCCUUUGAGCAUUCUUGAUCACUCACACUCCACUCUUGCGCACUUGUUCGACAUUCUAGUGAUUUGAGCCCCGUUCUAGUGUGCUAGUCUUGUAAGCUCAAGUCUGGGUCUUGUGUGUGCGUAUUUGCUAUGAUCUUUGUGUCUUGUGUGAGUUGCUCAUCCCUCCCUUACUCUGUGCUUCUUUGUGAACAUCAAAAGUGUAAGGGCGAGAGGCUCCAAGUUGUGGAGAUUCCUCGCGAACGGGAUAAGUGAAAGGGAAUUAGGCUUACACCUAAGUCCUAAAUAAUUUUGGUGGUUAAAUUGCCCAACACAAAUCUUUGGACUAACUAGUUUGCUCUAGUGUAUAAGUUAUACAGGUGCAAAAGGUUCACAUCUAGCCAAUAAAAAGACCAAGUGUUGGAUUCAACAAAGGAGCAAUAAGGCAACCGAGGGCACCUCUGGCUGGAGGCACCGGACUGUCCGGUGUGCACCGGACAGUGUCCGGUGCGCCCGUAGACUUCGUUUUCUACCCUUCGCCAGAGGACUUCGACUUCAACCCUUCGCCCUCGGGAAUUCGCGGAGGCCGGCGCGCUAUAAUUCACCGGACUGUCCGGUGUGCACCGGACAUGUCCGGUGCGCCAACGAACCGCGGCCUCCGGAACUCGUCAUCCUCGGGUUUUCACGACAGCCGCUCCGCUAUAAUUCACCGGACUGUCCGGUGUGCACCGGACUGUCCGGUGUGCCAGCGGAGCAACGGCUCACUGCGGCGCCAACGGCUCCCUGCGCAGCAUUAAAUGCGCGCGCAGCGCGCGCAGACGUCAGGGCUGCCCAUACCGGUGCACCGGACAUCAAACAGUGCAUGUCCGGUGUGCACCGGACACCUCGGCAGGCCCACAAGUCAGAAGCUUCAACGGUCAGAAUCCAACGGCAAUGGUGACGUGGCAGAGGCACCGGACUGUCCGGUGUGCACCGGACUGUCCGGUGCGCCAUCGAAUAGAGGCUGCCAGCAACGGUCACUUUUGGUGGUUGGGGCUAUAAAUACCCCAACCACCCCACCAUUCAUUGCAUCCAAGUUUUCCACUUCUCAACUACUACAAGAGCUCUAGCAUUCAAUUCUAGACACACUAAAGAGAUCAAAUCCUCUCCAAUUCCACACAAAGCCCUAGUGACUAGUGAGAGUGAUUUGCCGUGUUCAUUUGAGCUCUUGCGCUUGGAUUGCUUCUUUUCUUUCUCACUUGUUCUUGUGAUCAAAACUCCAUUGUAAUCAAGGCAAGAGGCACCAAUUGUGUGGUGGCCCUUGCGGGGAAGUUUUGUUCCCGGCUUUGAUUAGCGAAGAGAAGCUCACUCGGUCCGUGGGACCGUUUGAGAGAGGGAAGGGUUGAAAGAGACCCGGCCUUUGUGGCCUCCUCAACGGGGAGUAGGUUUGCAAGAACCGAACCUCGGUAAAACAAAUCUCCGUGUCUCAUUUGCUUAUUCGCUUGGGAUUUGUUUUGCGCCCUCUCUUGCGGACUCAUUUAUUAUUACUAACGCUAACCCCGGCUUGUAGUUGUGUUUAUAUUUGUAAAUUUCAGUUUCGCCCUAUUCACCCCCCUCUAGGCGACUAUCAAUUGGUAUCAGAGCCCGGUGCUUCAUUAGAGCCUAACCGCUCGAAGUGAUGUCGGGAGAUCACGCCAAGAAGGAGAUGGAGACCGGCGAAAAGCCCACUACAAGCUACGGGAGCACUUCAUCGGAAGAGUCCCGCACCAAAAGGAGGGAGAAGAAGAAGAGCUCCUCCAACAAAGGGAAGGAGAAGAAAUCUUCUUCUCACCACAAAGAGAAGAAGGAAAAAUCUUCUUCCCACAAGCCGCAUCGGAAAGGCGACAAGCACAAGAGGAUGAGGAAGGUGGUCUACUACGAGACCGACACUUCAUCAACAUCGACCUCCGACUCCGAUGCGCCCUCCGUCACUUCUAAGCGCCAAGAGCGCAAGAAGUAUAGUAAGAUCCCUCUACGCUACCCUCGCAUUUCCAAACAUACACCUUUACUUUCCGUCCCACUAGGCAAACCACCAACUUUUGAUGGUGAAGAUUACGCUAGGUGGAGCGAUUUAAUGCGAUUUCAUCUAAUCUCGCUCCACAAAAGCAUAUGGGAUGUUGUUGAGUUUGGUGCGCAGGUACCAUCCGUAGGGGAUGAAAACUAUGAUGAGGAUGAGGCGGCCCAAAUCGAGCACUUCAACUCUCAAGCCACAACCAUACUCCUUGCCUCUCUAAGCAAGGAAGAAUACAACAAAGUGCAAGGGUUGAAAAAUGCAAAGGAGAUUUGGGAUGUGCUCAAAACUGCGCACGAGGGAGAUGAGCUCACCAAGAUCACCAAGCGGGAAACGAUCGAGGGGGAGCUCGGUCGGUUCCGGCUUCACAAAGGGGAGGAGCCACAACACAUGUACAACCGGCUCAAGACUUUGGUGAACCAAGUGCGCAACCUCGGGAGCAAGAAGUGGGACGAUCACGAAGUGGUAAAUGUUAUUUUAAGAUAUCUCAUUUUUCUUAAUCCCACUCAAGUUCAAUUGAUUCGUGGUAAUCCUAGAUAUACUAAAAUGACCCCCGAGGAAGUUAUCGGGCAUUUUGUAAGUUUUGAGUGCAUGAUAGAAGGCUCGAGGAAAAUCAACGAGCUUGGCGACUCAUCCGAAGCCCAACCCGUUGCAUUCAAUGCAACGGAGGAGAAGAAGGAGGAGGCUACACCAAGUCGACAACCAAUCGACGCCUCCAAGCUCGACAAUGAGGAAAUGGCGCUCGUCAUCAAGAGCUUCCGCCAAAUCCUCAAACAAAGGAGGGGGAAAGACUACAAGUCCCGCUCCAAGAAGGUUUGCUACAAGUGUGGUAAGCCCGGUCAUUUUAUUGCUAAAUGUCCUAUAUCUAGUGACAGUGACCGAGGCGACGACAAGAAGGGGAGAAGAAAGGAAAAGAAAAGAUACUACAAGAAGAAGGGCGGCGAUGCCCAUGUUUGUCGGGAAUGGGAUUCCGACGAAAGCUCAAGCGACUCCUCCGACGACGAGGACGCCGCCAACAUCGCCGUCACCAAGGGACUCCUCUUCCCCAACGUCGGCCACAAGUGCCUCAUGGCAAAGGACGGCAAAAAGAAGAAGGUUAAAUCCAACUCCUCCACUAAAUAUGAAUCUUCUAGUGAUGAUAAUGCUAGUGAUGAGGAGGAUAAUUUGCGUUCCCUUUUUGCCAACCUCAACAUAGCUCAAAAAGAAAAAUUAAAUGAAUUAGUUAGUGCUAUUCAUGAAAAGGAUGACCUUUUGGACUCCCAAGAGGAUUGUCUAAUUAAAGAAAACAAGAAACAUGUUAAGGUUAAAAAGGCUUAUGCUCUAGAGGUAGAAAAAUGUGAAAAAUUAUCUAGUGAGCUAAGCACUUGCCGUGAGAUGAUUGACAACCUUAGAAAUGAAAAUACUAGUUUAAAUGCUAAGGUUGAUUCUCAUGUUUGUAAUGUUUCAAUUCCCAAUCCUAGAGAUAAUAAUGAUGAUUUGCUUGCUAGGAUUGAAGAAUUAAACAUUUCCCUUGCUAGCCUUAGAUUAGAGAAUGAAAGUUUGAUUGCUAAGGCUAAAGAUUUUGAUGUUUGCAAAGUUACCAUUGCCAAUCUUAGAGAUAAAAAUGAUAUUCUUCAUGCUAAGAUUGUUGAACUUAAUUCUUGCAAACCAUCUACAUCUAUUGUUGAGCAUGUAUCUAUUUGUACUAGAUGUAGAAAUGUUGAUAUUGAUGCUAUUCAUGAUCAUAUGGCUUUAAUUAAACAACAAAAUGAUCAUAUAGCAAAACUAGAUGCUAAAAUUGCCGAGCAUAACUUAGAAAAUGAAAAAUUUAAAUUUGCUAGAAGUAUGCUCUAUAAUGGGAGACGCCCUGGCAUCAAGGAUGGCAUUGGCUUCCAAAGGGGAGACAAUGUCAAACUUAAUGCCCCUCCUAAAAAUUUGUCUAACUUUGUUAAGGGCAAAGCUCCCAUGCCUCAGGAUAACGAGGGUUACAUUUUGUACCCUGCCGGUUAUCCUGAGAGCAAAAUUAGGAGAAUUCACUCUAGGAAGUCUCACUCUGGCCCCAAUCAUGCUUUCAUGUAUAAGGGUGAGACAUCUAGUUCUAGGCAACCAACCCGUACCAAGUUGCCUAAGAAGAAAAUUCCUAAUGCAUCAAAUGAACAUAGCAUUUCAUUUAAGACUUUUGAUGCAUCAUAUGUUUUGACUAACAAAUCCGGCAAGGUCGUUGCCAAGUUUGUUGGGGGCAAACACAAGGGCUCCAAGGCUUGUGUUUGGGUACCCAAAGUUCUUGUAUCUAAUGCCAAAGGACCCAAAACAGUUUGGGUACCUAAAGUCAAGAACUAAAUUUGGUUUGUAGGUUUAUGCAUCCGGGGGCUCAAGUUGGAUACUCGACAGCGGGUGCACAAACCACAUGACCGGGGAGAAAAGGAUGUUCUCCUCAUAUGAGAAAAACAAAGAUCCCCAACGAGCUAUCACAUUCGGGGAUGGAAAUCAAGGGUUGGUCAAAGGUUUGGGUAAAAUUGCUAUUUCACCUGACCAUUCCAUUUCCAAUGUUUUUCUUGUUGAUUCAUUAGAUUACAACUUGCUUUCUGUUUCCCAAUUAUGUCAAAUGGGCUACAACUGUCUUUUUACUGAUAUAGGUGUCACUGUCUUUAGAAGAAGUGAUGAUUCAAUAGCAUUUAAGGGUGUGUUAGAGGGUCAGCUAUACUUAGUGGAUUUUAAUAGAGCUGAACUCGACACAUGCUUAAUUGCUAAGACUAACAUGGGUUGGCUCUGGCAUCGCCGACUAGCCCAUGUUGGGAUGAAGAAUCUUCACAAGCUUCUAAAGGGAGAGCACAUUUUAGGAUUAACAAAUGUUCAUUUUGAGAAAGACAGGAUUUGUAGCGCAUGCCAGGCGGGGAAGCAAGUUGGAGUCCAUCACCCACACAAGAACAUCAUGACGACCGACAGGCCGCUUGAGCUACUCCACAUGGAUCUAUUCGGCCCGAUUGCUUACAUAAGCAUCGGCGGGAGUAAGUAUUGUCUUGUUAUUGUGGAUGAUUAUUCUCGCUUCACUUGGGUAUUCUUUUUACAGGAAAAAUCUCAAACCCAAGAGACCUUAAAGGGAUUCUUGAGACGAGCUCAAAAUGAGUUCGGCUUAAGGAUCAAGAAAAUAAGAAGCGACAACGGGACGGAGUUCAAGAACUCUCAAAUUGAAGGCUUCCUUGAGGAGGAGGGCAUCAAGCAUGAGUUCUCCUCUCCCUACACGCCACAACAAAAUGGUAUAGUGGAGAGGAAGAAUCGAACUCUAUUGGACAUGGCAAGAACCAUGCUUGAUGAGUACAAGACACCGGACCGGUUUUGGGCCGAAGCGGUCAACACCGCCUGCUACGCCAUCAACCGGUUAUAUCUUCACCGAAUCCUCAAGAAGACAUCAUAUGAACUCCUAACCGGUAAAAAGCCCAACAUUUCAUAUUUUAGAGUUUUUGGUAGCAAAUGCUUCAUUCUUAUUAAAAGAGGUAGAAAAUCUAAAUUUGCUCCUAAAACUGUAGAAGGCUUUUUACUUGGUUAUGACUCAAACACAAGGGCAUAUAGGGUCUUUAACAAGUCCACUGGACUAGUUGAAGUCUCUUGUGACGUUGUGUUUGAUGAAACUAACGGCUCUCAAGUAGAGCAAGUUGAUCUUGAUGAGAUAGGUGAAGAACAGGCUCCAUGCAUCGCGCUAAGGAACAUGUCCAUCGGGGAUGUGUGUCCUAAGGAAUCCGAAGAGCCUCCAAGUACACAAGAUCAACCAUCCUCCUCCAUGCAAGCAUCUCCACCAACUCAAAAUGAGGAUGAGGCUCAAAAUGAUGAAGAGCAAAAUCAAGAAGACGAGCCACCUCAAGAUGAUAGCAAUGAUCAAGGGGGAGAUACAAAUGAUCAAGAAAAGGAGGAUGAGGAAGAACCAAGACCGCCACACCCAAGAGUCCACCAAGCAAUCCAACGAGAUCACCCCGUCGACACCAUCCUCGGCGACAUUCAUAAGGGGGUAACUACUCGAUCUCGGGUUGCUCAUUUUUGUGAACAUUACUCUUUUGUUUCCUCUAUUGAGCCACACAGGGUAGAGGAAGCUCUCCAAGAUUCGGAUUGGGUGGUGGCGAUGCAAGAGGAGCUCAACAAUUUCACGAGGAAUGAGGUCUGGCAUUUAGUUCCACGUCCUAACCAAAAUGUUGUAGGAACCAAAUGGGUCUUCCGCAACAAGCAAGAUGAGCAUGGUGUGGUGACAAGGAACAAAGCUCGACUCGUAGCCAAAGGGUAUUCACAAGUCGAAGGUUUGGAUUUCGGCGAAACCUAUGCACCCGUAGCUAGGCUUGAGUCAAUUCGCAUAUUAUUGGCCUAUGCUACUUACCAUGGCUUUAAGCUCUAUCAAAUGGACGUGAAAAGUGCCUUCCUCAAUGGACCGAUCAAGGAAGAGGUCUAUGUUGAGCAACCUCCCGGCUUUGAAGACAGUGAGUAUCCAAAUCAUGUCUAUAGGCUCUCUAAGGCGCUUUAUGGGCUCAAGCAAGCCCCAAGAGCAUGGUAUGAAUGCCUUAGAGAUUUCCUUAUUGCUAAUGGCUUCAAAGUCGGCAAGGCCGAUCCUACACUCUUUACUAAAACUCUUGAAAAUGACUUGUUUGUAUGCCAAAUUUAUGUUGAUGAUAUUAUAUUUGGGUCUACUGACGAGUCUACAUGUGAAGAGUUUAGUAGGAUCAUGACACAGAAAUUCGAGAUGUCGAUGAUGGGGGAGUUGAAGUAUUUUCUAGGAUUCCAAGUCAAGCAACUCCAAGAGGGCACCUUCAUUAGCCAAACGAAGUACACUCAAGACAUUCUUGCUAAGUUUGGGAUGAAGGAUGCCAAACCCAUCAAGACACCCAUGGGAACUAAUGGGCAUCUCGACCUCGACACGGGAGGUAAGUCCGUGGAUCAAAAGGUAUACCGGUCGAUGAUUGGUUCAUUGCUUUAUUUAUGUGCAUCUCGACCGGACAUUAUGCUUUCCGUUUGCAUGUGUGCAAGAUUCCAAUCCGACCCUAAGGAAUCCCACCUUACGGCCGUAAAACGAAUCUUGAGAUAUUUGGCUUAUACCCCUAAGUUUGGGCUUUGGUACCCUCGGGGAUCCACAUUUGAUUUACUUGGUUAUUCGGAUGCCGAUUGGGCGGGGUGCAAAAUCAAUAGGAAGAGCACAUCGGGGACUUGCCAGUUCUUGGGAAGAUCCUUGGUGUCUUGGGCUUCAAAGAAGCAAAAUUCGGUCGCUCUUUCCACCGCCGAAGCCGAGUACAUUGCCGCAGGACAUUGUUGCGCGCAAUUGCUUUGGAUGAGGCAAACCCUGCGGGACUACGGUUACAAAUUAACCAAAGUCCCUUUGCUAUGUGAUAAUGAGAGUGCAAUUAAAAUGGCCGACAAUCCCGUCGAGCAUAGCCGCACUAAGCACAUAGCCAUUCGGUAUCAUUUUCUUAGGGAUCACCAACAAAAGGGGGAUAUCGAGAUUUCUUACAUUAAUACUAAAGAUCAAUUAGCCGACAUCUUUACCAAGCCACUUGAUGAACAAUCUUUUACCAGACUUAGGCAUGAGCUCAAUAUUCUUGAUUCUAGAAAUUUCUUUUGCUAAGCUUGCACACAUAGCUCAUUUGAAUACUUUUGAUCAUAUCUCCUUUAUAUGCUAUGACUAAUGUGUUUUCAAGUCUAUUUCAAACCAAGUCAUAGGUAUAUUGAAAGGGAAUUGGAGUCUUCGGCGAAGACAAAGGCUUCCACUCCGUAACUCAUGCUUCGCCAUCACUCCGAGCAACUCUCUAUUCCUUGGGGAGAAAUGAGCAUCAAAGAAAAGGACUUCAUCCUUGGAGGAGAGAGUAAAAGCUCAAAAGCAAAAGGACCGGAUUUCGUCUUUGGUAUAAUCUUAACUCAUUUACUUAUGACCAAAGGGGAAGAAAUUACUAAGGAGGGCUCUAAUGAUUCCGUUUUUGGCGAUUCAUGCCAAAAAGGGGGAGAAAUGAGCCCAAAGCAAAAGGACCGCACCACCACCACCAAAUUCAAAAACUUAGUGCUUUCCAAAAGUCUUUAUCAUUUGGUAUCCUAUUGUGUUCAAAAGGGGGAGAAAGUAGUAUUUCAAAAAUGGUAUAUCAAAACCCUCUUGAACACUAAGAGGUGGAUCUCUUUUAGGGGGAGUUUUGUUUAGUCAAAGGAAAAGCAUUUGAAAUAGGUGGAGAAAAUUUCAAAUCUUGAAAAUGCUUUACAAACUCUUAUUCAUUUACCUUUGACUAUUUGCAAAAGAUCUUUGAAAUGGAUUUACAAAAAGGAUUUGCAAAAACAAAACAUGUGGUGUAAACGUGGUCCAAAAUGUUACAUAAGAAAGGAACAUUCCAUGCAUAUCUUGUAAGUAGUUAUAUUGGCUCAAUUCCAAGCAACCUUUACACUUACAUUAUGCAAACUAGUUCAAUUAUGCACUUCUAUAUUUGCUUUGGUUUGUGUUGGCAUCAAUCACCAAAAAGGGGGAGAUUGAAAGGGAAUUAGGCUUACACCUAAGUCCUAAAUAAUUUUGGUGGUUAAAUUGCCCAACACAAAUCUUUGGACUAACUAGUUUGCUCUAGUGUAUAAGUUAUACAGGUGCAAAAGGUUCACAUCUAGCCAAUAAAAAGACCAAGUGUUGGAUUCAACAAAGGAGCAAUAAGGCAACCGAGGGCACCUCUGGCUGGAGGCACCGGACUGUCCGGUGUGCACCGGACAGUGUCCGGUGCGCCCGUAGACUUCGUUUUCUACCCUUCGCCAGAGGACUUCGACUUCAACCCUUCGCCCUCGGGAAUUCGCGGAGGCCGGCGCGCUAUAAUUCACCGGACUGUCCGGUGUGCACCGGACAUGUCCGGUGCGCCAACGAACCGCGGCCUCCGGAACUCGUCAUCCUCGGGUUUUCACGACAGCCGCUCCGCUAUAAUUCACCGGACUGUCCGGUGUGCACCGGACUGUCCGGUGUGCCAGCGGAGCAACGGCUCACUGCGGCGCCAACGGCUCCCUGCGCAGCAUUAAAUGCGCGCGCAGCGCGCGCAGACGUCAGGGCUGCCCAUACCGGUGCACCGGACAUCAAACAGUGCAUGUCCGGUGUGCACCGGACACCUCGGCAGGCCCACAAGUCAGAAGCUUCAACGGUCAGAAUCCAACGGCAAUGGUGACGUGGCAGAGGCACCGGACUGUCCGGUGUGCACCGGACUGUCCGGUGCGCCAUCGAACAGAGGCUGCCAGCAACGGUCACUUUUGGUGGUUGGGGCUAUAAAUACCCCAACCACCCCACCAUUCAUUGCAUCCAAGUUUUCCACUUCUCAACUACUACAAGAGCUCUAGCAUUCAAUUCUAGACACACUAAAGAGAUCAAAUCCUCUCCAAUUCCACACAAAGCCCUAGUGACUAGUGAGAGUGAUUUGCCGUGUUCAUUUGAGCUCUUGCGCUUGGAUUGCUUCUUUUCUUUCUCACUUGUUCUUGUGAUCAAAACUCCAUUGUAAUCAAGGCAAGAGGCACCAAUUGUGUGGUGGCCCUUGCGGGGAAGUUUUGUUCCCGGCUUUGAUUAGCGAAGAGAAGCUCACUCGGUCCGUGGGACCGUUUGAGAGAGGGAAGGGUUGAAAGAGACCCGGCCUUUGUGGCCUCCUCAACGGGGAGUAGGUUUGCAAGAACCGAACCUCGGUAAAACAAAUCUCCGUGUCUCAUUUGCUUAUUCGCUUGGGAUUUGUUUUGCGCCCUCUCUUGCGGACUCAUUUAUUAUUACUAACGCUAACCCCGGCUUGUAGUUGUGUUUAUAUUUGUAAAUUUCAGUUUCGCCCUAUUCACCCCCCCUCUAGGCGACUAUCAAUAAGAAAAGAAAAGCAAAACACUGUGGUAUUCAAGUUGAUCAUUGGAUCACUUGAGAGGAGUUGAGUGCAACUCUCGUCCGUUGGGACGCCACAACGUGGAGUAGGCAAGUUUUGUACUUGGCCGAACCACGGGAUAAACCACUGUGUCAUCUCUGUGAUUGAUCUCUUGUGGUUAUUGUGUUUUGUUGAGACUCCUCUCUAGCCACUUGGCAAUUAUUGUGCUAACCUUAACCAAGUUUUGUGGCUUAAGUUUUAUAUUUCACAGGAUCACCUAUUCACCCCCUCUCUAGGUGCUCUCAAUUGGUAUCAGAGCCGUUCUCUUCAAGAAAGGGACUAACCGCCCGAAGAGAUGGAUCCUAAGGGGAAGGGAAUCGUGAUCAACAACAAGGAGAAGGAGUCCUUCGUCAACGAGCCGAAGGAUGACAAGCCUACCGACUCGGGCUCAGGCCACAGACGCAAAGAUGGGAAGAAGAAGAAGACAAGACGCAUCAAGGAGAUCGUCUACUACGACGACAGCGAUGAGUCCACUUCUUCCCAAAAGGACAACGACGACAACGACUGCGAGAGAAGGAAACCGGUUAAUUCAAACUUUUCUUUUGACUACUCUCGUAUUCCGCAAAGUACAAAUGCUCAUUUAUUAUCCAUUCCACUUGGUAAACCUCCUCAUUUUGAUGGAGAAGACUACGGAUUUUGGAGUCACAAAAUGCGUAGUCACUUGUUCUCUCUCCAUCCUAGCAUAUGAGAGAUAGUAGAAAGUGGAAUGCAUUUUGAUAGUAGUGAUAGUCCCAUGUUUAUCAAUGAGCAAAUUCAUAAAAACGCACAAGCUACUACUGUGUUGAAAGGGAAAUGUGCCCUUGGGCCAUUUCUAAGUAUUUUGGUGAUUGAGUGCAAACACAAAGUGCUUAAAUGUGAAUUUAUGCCCAUGGAUGAACAAAGUGCAAAUCACGAGUAAAGGUAUGUUUCUAAGCCUUAGUACAUUGGUUUUGUGUACUAAUAUACUUGUCUAAGUGUUAGAAACAGAAAGAAGAAGAAAAGAAAAGAGGUGUGAAAGGCUUGGCUGUGUACAGCCAAGACUCAGCUCUGUCUGGCACACCGGACUGUCCGGUGGUGCACCGGACAGUGUCCGGUGCGCCAGGCUGACUCGGCGUGAAGUGGCCGCUCUCGGGAAUUCGCCGACGGCGUACGGCUAAAAUUCACCGGACUGUCCGGUGUGCACCGGACUGUCCGGUGAGCCAACGGUCGGCCGGGCCAACGGUCGGCCGGGCCAACGGUCGGCCGCGGAAUCUGCGCGCGACACGUGGUCGGGCCAACGGUCGGAAGGGGGCACCGGACUGUCCGGUGUGCACCGGACAUGUCCGGUGCGCCAAAGGCUCCCAGAUCUGCAAUGGUCGGCCGCGCCAUUUAAGGAAGGAAAUCGGGCACCGGACAGUGUCCGGUGUGCACCGGACUGUCCGGUGCACCCGACGACAGAAGGCAAGAUUGGCCUUCCAGAUUUGCUCUCAACGGCUCCUAGCUGCCUUGGGGCUAUAAAAGGGACCCCUAGGCGCAUGGAGGAGACACCCAAGCAACCUUAGAGCAUUCUUGAUCAUCCACACUCAGUCUUUGCGCAUUCAUUUGUCAUUCUCAGUGAUUCGAGCUCCGUUCUAGUGAGAACUUUGAGAUAGUCUUUUGAGCUCGAUUCUUGGCCGUGUGUGUGCGCAUUUUGCUGUGGAAUUGUGUGUGUUGCUUCCCUUCCUUACUCCGUAUUUCUUUGUGAAUCUCAAGUGUAAGGGCGAGAGGCUCCAAGUUGUGGAGAUUCCUCGCAAACGGGAUAUUGAAAGGCAAAGCAAAACACCGUGGUAUUCAAGUUGGUCUUUGGACCGCUUGAGAGGGGUUGAUUGCAACCCUCGUCCGUUGGGACGCCACAACGUGGAGUAGGCAAGCGUUGGUCUUGGCCGAACCACGGGAUAAACCACUGUGUCAUCUCUGUGUUUGAUCUCUUGUGGUAUUGUGUUUUGUUGAGACUCCUCUCUAGCCACUUGGCAAUUAUUGUGCUAACACUUAACAAGUUUUUGUGGCUAUAAGUUUAAGUUUCACAGGAUCACCUAUUCACCCCCCCUCUAGGUGCUCUCAAUUGGUAUCAGAGCCGUUCUCUUCAAGAAGAGGGACUAACCGCCCGAAGAGAUGGAUCCUAAGGGCAAGGGGAUAGUGAUCAACGAUAAGGAGAAGGAGUCCUUCGUCAACAAGCCCAAAGAUGACAAGCCUACCAACUCCGGCUCGGGUCAUAGACGAAAGGAAGGGAAGAAGAAGAAGACAAGGCGCAUCAAGGAGAUCGUCUACUACGACGACAGCGAUGAGUCUACUUCUUCCCAAAAGGACGACGACCACAACGACUACGAGAGAAGGAAACCGGUUAAUUCGAACUUUUCCUUUGACUACUCUCGUAUUCCGCAAAGUUCAAAUUCACAUUUGCUCUCCAUUCCACUCGGCAAGCCCCCACACUUUGAUGGGGAGGACUAUGGAUUUUGGAGCCACAAAAUGCGUAGUCAUCUAUUCUCUCUCCAUCCUAGUAUAUGGGAGAUUGUAGAUAGUGGAAUGCACUUUGAUAGUUCGGAUAGUCCUAUAUUCAUUAAUGAGCAAAUCCAUAAGAAUGCACAAGCUACUACUGUUCUUCUAGCUUCAUUGUGCAGGGAUGAAUAUAACAAAAUGAGCGGCUUGGAUAACGCCAAGCAGAUCUGGGACACCCUCAAGAUUUCUCAUGAGGGAAAUGACGUUACCUUGCUCACCAAAAUGGAGUUGGUGGAGGGCGAGCUUGGACGGUUCGCGAUGAUAAGGGGCGAGGAGCCAACUCAAACAUACAACCGGCUCAAGACCCUUAUUAACAAAAUAAGGAGCUACGGAAGCACGCGAUGGACGGACCACGACGUCGUUCGACUAAUGCUAAGGUCCUUUACCGUUCUUGAUCCUCAUUUGGUGAAUAAUAUUCGUGAGAAUCCCAGGUACACCAAAAUGUCGCCCGAAGAAGUCCUAGGAAAAUUCGUCAGCGGGCGAAUGAUGAUCAAGGAGGCGAGGUACGUGGACGACGCCUUGAAUGGACCGAUCAACGAGCCGCAACCUCUUGCUCUCAAAGCCACAAGAAGCAAGGAGGCGCUACCUAGCAAGGUGGCACAAAUUGAAGCGGCCGGACUUAAUGAUGAAGAGAUGGCCCUCAUCAUCAAAAGAUUCAAGACGGCGCUUAAGGGUCGCAAGGGACAGCCAAGCAAGACCAAAGCCAAGGGGAAGCGCUCAUGCUUCAAAUGCGGUAAGCUUGGUCAUUUUAUUGCUAAUUGUCCCGACAAUGAUAGUGAUCAGGACCAAGGGAACAAGAGAGAGUAAAAGAAGCAUUACAAGAAGGCCAAGGGCGAGGCACAUAUCGGAAAGGAGUGGGAUUCGGAUUGCUCCUCCUCCGACUCCGACAAUGAAGGACUCGCCGCCACUGCCUUCAACAAGUCAUCCCUCUUCCCCAACGAGCGUCACACUUGCCUCAUGGCAAGGGAGAAGAAAGUAAGCACUCAUGAUACUAGUACUUAUGCUUCUUCAAGUGAGGAUGAGUCUAGUGAUGAUGAUGAGAUAGAUUACUCAUGCUUAUUCAAGGGAUUAGAUAGAUCUAAAAUUAAUAAGAUUAAUGAGUUGAUUGAUGCUUUGAAUGACAAGAAUAGAUUACUAGAAAAACAAGAAGAUCUUUUAUAUGAGGAGCAUGAUAAAUUUGUUAGUGCACAAAAAUCUCUUGCUCUAGAAAUUAAAAGAAAUGAAAUGCUCUCUGGUGAAUUAUCUACUUGUCAUGAAACCAUUUCUACUUUACAAGGUGUUAACAAUGAUUUAAAUACUAAAUUAGAAGUAGCAAAUAAAUCUAAUUCUUGUGUAGAACAUGUUAUAAUUUGUACUAGGUGUAAAGAUUUUGACAUUGAUGCUUGUAGUGAACACCUAGUUUCAAUUUCCAAACUUAAUGAUGAAUUGGCUAGUCUUAAUGCUCAACUUAAGACUAGCAAGAAUGAUUUCGAUAAGCUAAAAUUUGCAAGGGAUGCCUACACGAUUGGUAGACACCCCUCAAUUAAGGAUGGACUUGGCUUCAAGAGGGAAGCCAAGAACUUAACAAGCCAUAAGGCUCCCAUCUCCGCCAAGGAGAAAGGGAAGGCCCCUAUGGCAAGUAGUGCUAAAAAGAACCAUGCUUUCAUGUACCAUGAUAAGAGACAAACUAGAAAUGCUUAUAGGAGUUACAAUGCUUAUGAUGAUUUUGAUUCUCAUGACAUGUUUGCUUCUAGUUCUUUCUGUGUGCAUGAUAGAAAUGUUGGUAGGAAAAAUGUUGUUCACAAUAUGCCUAGGAGAAAUGUUGUUAAUGUUCCUAGGAAAGUUAAUGAACCUUCUACAAUAUAUCAUGCUUUGAGUGCCUCCUUUGCAAUUUGUAGAAAGGAUAGAAAGGUGAUUGCUAGGAAAUUAGGGGCAAAAUGCAAGGGAGAUAAAACUUGCAUUUGGGUCCCUAAGACAAUUGUGACUAACCUUGUAGGACCCAACAAGAGUUGGGUACCUAAGUCCCAAGCCUAAAUUUGCCUUGCAGGUUUAUGCAUCCGGGGGUUCAAGCUAGAUUAUCGACAGCGGAUGCACAAACCAUAUGACGGGGGAGAAGAAGAUGUUCACCUCCUACGUCAAGAAUAAGGAUUCCCAAGAUUCAAUUAUAUUCGGUGAUGGGAAUCAAGGCAAGGUAAAAGGGUUAGGUAAAAUUGCAAUUUCUAAUGAGCACUCUAUCUCUAAUGUGUUUUUAGUAGAGUCUCUUGGAUAUAAUUUGCUAUCGGUUAGUCAAUUAUGCAAUAUGGGAUAUAACUGUCUAUUUACAAAUGUAGAUGUGUCUGUCUUUAGAAGAAGUGAUGGUUCACUAGCUUUUAAGGGUGUAUUAGACGUCAAACUUUAUUUAGUUGAUUUUGCAAAAGAAGAGGCCGGUCUAGAUGCAUGCUUAAUAGCUAAGAGUAGCAUGGGCUGGCUGUGGCAUCGCCGCUUAGCACAUGUGGGGAUGAAGAACCUUCACAAGCUUCUAAAGGGAGAACACGUGAUAGGUUUGACUAACGUGCAAUUCGAAAAAGAUAGACCUUGUGCAGCUUGUCAGGCAGGUAAACAGGUGGGAGGAGCGCAUCACAGCAAGAAUGUGAUGACCACAUCAAGACCCCUGGAGCUGCUACAUAUGGACCUCUUCGGACCCGUCGCCUAUCUAAGCAUAGGAGGAAGUAAGUAUGGUUUAGUUAUUGUUGAUGACUUUUCCCGCUUCACUUGGGUGUUCUUUUUGCAGGAUAAGUCUGAAACCCAAGGGACCCUCAAGCGCUUCCUCAGGAGAGCUCAAAAUGAGUUUGAGCUCAAAGUGAAGAAGAUAAGGAGCGACAACGGGUCCGAGUUCAAGAACCUUCAAGUGGAGGAGUUCCUUGAGGAGGAAGGGAUCAAGCACGAGUUCUCCGCUCCCUACACACCACAGCAAAAUGGUGUGGUAGAGAGGAAGAACAUGACGCUAAUCGAUAUGGCGAGGACGAUGCUAGGAGAAUUCAAGACCCCCGAGCGUUUUUGGUCGGAAGCCGUGAACACGGCUUGCCACGCCAUCAACAGGGUCUACCUUCAUCGCCUCCUCAAGAAGACUUCGUAUGAGCUACUAACCGGUAACAAACCCAAUGUAUCUUACUUUCGUGUAUUUGGGAGCAAGUGCUACAUUCUAGUGAAGAAGGGUAGAAAUUCUAAGUUUGCUCCCAAAGCUGUAGAAGGGUUUUUGUUAGGUUAUGACUCAAAUACAAAGGCGUAUAGAGUCUUCAACAAAUCAUCGGGUUUGGUUGAAGUUUCUAGCGACGUUGUAUUUGAUGAAACUAAUGGCUCUCCUAGAGAGCUAGUGGUUGAUCUUGAUGAUGUAGACGAAGAAGAUGUUCCGACGGCUGCUAUACGAACCAUGGCGAUUGGUAAUGUGCGACCACAGGAACAAGAUGAGCAAGAUCAACCUUCUUCCUCAACUAUGGUGCAUCCCCCAACUCAAGACGAUGAACAGGUUCAUCAACAGGAGGCGUGUGAUCAAGGGGGAGCACAAGAUGAUCAUGUGAUGGAGGAAGAAGCGGAACCGACACCUCCAACCCAAGUUCGAGCGAUGAUUCAAAGGGAUCAUCCCGUAGACCAAAUUCUGGGUCACAUUAGCAAGGGAGUAACUACUCGGUCUCGAUUAGUUAAUUUUUGUGAACAUUACUCCUUUGUCUCUUCUAUUGAGCCUUUCAGGGUAGAAGAGGCCUUGCUAGAUCCGGACUGGGUGUUGGCCAUGCAAGAGGAGCUCAACAACUUCAAGAGGAAUGAAGUUUGGACGCUGGUUCCUCGUUUGCUCAACAACUUCAAAAUGUUGUGGGAACCAAGUGGGUGUUCCGCAACAAACAGGACGAGCACGAGGUGGUGACGAGAAACAAGGCUCGACUUGUGGCAAAAGGUUAUGCCCAAGUCGCAGGUUUGGACUUUGAGGAGACGUUUGCUCCUGUGGCUAGGCUAGAAUCAAUUCGUAUCUUGCUAGCAUAUGCCGCUCACCAUUCUUUCAGGUUGUACCAAAUGGAUGUGAAGAGCGCUUUCCUCAACGGGCCAAUAAAGGAGGAGGUGUACGUGGAGCAACCCCCUGGCUUCGAGGAUGAACGGUACCCCGACCACGUGUGUAAGCUCUCUAAGGCGCUCUAUGGACUUAAGCAAGCCCUAAGAGCAUGGUAUGAAUGCCUUAGAGAUUUCUUAAUCGCUAAUGCUUUCAAGGUUGGGAAAGCCGAUCCAACUCUUUUCACUAAGACAUGUAAUGGUGAUUUGUUUGUGUGCCAAAUUUAUGUCGAUGACAUAAUAUUUGGUUCUACUAAUAAAAAGUCUUGUGAAGAGUUUAGCAGGGUGAUGACGCAGAAAUUCGAGAUGUCAAUGAUGGGCGAGUUGAACUACUUCCUUGGGUUCCAAGUGAAGCAACUCAAGGACGGCACCUUCAUCUCUCAAACGAAGUACACGCAAGACCUGCUGAAGCGGUUUGGGAUGAAGGACGCCAAGCCCGCAAAGACUCCGAUGGGGACCGACGGACACACCGACCUCAACAAAGGAGGUAAGUCUGUUGAUCAAAAAGCAUACCGGUCAAUGAUAGGGUCUUUACUUUAUUUAUGUGCUAGUAGACCGGAUAUUAUGCUUAGCGUAUGCAUGUGUGCUAGAUUUCAAUCCGAUCCUAAGGAGUGUCACUUAGUGGCAGUGAAGCGAAUCCUUAGAUAUUUAGUUGCUACGCCUUGCUUCGGGCUCUGGUAUCCAAAGGGGUCUACCUUUGACUUAAUUGGAUAUUCAGAUUCCGACUAUGCUGGAUGUAAGGUCGAUAGGAAGAGUACAUCGGGGACGUGCCAAUUCUUAGGAAGGUCCCUGGUGUCGUGGAACUCUAAGAAACAAACUUCCGUUGCCCUAUCCACCGCUGAGGUCGAGUAUGUUGCCGCAGGACAGUGUUGCGCGCAACUACUUUGGAUGAGGCAAACCCUCAGGGACUUUGGCUACAAUUUGAGCAAAGUCCCACUCCUAUGUGAUAAUGAGAGUGCUAUCCGCAUGGCGGAAAAUCCUGCUGAGCACAGCCGCACAAAGCACAUAGACAUCCGGCAUCACUUUCUGAGAGACCACCAGCAAAAGGGAGAUAUCGAAGUGUUUCAUGUUAGCACUGAGAACCAGCUAGCCGAUAUCUUUACCAAGCCUCUAGAUGAGAAGACCUUUUGCAGGCUGCGAAGUGAGCUAAAUGUCUUAGAUUCGCGGAACUUGGAUUGAAUUGUUGCUUAUUGUGGUGCUCAAGUUGUACAAACACUCCCUGGACCUCACAAGUCCGUUGCAAAGUGAUGCACAUGUUUAGGGGGAGAUGUGUUACAACUUGACCCUUUGAGACUAACCAUAUGCUUGAGUUUGCUUGAUUUAGUCUCGAAGGAGAAUUGAAAGGGAAAAGGUGAACUUGGACCAUGAAAGACUUCCACUGCACUCCGAUGAGAGGGUAACUUAUUCCAAGUUCAUCUCAUGAACUCUUAUUGCCAUUUGCUCUUAAUUGAAGAUUUUGGUGAGGCAAUGGGGUUAAAGGGCCAAGAUUGAUCCCGUUUUGGUGCUUGAUGCCAAAGGGGGAGAAAAUAAAGGCCAAAGCAAUAAAUGGAUCAGCUACCACUUGAGAAAUUUUGAAAAAUAGUAAAAUAGAGCUUUUUGUUUUGUCAAAACUCUUGCAUUGUCUCUUUUGUCAAAAGUUGGCCUCUUGUGGGGAGAAGUGUUGAUUAUGGGAAAUAGGGGGAGUUUUUGAUCAAUCUCUUUUGGAAUGACUCUCUUUAUGCUUCAACAUGUGUGUUUGACUUAGAGAUAGAGAUUUGAGUCUGAUUUGCAAAAACAAACCAAGUGGUGGCAAAGGAUGAUCCAUAUAUGCCAAAAAUGAAUCAAAAUAAAUUUGAGUUUUAUUUGAAGUGAUAUUGCACUUGUUCCAGUUGCUUUAUGUUGUGUUGGCAUAAAUCACCAAAAAGGGGGAGAUUGAAAGGGAAAUGUGCCCUUGGGCCAUUUCUAAGUAUUUUGGUGAUUGAGUGCAAACACAAAGUGCUUAAAUGUGAAUUUAUGCCCAUGGAUGAACAAAGUGCAAAUCACGAGUAAAGGUAUGUUUCUAAGCCUUAGUACAUUGGUUUUGUGUACUAAUAUACUUGUCUAAGUGUUAGAAACAGAAAGAAGAAGAAAAGAAAAGAGGUGUGAAAGGCUUGGCUGUGUACAGCCAAGACUCAGCUCUGUAUGGCACACUGGACUGUCCGGUGGUGCACCGGACAGUGUCCGGUGCGCCAGGCUGACUCGGCGUGAAGUGGCCGCUCUCGGGAAUUCGCCGACGACGUACGGCUAAAAUUCACCGGACUGUCCGGUGAGCCAACGGUCGGCCGGGCCAACGGUCGGCCGCAGAAUCUGCGCGCGACACGUGGCCGGGCCAACGGUCGGAAGGGGGCACCGGACUGUCCGGUGUGCACCGGACAUGUCCGGUGCGCCAAAGGCUCGCAGAUCUGCAACGGUCGGCCGUGCCAUUUAAGGAAGGAAAUCGGGCACCGGACAGUGUCCGGUGUGCACCGGACUGUCCGGUGCACCCGACGACAGAAGGCAAGAUUGGCCUUCCAGAUUUGCUCUCAACGGCUCCUAGCUGCCUUGGGGCUAUAAAAGGGACCCCUAGGCGCAUGGAGGAGACACCCAAGCAACCUUAGAGCAUUCUUGAUCAUCCACACUCAGUCUUUGCGCAUUCAUUUGUCAUUCUCAAUGAUUCGAGCUCCGUUCUAGUGAGAACUUUGAGAUAGUCUUUUGAGCUCGAUUCUUGGCCGUGUGUGUGCGCAUUUUGCUGUGGAAUUGUGUGUGUUGCUUCCCUUCCUUACUCCAUAUUUCUUUGUGAAUCUCAAGUGUAAGGGCGAGAGGCUCCAAGUUGUGGAGAUUCCUCGCAAACGGGAUAUUGAAAGGCAAAGCAAAACACCAUGGUAUUCAAGUUGGUCUUUGGACCGCUUGUGAGGGGUUGAUUGCAACCCUCGUCCGUUGGGACGCCACAACGUGGAGUAGGCAAGCGUUGGUCUUGGCCGAACCACGGGAUAAACCACUGUGUCAUCUCUGUGUUUGAUCUCUUGUGGUAUUGUGUUUUGUUGAGACUCCUCUCUAGCCACUUGGCAAUUAUUGUGCUAACACUUAACAAUUUUUUGUGGCUAUAAGUUUAAGUUUCACAGGAUCACCUAUUCACCCCCCCUCUAGGUGCUCUCAUGUGUUGCUAGCCUCAUUGUGCAGGGAUGAGUACCACAAAGUGAGCGGCUUGGACAAUGCCAAGCAGAUCUGGGACACCCUCAAGAUCUCACAUGAGGGCAACGAUGUCACCAUGCUCACCAAGAUGGAGUUGGUGGAAGGCGAACUUGGGAGAUUCGCUAUGAUAAGGGGGGAGGAGCCAACCCAAACAUACAACCGGCUAAAGACCCUUGUCAACAAGAUAAGGAGCUACGGAAGCACGCGAUGGACGGACCACGACGUCGUCCGCCUAAUGUUAAGGUCGUUCACUGUCCUUGAUCCUCAUCUUGUGAACAAUAUUCGUGAGAAUCCUAGGUACAUCAAGAUGACGCCCGAGGAGAUACUUGGAAAGUUCGUGAGCGGGCGAAUGAUGAUCAAGGAAGCAAGAUACGUGGAUGACGCAUUGAAUGGUCCAAUCAAUGAGCCUCAACCUCUUGCUCUCAAGGCAACAAGAAGCAAGGAGACGCUACCUAGCAAGGUGGCACAAAUUGAGGCGGCUGGACUUAACGAUGAAGAGAUGGCACUCAUCAUCAAGAGAUUCAAGACGGCGCUAAAAGGUCGCAAGGGGCAGCCAAGCAAGACCAAGACAAAGGGGAAGCGCUCAUGCUUCAAAUGUGGUAAGCUUGGUCAUUUUAUUGCUAACUGUCCCGACAAUGAUAGUGAUCAGGAUCAAGGGAACAAGAGGGAAAAGAAGAAGUACUAUAAGAAGGCAAAGGGCGAGGCUCAUCUAGGCAAGGAGUGGGAUUCGGAUUGCUCCUCUUUCGACUCCGACAAUGAAGGACUCGCCGCCACCGCCUUCAACAAGUCAUCCCUCUUCCCCAACGAGCGUCACACAUGCCUUAUGGCAAGGGAGAAGAAGGUAUGUACUCGAAACACUACUUAUGCUUCUUCAAGUGAGGACGAAUCUAGUGAUGAGAAUGAAAUAGAUUAUUCAUGUUUAUUUAAAGGCUUAGAUAGAUCUAAGGUAGAUAAAAUUAAUGAAUUGAUUGAUGCCUUGAAUGAUAAGAAUAGGCUUUUAGAAAAGCAAGAGGAUUUGUUGUAUGAAGAACAUGACAAAUUUGUAGAAGCACAAAAAUCUCAUGCUCUAGAAGUUAAAAGAAAUGAAAUGCUUUCUUGUGAAUUAUCUUCUUGUCAUGAGACAAUUUCUAACUUAAAAAGCAUUAAUGAUGAUUUGAAUGCUAAGUUAGAAAUAGCUAGUAAAUCAACAUCUUGUGUAGAAAAUGAUGUUAUUUGCAAUAGGUGUAAAGAUCUUGAUAUUGAUGCUUGUAGUGAACACAUAGCCUCUAUUGCAAAAUUAAAUGAUGAAGUUGCUAGUCUUAAUGCCCAACUUAAGACUAGCAAAAGUGAAUUUGACAAAUUAAAAUUUGCAAGGGAUGCCUACACAAUUGGUAGACACCCCUCAAUUAAGGAUGGUCUUGGCUUCAAGAAGGAAGUCAAGAACUUAACAAGCCAUAAGGCUUCCAUCUCCACAAAGGAGAAAGGGAAGGCCCCUAUGGCAAGUAAUGCUAAAAAGAACCAUGCCUUCAUGUACCAUGAUAGAAAAUUUUCUGGAAAUGUUCAUGAUGAUAGGAGUUGUAAUGCUUAUAAUGCUUUUGACUCUCAUGCCAUGUUUGCUUCUAAUUCUUCCUAUAUGCAUGGUAGAAAUGUGUUUAGAAGAAAUACUGUUCAUCAUAUGCCUAGGAGAAAUGUUGUCAAUAUUCCUAGAAAAGUUAAUGAACCUUCUACAAUUUAUCAUGCUUGUGAUGCUUCAUUUGCAAUUUGUAGAAAGGAUAGAAAGGUGAUUGCUAGGAAAUUAGGGGCAAAAUGCAAGGGAGAUAAAACUUGCAUUUGGGUCCCUAAGACAAUUGUGACUAACCUUGUAGGACCCAACAAGAGUUGGGUACCUAAGUCCCAAGCCUAAAUUUUCCUUGCAGGUUUAUGCAUCCGGGGGUUCAAGCUGGAUUAUUGACAGCGGAUGCACAAACCAUAUGACGGGGGAGAAGAAGAUGUUUACCUCCUACGUCAAGAACAAGGAUUCCCAAGAUUCAAUAAUAUUCGGUGAUGGGAACCAAGGCAAGGUAAAAGGGUUAGGUAAAAUUGCAAUCUCAAAUGAGCACUCUAUUUCUAAUGUGUUUUUAGUUGAGUCUCUGGGAUAUAAUUUACUAUAUGUUAGUCAAUUAUGCAAUAUGGGAUAUAACUGUUUAUUCACAAACAUAGAUGUGUCUGUCUUUAGAAGGUGUGAUGGUUCACUAGCUUUUAAGGGUGUACUAGACGGCAAACUUUAUUUAGUUGAUUUUGCAAAAGAGGAGGCCGAUCUAGAUGCAUGCUUAAUUGCUAAGACUUGCAUGGGCUAGCUGUGGCAUCACCGCUUAGCACAUGUGGGGAUGAAGAAUCUUCACAAGCUUUUAAAGGGAGAACAUGUGAUAGGUUUAACUAACGUGCAAUUCGAAAAAGAUAGACCUUGUGCAGCAUGUCAAGCAGGUAAACAGGUGGGAGGAGCACAUCACAGCAAGAAUGUGAUGACCACAUCAAGGCCCCUGGAGCUGCUACAUAUGGACCUCUUCGGACCCGUCGCCUAUCUAAGCAUAGGGGGAAGUAAGUAUGGUUUAGUUAUUGUGGAUGACUUUUCCCGCUACACUUGGGUAUUCUUUUUGCAGGAUAAGUCUGAAACCCAAGGGACCCUCAAGCGCUUCCUAAGGAGAGCUCAAAACGAGUUUGAGCUCAAGGUGAAAAAAACAAGGAGCGACAAUGGGUCCGAGUUCAAGAACCUUCAAGUGGAGGAGUACCUUGAAGAGGAAGGGAUCAAGCACGAGUUCUCCGCUCCCUACACACCACAGCAAAAUGGUGUGGUAGAGAGGAAGAACAGGACGCUAAUCGAUAUGGCGAGGACGAUGCUUGGAGAGUUCAAGACCCCCGAGCGUUUUUGGUCGGAAGCCGUGAACACGGCUUGCCACGCCAUCAACAGGGUCUACCUUCACCGCCUCCUCAAGAAGACGUCGUAUGAGCUUCUAACCGGUAACAAACCCAAUGUAUCUUACUUUCGUGUAUUUGGGAGCAAAUGCUACAUUCUAGUGAAGAAGGGUAGAAAUUCUAAGUUUGCUCCCAAAGCUGUAGAAGGGUUUUUGUUAGGUUAUGACUCAAAUACAAAGGCGUAUAGGGUCUUCAACAAAUCAUCGGGUUUGGUUGAAGUCUCUAGCGACGUUGUAUUUGAUGAGACUAAUGGCUCUCCAAGAGAGCAAGUUGUUGAUCUUGAUGAUGUAGAUGAAGAAGAUGUUCCGACGGCCGCUAUACGAACCAUGGCGAUUGGUGAUGUGCGACCACAGGAACAAGAUGAGCAAGAUCAACCUUCUUCCUCGACUGUGGUGCAUCCCCCAACUCAAGACGAUGAACAGGUUCAUCAACAGGAGGCGUGUGAUCAAGGGGGAGCACAAGAUGAUCAUGUGAUGGAGGAAGAAGCGCAACCGGCACCUCCAACCCAAGUUCGAGCGAUGAUUCAAAGGGAUCAUCCCGUCGAUCAAAUUCUGGGUGAUAUUAGCAAGGGAGUAACUACUCGAUCUCGAUUAGUUAAUUUUUGUGAGCAUUACUCCUUUGUCUCUUCUAUUGAGCCUUUCAGGGUAGAGGAGGCCUUGCUAGAUCCGGACUGGGUGUUGGCCAUGCAAGAGGAGCUCAACAACUUCAAGAGAAAUGAAGUUUGGACGCUGGUGCCUCGUCCUAAGCAAAAUGUUGUGGGAACCAAGUGGGUGUUCCGCAACAAACAAGACGAGCACGGAGUGGUGACGAGGAACAAGGCUCGACUUGUGGCAAAUGGGUAUGCCCAAGUCGCAGGUUUGGACUUUGAGGAGACUUUUGCUCCUGUGGCUAGACUAGAGUCCAUUCGUAUUUUGCUAGCAUAUGCCGCUCACCAUUCUUUCAGGUUGUUCCAAAUGGAUGUGAAGAGCGCUUUCCUCAACGGGCCAAUCAAGGAGGAGGUGUACGUAGAGCAACCCCCUGGCUUCGAGGAUGAACGGUACCCUGACCACGUGUGUAAGCUCUCUAAGGCGCUCUAUAGACUUAAGCAAGCCCCAAGAGCAUGGUAUGAAUGCCUUAGAGACUUUCUAAUUGCUAAUGCUUUCAAGGUUGGGAAAGCCGAUCCAACUCUGUUCACUAAGACUUGUGACGGUGAUCUUUUUGUAAGCCAAAUUUAUGUCGAUGACAUAAUAUUUGGUUCUACUAAUAAAAAGUCUUGUGAAGAGUUUAGCAGGGUAAUGACGCAGAAAUUCGAGAUGUCGAUGAUGGGCGAGUUGAACUACUUCCUUGGGUUCCAAGUGAAGCAACUCAAGGAUGGCACCUUCAUCUCUCAAACGAAGUACACGCAAGACUUGCUGAAGCGGUUUGGGAUGAAGGAUGCCAAGCCCGCAAAGACUCCGAUCGGGACCGACGGACACACCGACCUCAACAAAGGAGGUAAGUCCGUUGAUCAAAAUGCAUACCGGUCAAUGAUAGGGUCUUUACUUUAUUUAUGUGCUAGUAGACCGGAUAUUAUGCUUAGCGUUUGCAUGUGUGCUAGAUUUCAAUCCGAUCCUAAGGAGUGUCACUUAGUGGCAGUGAAGCGAAUCCUUAGAUAUUUAGUUGCUACGCCUUGCUUCGGGCUCUGGUAUCCAAAGGGGUUGUUGGUGACUUGUUCUCAAAUGCUAAGAGUUAAGAACAAGGCAACAUGAAAAGUGUUAAAUGUUAAAGUCCUUCAUCCUUCGAAGGACUUUAUGUCCCUUCGGGAAAUAAUGAGUUUCGGACGAAGGUCAUAAGAGACAUACCUUCGUAAAUAUAGUAGGUAAAAACGAAAGACUCAUAUAAAGCAUGAGAUAUAAUAUAAGCAUCAUCAUGGAAUCAUUUCUAUUUUAUUAACAUGGGAAAAUAGAAAUGAUUUCAAAUUACAGAUGUACCUUCGGUCCUGAGAGAAGGUAAAAAGUACAGGCGUGACGCAAAAGCAAAUGCAAAGUCAGCGUGAACAGUACGGGAGUACUGUUCAUCUAUUUAUAGACGCGGGAUGCAGCCCACGUAAAAUUACAUCCAUGUCCAUUACAUUUGUUAACGGUUUAUGGAAAUCUAUUGAGGACCCCGAAGUCUUUUCAUCUUAAGGUCGGUUCCCCCUUGUGCCAUCGCGCCGAAGCUUCCCUGCGUACAGCUUCGGCUGCCCCCGACCUUCGUCUGGCUCAACCUUCGUCCUGGUCGUGCUCCAUAUCCAUAAUUCUGAAUCCGAAAAUACCUGUUCAUAUAAUUCACUUGGAAAACAUUGUCAAAUCAUGUUUUUGAGGACCUUCGGAGGACGAAGGCCCCCAACAGUAGCCCCUCGCAAUAUUAAUUUGUAAAUAAUAAAUUCAGAUUGCGAUAUGGACGAAGGCCUUGAGCCGAAGGUCCGAAAAAACACCUUCCCUUUGCUAGAAUAGCAACAUUCACUGACAAGCGGGGCCUUUUAACUUUCAACGCCCUAGGCGUAUAAAUAAGAACACAUCGUGAAUUCAUUUGGUACACACGCUUGCCUUUUGCUUCGGCCCACUAAAAAUUUUUAGCUCUUGCUCAUUGAGAUUUGCUGGUCUUUUUGAUUUCGAAGCUUCGGCCUCGGGAACAAAUUUUUAGUGUUUCCGAAGAUGUCUGAAGACAAGAAGAUCCCUGCCGAGACGAAGCUGAGUCUCGAGGAGGAGAAGAAUCUGGGGUUCCUGAUAGCGAUGGCAGAGACUAAUACAGAGAAAAUCACGAAGGAGAUUCUCGAAGGUUUGUCCGAAGAUACUGAUGACAGCGACAGCUAUGAUGUGGAAAGUGAUGGGGAAGAGGCCGAAGAUCGACCGUGGCGACCAAGUCACUCAGUUUUUGGGAAAACAACCAUCAAGCAGAGUCACAUUGAUAAUAUGAGGGGGCGAUACUUCCGAGACAUAUCUAUUGUGAGAGCUGAUGCCGGGGAAAAGACUUCUCCCACCCCUGAAGAAGAUGAAGUUGUAAUUUUCCGAAGCCUCCUCAAGGCUGGGCUUCGAUUCCCCCUGAGCAACUUUGUUGUUGAGGUACUGAAAACAUUCCAAAUCUACCUUCAUCAACUCACUCCCGAAGCUAUUAUAAGAAUGGGGAUUUUUGUCUGGGCUGUGAGAAGCCAAGGUUUGGAGCCAAACGCUAAAAGCUUCUGCAACAUACACGAGUUAUUGUACGAGACGAAGCCCUGGGGAAAGGAGCAAUACCACAACAACUUUGGGUGCUACAGCUUCGGCGCCCGCUCCGGGUCAAGCUACCCUGUGCCAACCUUUCGGAAGAGGUGGCCCGGAGCCUGGAUGUCUGAAUGGUUUUAUGUGAAAAAUGAUCUAACAGCGCAAAAUAAUGUCCAAAGUAUCAUUAUGUACCCAAUUUGGCAACGCUUCGGACUUCGAAGGCCGAAGGUUGAAAUGGAUGAGGCAGCCGAAGAAUGCCAAAGAGCCUUCGGCGCAGUCUGCUCUUUCAUUGGGACAAGGGACUUGGUCCAGGAGCACAUUGCCUUCAGGAUAUGGCCACUUGCAGAAAAGUGGGAAAUGCCGAAAGAAACCAUCAAAGAGUCCGACGAAGGCGGACUAGUCAGAUUAAAAUACACAUUCAAAUAUGCAGAUAAAUUUAUUGAACCUGAUGAUGACUGGCUGAAAAGCAUUGAAACAUUAAGUGAUGAAUUACUUGGGGCAUUCUCGAAGGCUGAAAAUACUGCACUAUCAGCAGCCUUCGGAGGCCGCAAAAAGAAGAGACUGAACCGAGUGUUUGAUGCAAUCGGGUUCUUCUACCCUGAUUAUUGUUAUCCCAUCCGAAGGCAGAAAAGGAAAAGCAUAACCUCUGAAAAAGAAGAAGCUGGAACCGCUCCUAGCGAGCCAGAACCAAAAGGAAAAAGGCUGAAGGUCUUCACACACCGACCACGCCAUAUUGAGCCAGCUUCGGUGCCGGAGUUUACCGGGAAAACUUCUUCAGCCACCGAAGCUGAAAAACCAAACGAGCCGGCCUUGCUGCCAGAGAUCGCAGAAACGGCCGAAGUGCCACCAAAGAUAGAAUCAGAACAAUCAAACAUUUUGUUGUCAGAAACAAAAGAGAAAACCGAAGCGCCGCUCACAGAAAAAAUUGAGAAAGUAAGAGAAGCAACUGAGGGCUUCAAAACAUCAGAAGUUUUGAGUCCUACAGCAAUCAUUGGGACGGCAAAAAAUGAAAAAGUGCCAGCUGCAACUCCGAAGAGAAAGAGAAUGGCUAAUGUGCUAGACGUAUUGGAAACGAUCAAAUCUUCGAGCACACCUCCGAAGAAAGCUGCUAUUACUCCUGAAACAAAAGCUGAAAUCUCUGGUUCUACAGCUCCAGAGGAAGAGAUUGAAGCCGAAGCUGGACCCUCAGAGUCCGCAAAAACUUUGAGAAGUGAGGCAGAGAAAAUAACAAAGCUAACUAUUGAAGAAUCUAGUGUUGCUGCCCCCGAAGCAUCCCCCAAAAUUCGUGAUUAUAUUUUUCGUCAUGCUUCGGGGAAAAAAUUAUCAGAAAAAGAAGAACAAGAGGCCCAGCAUUAUGCCCAAAAACUGAAAUAUCCGAAGGGGGCGUUAAUAUUUAAUGGCAGUGGAGAAGGAGACUUCUUGUACUGUCUUCCCGACAACAAGGAAAUUUCUGUCUGUCGGGAGAUAGGCAGAAGCUUUGGAUUCCCAACUUUAGAAGACGGACUUUCGGUGCUAUCAAAAAACGAUCUGGCUGACAGCCUAGCUUAUAACAGUUUAAAGGUAUGAUAAAUGAAAUCCUUGUAUUUUUCCGUUCAUUUAAACCCUCUGACACACACACAUAUUCCUUUUUGCAGGGCUUGAUACUUAGCAAUGCUCUCAGAGCCCAGAAAGAUACUGAAGACGAAGGGUGUACUAUAGCCCUGAGCAACCUUCGUUCCGAAGUAAUUGAACUGAGGAACGAAGGUCUCGAAAAAGACAAAAUAUUAUACUCAUUGAUAGAUAAAAUAAAGGAGGACGAAGCUGCCUUCAAAAGUCAGGCUGAAGCUCAGAAACGCGAAAUUGAAGACCUUCGGAAACAACUGGCCAGAGCUAAAGAAGAACGUAUACUUGAAGAAACAAAGCGUGAACUCAGCGAUCAAUGGGCAGAACACCUAGAAGUGACUGUUGAAGAGCUUCGUUCAUCCAAAAAGAGAUGCUACAAUAAAUCUAUAGACUGUGUUAAAAAAUUAAAGGCUAGCUUCGCCAAGGUCGGCGCAUUCUCAAGUGAAGAAAAUUUUCUGAGGGGCAAUCCCGAAAGUGUCAUUGAAUGGAUUGACCACGAAGCUGAAGUCUUCGAAGAAAUUUUAAAUAGCCGAGGAGAUAUAUGUGCCUUCUCUGGCGCCAGAGGGAUUGCCACUAUUUUAGAGAAGAAGGGCUGUGAACAUGUGAAAAUUUUAGCACAGUCCGAAGCCACCUUGUCGACUGAAGAUAUAAAAGAUCCUUCAGCCGAAGCUAGCGCGGUUGGAGGAAAAUUUUUUACCGACAUCUGGGACAACGGUGGCCGAGAAAUGGCAAGAGAAAUUAUUCAGAGAAGUGAAAAGGGCAUCCAUGAUGCUAGAGAAGUGGCUAAGGCUGCUGAAAAGAGCACAGAGCCCGAAGGUCAAUUAGGUACUAAAUAAUAGCUUCUACCGUGUUGUAAUCUUUAGGCUUUUAAGAUCUGUUUGCGAUUUGUAAUAGUAAUGUAGUCGUGUCCUGCUUCAGAUCCGACUAAAGCGCCUUCGGGCCCUCAGCCGAAGGGGGACGACGAAAUUAAAAAGAUGGCCGAAGAUAUUAUGGACGAAGUCGUCAAUCGGCUUCUGAAUGAAGCUGCAGGAGUCGUUUUGAGAGAGGAUUAAACAUUUUUGUAAAAAACUUCGGAAAUGUAAUAUAAUGUAACAUUUUUGUAACCCCGAAUGUAAUAUAUCUAUUUUUGCUACUCAAUUCUUUACGAUGCAUGAAACUUUACACACGUACCGUUUUUGAGUUUGGCGAAAAAAACACCUUCCCUUCUUUUCAUGCUUCGUGAAGAAUAUCCAAACUUCGUGAAAAAAUUCUCCGAAGCUAUACUUCCGAAGAUGAAGAUUGAUUCUCUUUACGACCAUGAUUUUCACUCUUUCAAAUCAUACUUUCGAAAAUCAAUAUUGUGUCCCCUUCUUGGGACCACGAUUUUCACUCUUUCAAAUCAUACUUCCGAAGAUCAAUAUUGUGUCCCCUUCUUGGGACCACGAUUUUCACUCUUUCAAAUCAUACUUCCGAAGAUCAAUAUCGUGUCCCCUUCUUGGGCCAUAUGCAACAUGAUGUAUGAUGCUUAUGCUAUGCAAAAUGAUGUAAUGAUGUUAUGCUACGUAGAUGACAUUUGUUCCGAAAGAUACACACAUAUCCCCACACAAUAUUUUUGUAUCAGCACUGAUUCUUCGCUGUAAGCUCUGCAUUCCCUUAGGAACGUCUUUGGAGCUUCUUCGCCUCUUACUUAGGCGGUAUAAGCUCUGCAUUCCCUUAGGAACGUCUUUGGAGCUUCUUCGCCUUUUACUUAGGCGGUAUAAGCUCUGCAUUCCCUUAGGAACGUCUUUGGAGCUUCUUCGCCUUUUACUUAGGCGGUAUCAGCGUUGACUUUUCGCUGUAGGCUCUGCAUUCCUUUAGGAACGACUUCUGAGCAGAAAACUUACACUGCGCUCCCUUUGGAACGGCUUUUUGUGACUUCACAAACUUACUCUGCGUUCCUUAGAACGACUUUUCGUUACUCCGAAGGAUUUUUAAUUCGAAGGUCCUCCUUGGUAACGGAAAAAAUUUUUAAUCUUCAGCAACUUAAGCUUGUGGAGCAAAUAGAUCUUCCUCGUGGAAAACAACGACAUUAUUACAUGAAAACUAUCAAUGUUUUUUGCUUGACAGAAAACAAAACUGAAUAAGAAAGACUGCUAUCAAAGAUAGGAUAUGUGUCAAUAAAUGUGUUUCGACUCUGGCACAGUGCUGUUGACUGUGCGAGCUUCGGACUGCUCUCUGAAGUCCCUCUGCUGUGGAGCGUAUUGACUCCCUUCUGGCUGCUGACCUUGUUGCAACGGAGGUGGAGGCGGAGGCUGUUGCCAGGAAGCUGAAGGCUGACUUGCCGAAGCAGCAGAGACUACAGGAUGAUUGCCCACAUAUUCUGGGAUGUAGGGCGAAUGAUACGAAGCUGUAUGCAUGACCUGCUUCGGCUGGGCUUGUUGUGCUGCUGCUUCAGCUAUUUCCUUUUGCUUCUGUAUAGUAACAUGGCACAUCCUGGUAGUAUGGCCUUUGUUCUCACCACAGAAUAAGCAAAAGAUUCUUCUUGGUUGAUCGCCAAAUCUUCCUCCGAAGCCCCUGGCGCCUCUGCCUCUUGGAGCUGGUGGUCGGAAGGAGCUUUGCUGUUGCCCCGAAGCCUGUGAGGAGUACUGUGGCCUUUGCUGCUGGCUCCCUUUAUCAUCAUUUUGAUUGGAAUUAUGAAUUGAUCUGACAUGCCUCGGAUAGAAUCUUCCUCCGAAGCCCCUGGUCAUCUCAGAAAAUCUGAAGGCCUCCUCCCUUCUUUGGCGAAAAUCAUUGUCAGCUCGAAUAUAUUCAUCCAUCUUCUGGAGCAGCUUCUCCAGCGUUUGAGGAGGCUUCCUGGCGAAGUACUGAGCUGACGGACCUGGCCGAAGCCCCUUGAUCAUGGCCUCAAUGACAAUUUCAUUGGGCACCGUUGGUGCCUGUGCCCUCAAACGCAAAAACCUUCGGACAUAUGCCUGAAGGUAUUCUUCGGGGUCCUGAGUGCACUGGAACAGAGCCUGAGCAGUGACCGGCUUCGUUUGAAAUCCUUGAAAGCUGGUUAACAACAAGUCCUUCAGCUUCUGCCAUGAAGUGAUCGUUCCUGGUCGAAGGGAGGAAUACCAGGUUUGAGCAACACUUCUGACAGCCAUAACAAAAGAUUUGGCCAUGACUGAAGCAUUGCCACCGUACGAAGACACUGUUGCUUCGUAGCUCAUCAAAAACUGCUUCGGAUCAGAAUGGCCAUCAAAUACGGGGAGCUGAGGCGGCUUGUAGGACGGAGGCCAAGGCGUAGCCUGCAACUCAGCGGACAAGGGAGAAGCAUCAUCAAAAACAAAAUUCCCAUGAUGGAAAUUGUCAUACCAGUCAUCUUCGUUGUGAAAGCCCUCCUGAUGAAGGUCUUGAUGCUGAGGCCUUCGGAAUUGCUCAUCCUGAGCAAGAUGACGAACUUCUUCAGAGGCUUCAUCUAUCUGCCUCUGCAGUUCAGCUAGCCUGGCCAUCUUCUCCUUCCUGCGUUGAACCUGUUGCUGAAGGAUUUCCAGAUUCUGAAUUUCCUGAUCUAGAUCAUCCUCCGGAUGUGUUGGACUGGUAGCCUUCCUCUUCUGGCUUCGUGCCUCUCUGAGAGAAAGGACAUCUUGAUUGGGGUCCAGCGGCUGCAGCGUGCCAGCCCCUGGUGCUGGAGCCUUCUUCGGCGGCAUGACGAAGCUGAUGCUUGCCGAAGGUGCCGAAAAACUCAAGAAGUGGAAGUGAGUUCACCGGAGGUGGGCGCCAAUGUUGGUGACUUGUUCUCAAAUGCUAAGAGUUAAGAACAAGGCAACAUGAAAAGUGUUAAAUGUUAAAGUCCUUCAUCCUUCGAAGGACUUUAUGUCCCUUCGGGAAAUAAUGAGUUUCGGACGAAGGUCAUAAGAGACAUACCUUCGUAAAUAUAGUAGGUAAAAACGAAAGACUCAUAUAAAGCAUGAGAUAUAAUAUAAGCAUCAUCAUGGAAUCAUUUCUAUUUUAUUAACAUGGGAAAAUAGAAAUGAUUUCAAAUUACAGAUGUACCUUCGGUCCUGAGAGAAGGUAAAAAGUACAGGCGUGACGCAAAAGCAAAUGCAAAGUCAGCGUGAACAGUACGGGAGUACUGUUCAUCUAUUUAUAGACGCGGGAUGCAGCCCACGUAAAAUUACAUCCAUGUCCAUUACAUUUGUUAACGGUUUAUGGAAAUCUAUUGAGGACCCCGAAGUCUUUUCAUCUUAAGGUCGGUUCCCCCUUGUGCCAUCGCGCCGAAGCUUCCCUGCGUACAGCUUCGGCUGCCCCCGACCUUCGUCUGGCUCAACCUUCGUCCUGGUCGUGCUCCAUAUCCAUAAUUCUGAAUCCGAAAAUACCUGUUCAUAUAAUUCACUUGGAAAACAUUGUCAAAUCAUGUUUUUGAGGACCUUCGGAGGACGAAGGCCCCCAACAGGGGUCUACCUUUGACUUGAUUGGAUAUUCAGAUUCCGACUAUGCUGGAUGUAAGGUCGAUAGGAAGAGUACAUCGGGGACGUGCCAAUUCUUAGGAAGGUCCCUAGUGUCAUGGAACUCUAAGAAACAAACCUCCGUUGCCCUAUCCACCGCUGAGGCCAAGUAUGUUGCCGUAGGAAAGUGUUGCGCAGAACUACUUUGGAUGAGGCAAACCCUCAGGGACUUUGGCUACAAUCUGAGCAAAGUCCCACUCCUAUGUGAUAAUGAGAGUGCUAUCCGCAUGGCGGAAAAUCCUGUUGAACACAGCCGCACAAAGCACAUUGACAUCCGGCAUCACUUUUUGAGAGACCACCAGCAAAAGGGAGAUAUCGAAGUGUUCCAUGUUAGCUCCGAGAACCAGCUAGCCGAUAUCUUUACCAAGCCUUUAGAUGAGCAGACCUUUUGCAGGUUGCGUAGUGAGCUAAAUGUCUUAGAUUCGCGGAACCUGGAUUGAUUUAUAGCAUACAUGUGCUUAUGCCUUUGAUCAUGUUCCCUAUGCAUUUUGUUGCUUAGUUAUGGUGCUCAAGUUGUACAAACACUCCCUGGACCUCACAAGUCCGUUGCAAAAGUGAUGCACAUGUUUAGGGGGAGAUGUGUUACAACUUGACCCUUUGAGACUAACCAUGUGCUUGAGUUUGAUGAUUUAGUCUCGAAGAAGGGUUACAAAUUGAAAGGGAAAAGGUGGACUUGGACCAUGAAAGACUUCCACUGCACUCCGAUGAGAGGGUAACUUAUUCCAAGUUCAUCUCAUGUACUCUUAUUGCCUUUAUAUUCUUAUUGAAGAUUUUGGUGAGGCAAUGGGGUUCUAGGGCCAAGAUUGAUCCCGUUUUGGUGCUUGAUGCCAAAGGGGGAGAAAAUAAAGGCCAAAGCAAUAAAUGGAUCAGCUACCACUUGAGAGAUUUUGAAAAUAGUAGAAUAGAGCUUUUGGUUUGUCAAAACUCUUUUUGUCUCUCUUGUCAAAAGUUGGCUUCUUAUGGGGAGAAGUCUUGAUUAUGGGAAAAAGGGGAGUUUUUUUUGAAAUCUUGGAUCAAUUUCUCUUGGAAUGACUCUCUUUAUGUCUUAACAUGUGUGUUUGACUUAGAGAUAGAAAUUUGAGGUUGAUUUGCAUAAACAAACCAAGUGGUGGCAAAGAGUGAUCCAUAUAUGUCAAAUGUAAAUCAAAACAGUUUGAGUUCUUAUUUGAAUUGAUUUUGCACUUGUUCUACUUGCUUUAUGUUAUGUUGGCAUAAAUCACCAAAAAGGGGGAGAUUGAAAGGGAAAUGUGCCCUUGGGCCAUUUCUAAGUAUUUUGGUGAUUGAGUGCCAACACAAGUGCUUUUGUGUUGAUCUAUGCAAUGUGGUGGACUAAGUGCAAAUCAUGUCAAAAGGUAUGUUUCUAGACUUAGUACAUUAUUUUAUGGACUAAUGUAUUGUGUCUAAGUGCUGGAAACAGGAAAAAUCGAAUUGGAAAUGAGAUGGCUUUGUUCAGCCAAGUCUGCUCAGUCUGGGAGCACCGGACUGUCCGGUGGUGCACCAGACAGUGUCCGGUGCGCCAUGCUGGCUCGAGCGAACUGGCCGCUCUCGGGAAUUCACUGGCGACGUACGGCUAUAAUUCACCGGACUGUCCGGUGUGCACCGGACUGUCCGGUGUGCACCGGACUGUCCGGUGAGCCAACGGUCGGCCGGGCCAACGGUCGGCCGCGCGAUCUGCGCGGGACACGUGGCCGAGCCAACGGCUAGAAGGAGGCACCGGACUGUCCGGUGUGCACCGGACAUGUCCGGUGCGCCAACGGCUCUCUGGCUGCUAACGGUCGGCUGCGCCAUUUAAGGAAAGAAAUCGGGCACCGGACAGUGUCCGGUGUGCACCGGACUGUCCGGUGCGCCACACGACAGAAGGCAAGGAUUGCCUUCCCAGAUUGCUCUCAACGGCUCCUAGCUGCCUUGGGGCUAUAAAAGGGACCCCUAGGCGCAUGGAGAAGAACACCAAGCAUCCUUUGAGCAUUCUUGAUCACUCACACUCCACUCUUGCGCACUUGUUCGAUAUUCUAGUGAUUUGAGCCCCGUUCUAGUGUGCUAGUCUUGUAAGCUCAAGUCUGGGUCUUGUGUGUGCGUAUUUGCUGUGAUCUUUGUGUCUUGUGUGAGUUGCUCAUCCCUCCCUUACUCUGUGAUUCUUUGUGAACAUCAAAAGUGUAAGGGCGAGAGGCUCCAAGUUGUGGAGAUUCCUCGCGAACGGGAUAAGAAAAGAAAAGCAAAACACUGUGGUAUUCAAGUUGAUCAUUGGAUCACUUGAGAGGAGUUGAGUGCAACUCUCGUCCGUUGGGACGCCACAACGUGGAGUAGGCAAGUUUUGUACUUGGCCGAACCACGGGAUAAACCACUGUGUCAUCUCUGUGAUUGAUCUCUUGUGGUUAUUGUGUUUUGUUGAGACUCCUCUCUAGCCACUUGGCAAUUAUUGUGCUAACCUUAACCAAGUUUUGUGGCUUAAGUUUUAAGUUUCACAGGAUCACCUAUUCACCCCCCCCCUCUAGGUGCUCUCAACUCUCCACCAACAAGAGAGAUAGAAAUCUAUUAGAAGCCAGAGCUCCAGCUUGCUAGUUCGAUUUGAUGGCAGCAACUAACACGACAAUGACGCUCAGCAUGAUAUGAAGAUUGCCAUCGAUAGGAAGGCUCAUCACCUGCUGUUCGCGGAGGCGAGAAAGGAUGUGGUCGACUUCUUCUCCCUACUCGUCCUGCUCGUCGGCGCGACCGUCAAACUGCUGGGGAAUAAGGGCAUGGCCGGCAGCACCGACAACCUCUAUGAUAGUGUGGAGGGCCUCGAAUACGCCCACAUCCAGACCAUUGUCGUGCAUCGAGGAAGAUGGACUUGAGACCCACUUAAUGCCUUUCCAUAAUAGUAGCAUUUUCUAUGUGAUUGGAGAUCUCAUGAAGUAGAAUGGUGAAACAAGCUAGAGAAUGACCGAUGGAGAGACUCCUUAAAUAAAAUCUAGGUAAUUUCAUAUGCACAUUUCUCCUUUGAUGUACGAUAGGCUAACUAAAAUCUUAAUAUGAUUUGAGUGACUUAUCUAAGCAGGGAUGUUAUCUUAUAGAACAUCUUAGAAGGAACACACCUAUAUGAGUUUGACUGCUAGUCACAAUCUAUGAUAUGUGGGCAAUAUUUAUAUACUCAUGAAAGGUCUCGAAGUUUGACUUAUAUGCUUCAAACCAAGGGGAUUCUUGUAAUAGUCUAGUACUAGAUAAGAACUUUGGUGAAACUCACUUCAUACAAAACUGUCAAUUCAAUAUAUAGUCUAUUGUUCAGAUGUGAUUGUGUAAUCCCUGUUCUAGAUGGAUGGUCAACUUAACAACCUCCACCAAAACCCUUAUAUAUCAAAGAGUAGUGGAUUUGAAUUUGCCUAAUAUGUAGUUUAUGGGCUUGGCUCAUUUAAAGUAUUUAAUAAUUCUGAAUGACAAGAUUAAACUAACUAUGUAUGAUCCUUUAGCUCCGUACAGAUGGUCGAUGGGAUAGUUACAUGGUUUAUGUAGAUGGACCUAUCUAUAUUCCUUCAGUGGUUGAGAGAAAGGUAAAGGUGUGUCACACUCACGCGUGCGCCGCCUCCGCCGAGACAAGGUGUGGCGUUGCAAGGUGAGGCAUGGUAUGGUGCAGCACGAUCACAGUCAUGGUCGUGGCACGAUGUAGCAUUGUUGUGGAUAGAUAGAUAAACUAUUGUUGUAGUUAGAGCGCGUGAGUUUUUGAAUGCAACACUAGAAUUUUCACAAUUUAACUUAAUUAAGAAGUUAUAUCUUGAUGACACAGAGUUACCUGACCAUUGAUCUCACAUGCCAUUUUAGCUCUCUCGUUCUCUAGUCUCACCCUAACUAUUUAGGUCUCCUGACUCACCAAUAUAAACACCAUCCUAUCAUUUGCUCUCCAAUACUUCUCUGUCACAACUCAACUAUUAGAUGAGUACUCCAUUACAACACUUACGUACACGAGUUCAUGAGAUCAGGCCUCCAAAAUGAAUAUCGGCUAAGUGUUUAUCUACUUAGAUGAAAGACGAUAAUCGUGUUCUUGGGAAAUAUCAGCGACAUAACUCCUUACUUCCUCUGCUUCUUCCUAGUGUUUUUGUUGUUGUGAUUGAGUCGACACAGCAACAACGCUGCACUAUUACAACCAGUACGAUUAUAUCAACUAACAAUGUCUUCCUUAUAUGUUACUAUUUAUUUUGCUCAUAUUCAUUAUGCUUAAAUCACAUGUGCACCUUUCUAUUGACAUCAAAAAUAGUAUCAACUUUCUAGAUUAAAAUGCAACUAAAAGUACCUAAAUUUCUAUCAGUGGGGAUUGAGUGAUUCUUUAAACCGAUUAUUACAUAAGUUAACCACACUAAAAUUAACAUUGGUGAAUCGUGCCAUGAUUUUUUUCUAGUGCAAAAUAGCCAAACCAAGCAACACAUAUGUGGCUAUCGUUACACAUUUGUAAAGGUAUUGCAUCACACCAUUGUCACCCAUGUAUUUGGACAAUAACGAGAGGAAAAACCACUUAUUUAUUGUAUUUUAUCAAGUUUGUCUUGCUUACGUAUAAAUUAUAACCCAACAAAGUAAUCACUAAAUGUCAAAACCAACUAGAUACCAUGUCAUCUCUACCUUAUCUUACUAAUGUUCUUUUUGCAAAAUCCAAAAGUAAUCUUGCACAAGCACAAGGACUGAUAUGUGUAUAAAUAUCUCUUAGAUUAGUAGUUAAUACAUCACUCAUAUUAUUAAGACCAACUAGCAACAUAGAAAGCACAAUAGUGUACCAACAAUGGCAACCAAAAUAUUUUGCUUCCUUAUGCUCCUUGGUCUUUCUGCAAGUGCUGCUACCGCGACCAUUUUCCCGCAAUGCUCACAAGCUCCUAUAGCUUCCCUUCUUCCCCCAUACCUCUCACCAGCGGUGUCUUCAGUAUGUGAAAACCCAAUUCUUCAACCCUACAGGAUCCAACAGGCAAUCGCAGCAGGCAUCUUACCUUUAUCACCCUUGUUCCUCCAACAACCGUCAGCCCUAUUACAGCAGUUACCUUUGGUGCAUUUGUUGGCACAAAACAUCAGGGCACAACAACUACAACAACUUGUGCUAGCAAACCUUGCUGCCUACUCUCAGCAACAGCAGUUUCUUCCAUUCAACCAACUGGCUGCAUUGAACUCUGCUGCUUAUUUGCAACAACAACUACCAUUCAGCCAACUAGCUGUUGUCUACCCCCAGCAAUUUCUUCCAUUCAACCAACUAGCAACAUUGAACUCUGCUGCUUAUUUACAACAGCAACAGCUACCACCAUUCAACCAGCUAGCUAAUGUGAGCCCUGCUGCCUUCUUGACACAACAAUAGUUGUUGUCGUUCUAC
RNAcentral lists this long non-coding RNA (124181 nucleotides) under Zea mays. Its description in RNAcentral is "long non-coding RNA (ZMAY_LNC002213)". The record is from RNAcentral. Lineage: Eukaryota; Viridiplantae; Streptophyta; Magnoliopsida; Poales; Poaceae.